AUGACAUUCCUGAAGGGUCCGAAUCUCUACAACUUGAACUUCUAGUCAUGUCUCCCAAGAACUCUUUUGCUGUGCCUAAUAUUCCUGAGAACUUCUUCAAAAGGACGAAAAAGCUUCGGGUUUUGGAUUUGACUAGAAUGCGGUUAUUGUCAUUGCCAUCUUCAAUUGGUCUUCUAGUAAAUCUUCAGACACUUUGUCUUGAUCAAAGCAUUUUGGGAGGCAUAGACAUAGCCAUUAUUGGAAAGUUGGAAAAUCUGGAAAUCCUUAGCUUUUUGCGAUCUGAUAUUGUAGAGUUGCCUAAAUCACUAGGUCAACUGACUAAGCUAAGGCUGUUAGAUUUAACAGACUGUUUCCAUCUAAAAGUUAUUGCUCCAAAUGUCAUAUCAAGCUUAAUCCGAUUAGAAGAAUUUUAUAUGUAUAAUUGCUCCAUUGAAUGGGAGGUUGAAAGUGCCAACAGCAAAAGAAGUAAUGCUAGCCUUGACGAAUUGAAGCAUUUACGUCGGCUAACCACUCUAGAAAUUGAUGUUAAAAAUGAGAGUAUGUUACCAGAAAGCUUUUUGGCCAGAGAGCUCGAAAGGUUCAAAAUAUCUAUUGGAAAUGGGUCAUUCAUGCAUCCCAUGCUUUUUGGACAAUAUUGGUUUAAAAGUCGGCCGCACUUUUUGAUCGACAGUAAUCGCAAGAUUUCAAGAACAUUGAAGCUCAAGCUUGAUUUUAUGGACAUUCGCUCCAUGAAAUUGCAGGGCAUCAAUAACGUUGAAUACUUAUUGUUGGACAAGCUACGAGGUAUCGAGAAUGUUCUUUUCAAUUUGGACACGGAGGGCUUUUCACAAUUGAAGCUUCUCUGGGUUCAAAAUAAUCCAGGCUUCUUUUGCAUCGUCGAUUCAAGGGAGAUGGUCGCUUGUGAUGCCUUUCCUCUUUUGGAGUCACUUGCCCUUCACAAUUUGAUCAACAUGGAGAGGAUAUGUAUUGAUCCGCUCAAAGUAGAGUCUUUCAACAAACUCAAAACCAUAGAAGCAUAUAAUUGUGAUAAAUUGAGUAAUAUCUUUUGGCUCUCUACAACAAAAUGUCUUCCAAGACUUGAGAGAAUUGCAGUUAUUAAUUGCAGCAAGAUGAAAGAGAUUUUUGUAAUUGGGGAAGAAGUUGAUAAUGCAAUUGAGAAGAUAGAGUUUGCUCAAUUAAGAUCUUUGAGUCUGGGGAAUCUUCCAGAGGUUACAAGUUUUUGCCGUGAAGUAAAGACUCCUUCAGCAUCACCAAACAGACCAGCGAAAUCACUUUGGAUACUUCAACUCUGCUUUUCAACGAGAAGGUGCGUAGGCUAACAUUUUAUUUAUAUAUAUAUAUAUAUAUAACAGACUUUAUUCUAUCAUGCGUUCUGUUUUGAUGUCAUACGUGGAAAAUGUUGGGAAAAUAUGCUCUUUAAAAGCAUAUGUGUUUAUUUAAUUGUAAUAAACAAUUUUUCUGAUUAAUAAAAUAAAUGAGGUAUUUUAUUCAAAUAUCUUAAUUGCAUUAAUAUUUGUAUUAAAGUCCAUUUAAUCAUAUUAUAUGUAUUUAUGUGAUCACCAUGUGGAUUCACAGAAGACAUAAAUACAAGUUAUCUUAUGAUUAAAUAAAUUUAGUUCGCAGUUGAUAAAUAAAGUUGGGCACUUUAUUUAGGUAUAGACUGUAAUAAAUUCAUUGAAUGAUUUGUCUUAAUCAUGUAUGAAUUUAUUGAUGUAGUACGACUACAUUGAACAGGAUCACAUAUGAGAUUUAAUUAACUUUGUAAUAACUGUCAGACUUAUUAAAUCUCAUAGGCGUUGAUUUUACUGUAAUCUUAAUCUUGAGUUAAUUAUGAUUUCAUGAUUGUGAUUGUUAUUUCAUUUGAGUUACCAAUGGGCACGACACAUCCUUGUGGUCAAGAUUACCCGGUAUCUUGGUGGGAGCAAUUAUGAGUAUUGGAGUUAUGGAUUAACAAUAUAGAAUUUGUACAACACAUCUCUUGAUAGGUUUUCGGUACUUGAUCAUAGAAUUCUCUGGCCAGAGUGUGUCAACAUAUUUAGUAUGUUGAAAAUGAUCAUUAGAGAAAACCAGUAAGGAUCAAGGAAUAAGAUGUUAUUAAAUUGAUUGGACAGUUGAGAUAUCAAUUUAAUUAACGAUGUGGUACAAAGGAUUGUGCAGUAAAGAAAUCAAUGUGGCUUGGGACGAAUUAUUAUUCGAGCAUACAAUUAUGGAAGUCAGUUCCAAUCUUUUAGUGGAGUAGAUUUGGAAUUAAAUAAUUGGGCUAGUUUAAUUACAGGCCUAAUUAUUGUAGCCACUAUUGUAUGUUCCCAAAUGAUCCCCGGGUUAGCUCAUUUAAUUGAUUGCACCACUGCUGGACUAAUAAGCAAGAUAACUAGCUAUUUGGGUCAAAAGCCUAAAUAUAUCAUUUAGUGGGAGGCUCCAUUUAAUAAGCUUAUGUGUAAGGGGCCUUAUGUUAUUUUACAUGGUGGGUCCCCUAUUAAAUGAAAAGUAACGUGAGUUUUAUUUUGGGGGAAUCCUUGGAGCCUAGGGUUUUCACUAAAGGGAGAUAUAUAAGGCUUAUUUUCCCAAAAAGGAAAAAGCAGAAGCCACUUUAUACAAAUCAGAGAAUAAGAUUUUUCUCUCCAUUGUUGAGAGAAAAAUUUUCUCGUGCUAGUUGCUUUGGUAGUGAUAAAGGCGCCCACACGUCAAGUGCAGAUCGAACCUGAGUCAUAACCUGGAAGAUCAUUGGAGACAGUUCGUGAUCUAACAAGCGUGGUGGUGACGGAUCGUGAUCUAACAGGAGUGGUGGUGGCGGAUCGUGAUCUAGGAGCCUAAAUCACUUCAGCGGAAAAAGCAAACUCAGAUUUACAAGGUACGAUUUCUAGAAUACGAAUUCUUAUAUAUAUAACAAUUGGUAUCAGAGCCAUCUCAUAUUAAUAUAUAAGAAUUUCGUAUGAAAUUAAUCUUGAAAUUUAUGUAUUAGAGUGGCACAAUUUAUUCAGAUGUAUAUUAUUUAUUUAAUAUAUGAAUAAAGCAUGCUUAUGGUUUGUCUUAAUUCAUGGUUAGAUUUUCUUUUGUAUUGUUCUUUGGAUCUGUAACAAGAGGGGUGGUUUUUUAUCACCAUGUUUCCCUCUUGAUUUAUUUUACAGUUAUAGAAUUUUUGUAAGCCAAAAUUGGUCUAGGAAAUUUGUAAAUUAAUCUCAGAUUUUCAAGAUCGGAGCGACGGAGGCCGGAAAUUAUGACAGCGGCAGCAAACCAGGGCAUGCUGCAGCAGCGUGCGCGGCCAGCAAUGGCCAGCAUCGCGCGCUGCGCUGUGCGCAGCAAAGCAGCGCGCGCGGCCAACAUUGGCCAGCGGCGCGCGCUGCGCUGUGCGCAGCAAGCAGCGCGCGCGGCCAGCGUGGCCAGCAGCGCGCGCUGCAUGUGCUGCAGCUGGAAGCAACGCUGCCGAGGCCAGCAGAAAGUUGCGCGCGGGUUUUGGCACGUUUUCCGGCCAGGCGGCAGCAGUUGGUUUGGCGUCGGCGUCGGCGUCGGAGGUCGGCUGGCGUCUGAACAGUGAAGGAGGAUUUUGGAGAUGGCGGCUGGGGAAGAAGAAAGAAAGAAAAAUAUGGAUUUAGGGUUUCAUGGCUUUUAUCAUGGAGGUCCCUAUGGUUCCAUAAUUUUUCACUUGGGCAGUCAAGUUUUAAUUUUUUGCAUUUAAGUCUAAAAAUAGUUUUGGGCUUAAAGAAUCCUAGUUUUAGGCCCAAUUGAUAUUUGGGCUUAAUGGAUUAAAAAUGCAUAGACAAAAUUAAAUACAUUAAAUUUAUUUUUGGUCCAAAAGUUUUAUUUUAAUAAAAAAAAAAUAAAAUAAAAAUAAAAUAAUUUAUUUAUUUAUUUCCUUUCAAAAUUAAAAUUGGACCAAUUAUAAAUUUAAAAGCUCAAUUUCCCCUAGUCCAUUAACAAAAACAAGCUUAUGGAAGAUGGACAUUGACAAGAAGCCCAAUGAAGAUUAGGCUUAGGGUUAAUGUAUUUUUCAUUAUUAGGAAAGCCAUGAAUUAAGAUUAUUUAAUAGUUUUUCUAUAUGUUAUGUUUUGGAUGAUAACAUGCCAUGAUAACAUGUCAUAUAGAAUAGGUAGUGCCACUCUAUGCAUAAUGAUACAUGUCAUUCAUUAAUAAUGAAUUUCAUUAUAUUGUUUGAAAUUUGUAUAUGCUUAAUAAUAUUUGAUAUCAUCUAGAUAAUAUUAUAUGAAGCAUGCAAUUAACAAUAUGUAUGUUUUAAAAAGGAAAAACCAAUUUUAAAAUAUUGAGUGGGAGAGGGAAAAUUCAAGAUAAUUUUCCCACGGGCUCCAUUGUUAGUUCAAUAAUAAAAUUAUAUAUAUACCUCGACUUCAUGAUACGGUGAUGCUCCCUUCGGAGGGUAUAUAUAUUAGAUAUUUUAUUUGAUGAACUUCUUCAAAGAUAAAAUUGAAAUAUUUUUCAAUCGAUUGUUCACCCCAACGGUGACUAUUGAUAUGAAAAAUACGUAGAUUGAAACAAUGGUUAUACACUCAACUAAAGUUUGUUAUUAACCUUCCCAACGAAGCUCUGUUAACAAAUUUAGGUCCAAAGGGAUAACGAUAAUUAUUUAUCAUGUCUCUACAUGAAAGUAAAUAAUCCAAUGGAUAAUUGGGUCUAGUAAGUGUAGACAUGACUUCCCCAACGGAUAGCUUGUCAAAGCGGUACUAGAUUAUCGUUACAAUAAAUUAAAAUGCAUUUAUGGUUUUUUGCAUUUUUGUCAUUUAUUGUGAAUAUUGUUUCAAAGUAUUUAUGCAUGUGUAUUUUGUUUUUUCAGAAAAUGUCUUCCAUCAACCCAUUAUUAUUUAUCCUUGUUAAAAAUGAACUCACUGGCGAAAAUUAUUUAGAUUGGAAACGCAAUCUAUUUAAUAUUCUCACUGCUAAGGGAAGCAAAUAUGUGUUGACCCAGCCUUGCCCUCCUGAACCAUCGUUAUACGAUUAUAGAAAUCAGAGGGAGCCUUAUGAGAAAUGGUGCGAAGCUAACAAAAUGGCUAAGCGCUAUAUAUUGGCUUCGAUUUCUGUGGAACUGCAUAAGAAACAUCGGAGCAUGGAAACAGCUACUGAAAUAAUGGCUAGUCUUCAUCAGAUGUUUGGGCAAAAUACCCAUUUUGCCAGAGAAGCAGCAUUAAAACGUAUUACGGAUACUCAGAUGGAAGAGGGCACAAAAGUUCGUGAUCAUGUCCUCAAAAUGAUGGACUAUUUGAAUGAGGUAGAGAUUCAUGGUGUUCAAAUCAAUGAUAAAUCAAAGAUUAACAUGGUGAUUGAAUCUUUACCUGAUACAUUCAAAGAGUUUAAGGUCAGCUAUAUCUUAAACAAUAAAGAUAUGACCUUAAUUGAAUUAAUGCACGAACUACAUGCUAUAGAAGAAUUUUAUCAUAGCAGAAAACUUCCUGAAAAAGGAUUCUCUUCAAGGCUUAAGUCAAAAGACAAGAAUGAGCAAGCAAGAGUUGGGAUCGGCAAACUGUCCAUUAAAAGAAGUGGCAAGCCAAAAGGCAAGUGUUACAAAUGUGGACAGAAGGGUCACUGGAAGAAAGAUUGUCCUAAGAUUAUUAAAAUCAGGUAUAGGAAAUCUUUAAGCUUCCUAAUUAGUUUAGAUUUCUAUUGAUUCAUACAAUAAUGAAUUCUGAGAUAACUAAUCUUAUUUGUAAUUCAUUUAUUUGGUUUUCAGGAAACCAAGAGAUUAAGUGAAGAAAGCUUCAAAUAGCAGUUGAGGAUGUGCUAGUUUAUAUCAAUUGAAAGACUAGAUCAAUUUUACAAGACUUUAGUUUUGAUAUUUGUCUUUAUUUUUCCAAAUAUUAGAGGAAUUUAAUUUCAGUGGCUUGUUUUAAUAAACAGGAGUACACUGUUAUUUUUGGAUCCUCUGUUUAUUACUUAUUUUGGUUAUUUAUAAAGAUAAUUUAUAUCAUAAAAGUACAUUGAUCUAUUCAAAGUAAGAUAUAAUGAUUAAAAGUAUAUGCAUUUAUCUAAGAAAAGAAAUGUUUCUUCUAACCAAAAAUCACCUCUGAUAGUUAUGCUUAAGUCAUAUAAGCUAUAAUAAGAUUUUAAGAAAAUGAUUAAUGAUAGACUUGUUGGCCUAUUAAGAUUGAUCAUUGUAACUCUAUAAAUCUUAUUUAGAAAAGUAAUAUGACAAGGAUACUCUUUAUGAGCUAAAAGCAUAACAUUGUAUUUGAUGAUUUAGCGCAUACAAAUGUAUACGGACUAAUCAGUUUACAUGUUAUAAGAGGUUAUGAGUAUUCUAUCAAUCUAGUUGAUGAAUAUUCAUUUUAUGUUUGUCUAAAUGAGUCAUGAUUCCAUUGCUUUUGAAAUUCAAAAGAGUACGUGAAUAAGACAGAAGCAAUUAGACAGGAACAUAAAAGAAUUUCGAUAUGAUCGAAACAAAGAAUAUCUCUAUGGAGAAUUCAAGCACUAUUUGGUUGUCAAUGAACACUAUGAUACAAUAGUGUAAUUAAAUAGAGAAACAAGAUUCUUUUGGAUAAGACAAGAUAUAUACUAAGUGGUUUAUCAUUUACCUUUUUGAUUCCAGAUACUAGUAUUUGAAACUACAAAGUUUAUUGAACUUAGUUUCAUCUAUCUCGGUGUCCACUACUCCAAGAAAUUAUGAAAAAGUCACAAACAUGGUUUGAGACACAUUCGUAUUUGGAGUUUACUAGAAUCAGAGAUAGAGAAGAUGGAUUCGUGUUCAGAAGCUUGCAUGUUUUAGGUAUCUUAAAGGAAUAAGGGAAAGUCUGAAUUAUAGUCCUCAAGAUAGGAAUGUAUUUAUAGAAAUAUUUUUUACUUUCUUUGAGGAAGACUAUAUAAUGACUUAUAACCUAAGAGUAAGGUAAAACUAGAGAAAUAAAAGAGAUCAGGUUGAUGCUCAGCUUUCAACACCUGUUAUAGAACAGGAAGAACAGCAACAACCAGCUGAUCAGCACAGGAUUAUCCUUGAACAACCAUCACUUUUAGAACCUCGUCGUAGUGGGAGGGUAACUAGGUUACCUGCAAGAUACAUGUUUUUGGGAGAAACCUAUAAGGCUAUCUCAGAUGAACAUGUACAAGAUCCCACUAGUUACAACGAAGCUCUAAUAGAUAGAGAUGAUGAAUUUUGAAAAAGGCCAUGAAUCAAGAAAUGGAAUCUAUCUAUUCCAAUAAAGUCUGGGAACUUGUAGAGGCACCAAAUGGGGUAAAACCUAUAGGGUGCAAGUGGAUCUACAAGAGAAAAAGAGGAGUAGACGGAAGGGUGGAAACAUUUAAAGCAAGAUUAGUAGCCGAAGGGUUUACUCAGAAAGAAGGAAUCAAUUAUGAGGAAACCUUUUCUCCGGUUGCUAUGCUUAAAUCCAUCAGGAUUCUGCUCUCCAUUGCUGCAGUGCUAGAUUAUGAAAUUUGGCAAAUGGAUGUCAAGACUGCCUUUCUUAACAGGCAUCUUGAAGAAAACAUCUACAUACAGCAACCAGAUGGAUUUAUACAAAAAAGGCCAAGAACACAUGGUAUGUAAGUUGCAGAGAUCUAUUUAUGGAUUGAAGCAAGCAUCCCAGUCAUGGAACAUCAGAUUUGAUCAAGCGAUUAAAUCACUUGGAUUCAUUCAGAACAUUGAUGAACCAUGUGUGUACAAGAAAAUUCAGGGAAAAUUUGUAGCCUUCCUAGUUCUUUGUGUAGACAAUAUUCUCCUGAUUGGAAACGAUAUAGGAGUAUUGACUACAAUAAAGAUUUGGUUAGCAAAACAAUUUGAUAUGAAAGACCUGGGAGAGACAAGUUAUAUUCUUGGUAUCAAGUUACUAUGAGACCGGAAGAAUAAAACUUUAGCCUUGUCUCAAGCGGUCUAUAUCGAUAAGAUAUUGGCUAGAUUUAGUAUGGAAAAUUCCAAGACUGGUUUAUUACCAUUCAGACAUGGAAUUACAUUCUCUAAGGAUCAAUCACCUAAAACAUCUGAAGAGAUAGAGAGAAUGAGACGAGUUCCCUAUGCAGAAGCUGUGGGAAGUCUCAUGAAUGCCAUGCUUUGCACUAGGCCAGACAUCUGUUUUGCGGUAGGGAUGGUUAGUAGAUAUCAAUCUAAUCCUGGACCUGAACACUGGACUGCGGUCAAGCAUAUAAUGAAGUAUCUGAAAAGAACUUAAAAUUAUAUGCUUGUGUAUUCUGGUGAUGAACUUAUUCUAGUGGGUUAUACUAAUUCUGAUUUUUUGUCAGAUAAGGAUUUUAGAAAAUCAACUUCCGGCUAUGUGUUUACAUUGGGAAGUGGAGCUACUAGUUGGAUGAGUGUGAAACAAUCUUGUAUCACAGACUCAACAACUAAAGCUGAAUAUGUGGCUACAUCUGAAGCUGCAAAAGAAGCUAUAUGGCUCUGCAAGUUCCUACGAAAUCUUGAGGUGGUACCUGUUGUAACUGCACCCCUUAAACUAUUUUGUGAUAAUGGUGGUGCGGUAGCUCAAUUUAAGGAACCAAGGAACCACAAGAAACAAAACAUAUUGAAAGGAAGUAUCAUCUUAUAAGGGAAUAGUGUAGAAAGGUUAUAUGACAAUACCCCAAAUGGCAUUAGAUGCUAAAUGGCAGAUCUUAUUACAAUGGCCAUUAGUGGGAAACCUUUAUAACCUGCACUUAGAGCCCUAGAGCAUGUGCAAUAUGCCAGAUAUGCUUUGAGAGCUAGUGGGAGAUUGUUGGGAAAAUAUGCUCUUUAAAAGCAUAUGUGUUUAUUUAAUUGUAAUAAACAAUUUUUCUGAUUAAUAAAAUAAAUGAGGUAUUUUAUUCAAAUAUCUUAAUUGCAUUAAUAUUUGUAUUAAAGUCCAUUUAAUCAUAUUAUAUGUAUUUAUGUGAUCACCAUGUGGAUUCACAGAAGACAUAAAUACAAGUUAUCUUAUGAUUAAAUAAAUUUAGUUCGCAGUUGAUAAAUAAAGUUGGGCACUUUAUUUAGGUAUAGACUGUAAUAAAUUCAUUGAAUGAUUUGUCUUAAUCAUGUAUGAAUUUAUUGAUGUAGUACGACUACAUUGAACAGGAUCACAUAUGAGAUUUAAUUAACUUUGUAAUAACUGUCAGACUUAUUAAAUCUCAUAGGCGUUGAUUUUACUGUAAUCUUAAUCUUGAGUUAAUUAUGAUUUCAUGAUUGUGAUUGUUAUUUCAUUUGAGUUACCAAUGGGCACGACACAUCCUUGUGGUCAAGAUUACCCGGUAUCUUGGUGGGAGCAAUUAUGAGUAUUGGAGUUAUGGAUUAACAAUAUAGAAUUUGUACAACACAUCUCUUGAUAGGUUUUCGGUACUUGAUCAUAGAAUUCUCUGGCCAGAGUGUGUCAACAUAUUUAGUAUGUUGAAAAUGAUCAUUAGAGAAAACCAGUAAGGAUCAAGGAAUAAGAUGUUAUUAAAUUGAUUGGACAGUUGAGAUAUCAAUUUAAUUAACGAUGUGGUACAAAGGAUUGUGCAGUAAAGAAAUCAAUGUGGCUUGGGACGAAUUAUUAUUCGAGCAUACAAUUAUGGAAGUCAGUUCCAAUCUUUUAGUGGAGUAGAUUUGGAAUUAAAUAAUUGGGCUAGUUUAAUUACAGGCCUAAUUAUUGUAGCCACUAUUGUAUGUUCCCAAAUGAUUCCCGGGUUAGCUCAUUUAAUUGAUUGCACCACUGCUGGACUAAUAAGCAAGAUAACUAGCUAUUUGGGUCAAAAGCCUAAAUAUAUCAUUUAGUGGGAGGCUCCAUUUAAUAAGCUUAUGUGUAAGGGGCCUUAUGUUAUUUUACAUGGUGGGUCCCCUAUUAAAUGAAAAGUAACGUGAGUUUUAUUUUGGGGGAAUCCUUGGAGCCUAGGGUUUUCACUAAAGGGAGAUAUAUAAGGCUUAUUUUCCCAAAAAGGAAAAAGCAGAAGCCACUUUAUACAAAUCAGAGAAUAAGAUUUUUCUCUCCAUUGUUGAGAGAAAAAUUUUCUCGUGCUAGUUGCUUUGGUAGUGAUAAAGGCGCCCACACGUCAAGUGCAGAUCGAACCUGAGUCAUAACCUGGAAGAUCAUUGGAGACAGUUCGUGAUCUAACAAGCGUGGUGGUGACGGAUCGUGAUCUAACAGGAGUGGUGGUGGCGGAUCGUGAUCUAGGAGCCUAAAUCACUUCAGCGGAAAAAGCAAACUCAGAUUUACAAGGUACGAUUUCUAGAAUACGAAUUCUUAUAUAUUAUAUGAGAGCGAUCUUCAAAAGGUUUUAUAAAAAUUUAAAAACCUGAUUUUUCCCCAACAGAAAAUAAUUAAAUCAUUUAAAGAAUUGAAAGGAAAUGGAAAAAAGGAUAAAAAGAAUCUCACGCGCUCACUAAUUGAGCUCUUAACAAGUAGUAUGAAUUAGAAUGCAUACUCAGCUGUCAGUUGGAAAUUGAUUCAGACUUGCAUUAAUUUGUAAUCAAAGAAGAAAAUUUCAACAAGUGCUUCCCAUAUGGAUAUUGGAUCUAACGAGAAAUUCUUAUUUUUUUAGGUUGCGUUGCCUAACUUGGAGGCUUUGGAGAUAUCUGCAAUUAAUGUCGACAAGAUUUGGCACUACAAUCAUCUUCCAGUCAUGUUUCCUCAUUUAACACGAUUGAUUGUGCGGCGUUGUCACAAAUUAAAAUACAUAUUUUCAGCGUCUAUGAUCGGAAGCCUUAAGCAGCUCCAACACCUAGAUAUACGCUUCUGUGAGGAUUUACAGGAGAUCAUUUCUGAAAACAGAGCAGAUCAAGUGAUCCCUUAUUUUGUCUUUCCACAGCUCACCAAUCUGAUACUCCAAGAUCUACCAAAACUUAGAUGUUUGUACCCUGGAAUGCAUACUUCGGAAUGGCCCGCGCUAGAAAUGCUUUUAGUGUAUGGUUGUGACAAAUUAAAGAUAUUCGCUGCAGAUUUAUCGCAGAAUAAUGAGAAUGAUCAACUUGGCAUUCCUGCACAACAGCCCCUAUUGCCGUUGGAAAAGGUAUGAAGUCAUUUUCUAGAUUUUUUAUCAAUAGCUUAUUUUUAACUUUGAAAAAUAUGAUAAAGCAUCGAUAAAUUAAUACUUAAUAAAUUAAAAACUUUUAUUAUACAAUAAUCUUUGCUAGUCUAGACUUAGGGAUCGAUGUGGUAGAUUAAUAAUUAUAUGAACUGUUUUAGGUAUAGCAUUUAUAAAAGAAUCCUUAGUCUUUUCAUAUAGAAGAACUAACAAAAUAAAUUAGUAAUUUAUUAUUGUGUAAUAAAAUAAUUUCGAGCCAGUUUAAAUCAACCUUUUUUCCCUAAUUUCUUUUUUACCUCUAAAAUUAACAUAUAAAAUAAAUUUUAUCAAUAAUUCAAUUUUUUUAAAAAAUAUAAUAUAAAACAAAUCCUAUAAAGUCACUGCGUGUGACCGUAGAUCAUCAAUUGACCUCAUUAGUUAUUAUGAUUGAUGAUGAUCAGAUCGUACCCAACUUGAAGGAACUAUCACUAAGUGGAAAAGAUGUGAAGAUGAUUUUGCAGGCCGAUUUCCCACAACACCUUUUUGGCAGUCUUAGAAAACUAGAGAUUGCUGCAGAUGACUCAGCUUGUUUUCCAAUCUGGAACGUACUGGAGAGAUUUCACAAUCUCGAAAUACUCUCACUGUUUAAUUUUUCAUUCCACGAAGAGGUAUUUUCGAUGGAAGGAUGCUUAGAGAAACAUGUGGGGAAGUUGGCAAUGAUAAAAGAAUUAAAUCUGCACCGGCCCUAUCAUCUGAAGCAGCUGUGCAAACAAGACUCCAAACUUGGCCCCAUUUUUCAGUCUCUUGAAAUUCUAAAAGUAUAUCAUUGUCAAAGUCUGUUAAUUCUAUUGCCAUCAUCAUCGGUAUCUUUUCGGAACCUAACAAAACUUUUAGCUUUCGGUUGCAAGGGAUUGAUGCACUUGGUAACAUCCUCCACAGCAAAAACUCUAGUGCAACUCGUCACAGUUCAAGUAUGUCGAUGCAGAGCAAUGACAGAGGUGGUAAUAAAUGACAAAGAUGGAGUUGAAAAAGAAGAGAUUGUUUUCCGCAAAUUGAAGGCGUUGGGCCUGCGUGAUUUAGAAAGUCUCACAAGUUUCUGCUCUGCCAAUUACACCUUUGAAUUCCCAUCUUUGGAAUAUCUGGAAGUGAUUGGUUGUCCCAAGAUGAAGACUUUCACUACAGGAGAAUCAAUCACGCCUCCAAGAGUAAAUGUCUGGUGUGGAGCGACAUCGAAUCAACGGCGUUGGGCUAAUAAUGAUCUUAACAGGACCAUACAACAAUUACAUGCUGAAAAGGUACGGAUAUACAUGUUACUCUUUAUCUCCCAUGGAAAAAUUUUACAAAAUUUGCUUUUUUUAAAUAAAAUAUCGAAAAGAUAUUUGUUAUAAAGUAAAAGUUUAAAUUGAUGAAUAAGAAUUUUAUUUUCAGCUGUUGGCGGUGCAGUCGGCGAUCUCUACCCAGUACUAAUUUCAUAGGCUUCUUAUGACUUGGGAGUUGUGAAUUUUUAGAAGAAAGCCUCAGCUGGUAAUUAACUGGUAAUUAAUUUUUAUUUCAUUUAUUUGAUCUCAUGGCUUGUUUCGCAAUUUCAUCUGAAUUAUUUAGAAUGGGUCAAUCGGCUUACUGUUAAAUUUGGAAUGCAAUUUUAAUGAUUCGUUCAGACUUUUGUGGACAGAUUUUGCAUCAUUGAAUGUCUUCUAGUCUAGUUUAAUUUGAGUAUUUUUUUCUUUUUUUCUGUUUUUUAGAUUUCCCCUAGUUUUCUAAAAUUUUAUAAUUCCUUGCAUACUUUGUAUGAUAAAAUUUCAUCAAAAGCCUUCAUAUUUUAUAAUUCCUUGAAAACAUCAUUGCUGUUCUCUUAUUUUAGUUUGUUCAUUUGGUUUGGUUUGCUUCACACCUAUCUUUCUUUGGGAUUUUUUUUUUUUUUUUUUUUUGAUGAUCUUUCCAAAUGCUCUUCCCUAUGAACACAUAAUUAAGAACAGCUGAAAAUCAUUCAUCGGAUAAAAAAUUAAAAAUAAACAAAAUCUAAUCAGAGCAUUAUGCCUAGAACAAAUCCUUAAACCAUCAAAGCAAAACUCUUCGCUAUGAAAAACUAUACUGUGGAAAUAUUGUUUGAAAACGUUGGAUACCAAGAAAGGGACUAAUUUGGUCUAGUUUUAUGAGAAGUAUAGAAGAACGUUGUUUUCUCUGUUUUUCCUGUUAGAACUCUUUACUCUGUGAUUGUAGAAUGUCUGGAUACUGAUGAAGAUUCAAGUAACUCUUCUCCUGUGCAUCAUUUGAAAUAAGGUUUUUUUUUUUUUUGGGUAAUAUCUCCUACUGGGUUAUAGUUCAUACAAAGAGAUUCUUAAAUCAAGCCGGAUACUGCUAGAAACAAGUGGGGAAGUAGGCGCUGAUAAAAUGGUUAAUCCUGUCCAGACUUAAUCAUUGAAGCAACUCCAAACUGGACUCCAUUUUAAAUAUCUUGACAUUCUAAGACUAUUUUACAAGCAUUUAAGUCUAUUCCCAUGAUCAUCUAUAUCUUUUGGGAAUCUAACAGAACUGUUGGUUUUCCAUUGCAAGGAAUUGUAACAUCCGUCCACUACAGCAGAAAGUCUAGUGCGGCUCGUAUCAAUGAAGGUAGCUGGAUGCAGGGCAAUGACAGAGCUGGUAAUAGGUGACGGAGAAGACGAUGGAGCACCAAAUUUAAAUUAAAACAAGAGAUUGUUUUCAGCAAAUUGAAGACAUCGAGUCUGUCUGAUUUAGAUAGUCUCACAAGUUUCUGCUCUGCCAAUUACGCUUUCAGAUAAAGAUUCUUGAAAUUGUCCUAUUUACAGCUGACAUUUCCACAAGAGUUGGAGAAUAUAAAAAAUUCAUUAAUCGUUAGUUUUUAAUUUCAUUAUUCAAUGAAAAGUCCUGUCAAAUUAAAUUGCAAAUCUCAAUGUGCAAGUACCUAAAUUUACUAAAUUUACUUUAAAUUAAUGAAUGAAAGAAUUUAUUUUCUGCUGUUGGAGGAGUCGUCAUCUCUCUCGACAUAGUAUACGAUAUGUUUUGAUCCCAUAGGCUUUUUAAUAUAUUACCUUGUGUUGUUUGAUCUCUAGGUUUAUUUUAUCGUUUCAUCUUAUUAUUUGCAAUGCGUCAGUUGGUUUAUUUGUUAAUUUUGGAAUGAAGUUGAUGCAGCUGAUGGUUGCAUAGGAUGAGUAGGAUAUCACUCCUGGAUCAUAACUUGAGCGGGUAUCUAUUCGGCAAGAAAUUCUGUUUAUUUCGUAGUUAUUUUACAAAGUUUAAGAUAUUUUCUUAUUUUUCUUAUUAUUUUCAAUAUUUUGAUAUUUUUUCUCUAAAUAUAAGAUUUUAAGUAUGAUUUAUUUUAUUUUUCUUAUUUCAGUUAGGAGAACGUUAUUAUGUAAUAAUAUUUUAAGUUUGCAAUUUUAAUAAAUACAUAAUAUUUAGAAUUUGUGUAAAAAGGGUCCAAUACCCUAAUUUUGUUAUUCAAACUUCUAUUAAUAAAAUUUCAGACUUUUUAAAAAAAUUUCUCUAUAUUUUCAAUCUCAACAUCUGUGUUUCCCUUUCAUCAUAAGUUUUAAUAUCUGGUUCUGAGCUAGCUUUAUGUGCAUAUUAUACAUCAUUGAAGGUCUUUUGAUCUGAGUUAUGAUCAAAAAAUUAUGCUCGCUUCUGUCUGGUCGUAUGAAAAUUGUGCAAAAUAUAAUUCUUAUAUAAUUUUUUAUCCUCCAUUGUUACAGAAUCCCAAGCUUCGAAUUUGUAAACUUUGAAAGCAUGGCAGAAAACUUAGUACUUAAUAAGGCUCUGGAAUAAGACUCUUUAUGGCUUCAAUAUUUUACUUAACAUGAAAAUUUCUUUCUAACUAGCAUCAUUGCGAAGAUAAAUUGGGGUAGUUCUGACAAGUACUGGCACUGCACAAUUAAUGUUACCAGCAAUCAAUUGUUGUGAGCACCGACAACCAUUUUCAUAUUUAAGCCUUAAGAACAGUAACUCAAAAUAUGGCAAGUGGCAACCACAUCAAAUAAUCAAAUUGUUGAUAGAUUUAGAGAGCUUUAAUUUGCUUGAUAUAUAUUUGAAUAUUUCAACAGAUGCAUCUUUUCUCUACUCACGGGGCACGUUGAGUUAGAAACGGUUUGAAUGUCAAUAUUACUCCAAGUGCCUCAACCAAAUUCAGAAUGAAAAAAACCAUCUGGUUACCUGCACUUUAGUUUAAGCAGCUGAUUUAGUUAGCACCAAGUAAUUCACACACAAGUGAGAAAUUUCAUUAGUAAAUCAUCAUACCGGGGAGGAAACCAGCAUCUUGACGCUUUUGUGACCAAGAAAAUCUGCCACAACCCGAUUAAUCAAGUUGUUACCAAACAAAUGAUCAAUUUAAUCAUGCCUUAAUUUUUUCUUUUUUUUUUUUGUGCUGGGGGGGGGGAAUAAAAAUCGUAACUUCAUUUACAUAUAAUUUUACAAAAUCAAUAGGACACUUACAGAGCACCUCCUACAGUCAUAGCAAGUCCAUUGGCAGCUCCUCUUUGAUGCUGUUCCCGUUAUUGUGGCAUAAACCAACAAAUUAAAUUUAAACUUUGACACAUACAAAAUUUGAUAAGGCUGAAAUCAUGGAAAUGUACUAAACAAAUAAAAGAAAAAAAUAUUUACCACUGCUCUGUUUUGAAGAAGGAAUAAUCCAGUUAUUAUAGACACCUGAUGUUACAAUUCAGGAAAAGUAAAAAAGAAUUACAAGAAUUCUAAUAAAAAAGACACAAAAUAAUUUUAUACAUACUUGCUGGUGGAUAAUAUAACCUAAGUAUAUGGAUCAAUGAUUAGGAUAUCCACUUACAAAUAAAACAUUCUUCAUCACAGAAGCACAGUUUAUCAAUAAGGCAAGGCUGAACCCAGAUAACAUUGCUAUAAAAGUGUAACUUGUCAAAAGCGGCAUCGAUAAAACCUGUACAUACAUAGAAAAUUAUGGGACCAAAACCAUGAAGAAAAGUAUUUUAUAAACAGAUAUGUUUGAAACAAACUAUCAAAUGGUCUAAAUGCCACAUGGUGUGUUCAAAAUUUUACCCCUGCAAUGCGUGUUAUGAUUAUUGGCCCAAUGAUCCUCUCGACGUAAGGGUAUAGAGUGAGUUGAAAAACAAGGAGGCUGAAUCCUAUAGUAAGUUCAAAAUGAGGACAAUCAUCAAGCAUGUGAUGGUGUCAAUGUAGUCAUUAUAAGAGAAGCGAAAGUUAUAUUUUAUAGUCCCACCAAUAAGAAAAUUUGAAGUUAUGGGAGAGUUGCUAUUACAUGCACAAUUCAGCCUGAAAAGAGAGCUAAAGGCUACGUACCGGAAUCCAGCAAGAAGCAAUAGUUACCGCAAAAGCAAAGAGUGACAUACAGAGACAGGGCAGGAAGUAAGGAAACCUGCAUAAAUUUGUUUUUCAGAAUACCAUCAUUUUGAAAGUACUACAGAAAAAGAAAAGGCUAAUGGCAGUAAAAAUUCACUUACUUUCCAAACAUAGAUUCUUUGGAAAAUGCCUUUGGAUAUUUCUCUGCUGGCUAGAUUGCAAAAUUAUCCACGAAUAUAUAUAUAAGAACAAUAUUUAUCAAGCCAAACUACUAAAAAUUCAAAAAAAAUGCCCAUAAUAAUCAAGUAAAAAUUGCAGAACCCGGGCCAGAAAGCCACCCACUGCAGGGCCAAUAAUCAAUCCUGUGCCCCAUGCUGUACUGAGCUGAAAUUAUAUUGUACCUAAAAAUGUAACUUUCAGAGUCUCUAGCCACUGAUGAGGACACGUCUUUUGUCUGCUAGCGGAAAGCGCGUGACGGCAAGUUUUUUGUCAGAGCCUAGGGACGCAGAGGGAAGGAAAAAAAAUAUCAUUAAUUUUUUUUCCUCUCUCGGUGGGCCCCACGUAAUGUGGGGCUCUGGUUUUUGUCGCAUUGUGUGGAGGGUGUAUAUCUAAAUCAACCCCUUGAAUACGGACACGUGUCGAUCUCAGAGAAACUCACGUUUUGUUGUUGGGACCCAUUAAUUCCCGUAAAAGUCCUAUUCUUAAAACAAGUCGAUACGAUGAUCAAUACUCCGCCUGUGGGUCCCGGCGACGACCCCCUACGCUGGGCAGUACAACACUAAAAAAUCGCCACGUGUUAUAUUUUAAAAAGCUUUGGGGGAGCGAAUCGAUAGAUUUUUUCUUUUCGUGACAAAGCAUGCGGGGGGGGGGGGGGGCCUCCCUGGUGGAUUUGCCUAGGGGUGGGUAUAUUUUAACCGAAUCGAUCCAAACCGACUAUUUGAAUCGGUUUGAAUUGAUUUUAUUAGUAAAAAAAUUGGUUUUGAUUUAUUGGAUUGUAAACCGACAUCAUUCGGUUUGGAUUUUGGUUUGGAAGGAUUCCAAACCGAUUCAAACCGAUUCAAUCCAGAAAUAUUAUAUAAUUAUAUUAUAUUUUAAGUUAAGCAAUCUAACUAAUUAUAUUUAUCAUUUUAUACAGAUUUUGACAAAUCAAAAGUAAUUGGGCCAUAAGUUUUGACAGACAAGAUGCACAAUAUUUUAAUUGUCAAAUGUUGUUCAAGUUUAUUUUAAUUUUGUGAGUUUGUUUUGAAUGAACAUGUUAAUAACUUCUUUAUUAGGGUGUAUUAUGUUAUAAACUUGUAUGGAUGUAUCUUUGAAUUGUUAUGUAGAUGUCAAAGUAGAUAUGAAUAAUAUAAAAAAUGUAUCAAUUUAGAUUACGGACACAAAAAAAUAAUAAAUAAUUUAGGUAAAAUAAUAUAAAAGAAGUGGGCUUUUAGCUAAUAAGCUCAAACCGAGGAUCCAAACCGAUCCAGUCGGUUUAGAUCGGUUCGGUUUGAAAAAAUUUUAAGUUGAUAUCGCUUUGAAAAUAUUUCAAACCGAUAAGUUUGGAUCGGUUUGAGAAUAUAUCUCAAACCGAUCCAAACCGAAUUUGCCCACCCCUAGAUUUGCCCGCCGUUAAUCAAUUUGUUUGAUGAUAAAGAUUCAAGCAAUCAUACACGAACUUAUUCAAUGGAGCUUCAGAAGAUUGGCAUUGCAGUGAAGUCCUGAGUCUUCUACUCAUCUUUUAACAACCUUUGCAGAAGCACAACAACAGGGACAAAUUCUGCAUAAUCGGGAAAAGAAAAAUCAGAAGACGUCAUAUUGAAAUGCAUUCAUAUUAAUUUGACAAGAAGAGAAUCAAACGCAGACCUCGUUAAAAAUCUUGUAUGCAUACGCAUAUAAGAGAAGUUCAAUAAUUGCGACGCAGGAUCAUUGCCGAAGCAUUAAACAAAUACGAGGCAGAGAAAGAGGAGCUCUGAGGAUGAGCGUGUUAGUGUGGUAAUACAAUAUCCUCGAUGCUUGCUGAAUGGUGGACAGUGGCGUUGGAAUAUCAUCUAAUAAAAGGAGAGAAAGAGGUGGCAACUGGCAAAGUGGGUGAGUGAAAGCUCAAGGCUGAAGCGGUUGGCUAAACUUUGUUAAAAAGAUGCACAUAUUGAUAAUAAUAUACGACCGUACGUUGUCUGUUAACUUGGAACUCUUUAGCAUUUAAGCGAGUCUCUCUCUCUCUCUCUCUACGAUUGGGAAUUGGGAUUUCGGAUCGGGAUCUACCGUAUUCUCCGUCUAUCCUAUGCAUGUCAUCAUACAUCAGUAAGCGUGCGUGCCUCUGCGUCUCCCCCUCUCCUUCUUUUUACACAACUAUUUACUGUUACUAUUUCUUUGCCAAUUCCCUUAUUUCACGGUACUUGUAGUAAGACGAAACAAAGGAAGAAAAUGCUAAGGUACUUCAUUAGGCACAUUUCUCAUGCGUACUUGAAAGUAAUCAGAACCGUUGAUCUUUCCCCGAUGGGCCACCCACUGCAGGGCCAGUAAAAUUUUCUCAAGACCUUUGCAAUCAUACACGAACUUUGCAAUCAUACAUUCCUACAGUUUGGUGCUGAUCGCGCAAUAUUUCACAUGCAUAUGCCUGGUGGUGUAAGAGAAGUUUGAGCACAAAUAUUUACAGGAGUUAAAUUGGAAUUAUCAACAAAUACCCCCAAUCAAUACCUUAAUUGGUCCAAGUAAACCAUUCAAAGCCCCAAGGAGAAACCUUGUAGUUAUGGCCAUCCAGAAAUUCACACUAAGCCCAAAGAGAGUGUUAAAAAUAACCCUGUGAGCAUUUUAAGACAAAUAAGAAACCCAGAAAUUGCCAAAGUAUCAUCAAUUUCAAGCUUAAUCAUUUGAAAAUAGAGGUCACUAACACUGUGAUGCAUCCUAUUAUUAUUACAGGCUUUCGACCGCAGCGGUCAGCUCCCAUUCCCCACAAAACAGAUGUUAAAGCUCUGCCAAGCAUGUAUGAAGACCCUUCAAUUUCAUCAAGGUAUUAAGAUGUUUGUUACGAUAACUUCUCGAGGAAUUUGAAAUGUUACAUGCAUAUAUGUUAAUUAUUUCGAGGUGCGAUCAUCUCUACUUUUUAAAGCAUAGACUUGGCGCCCUUUACAGUAUAAAGGCGCAAGUCUGCAGUGUAAAACCCUUGUACAGUGCCUUUACAGUGUUGUAAAGCCCUCGGUAGAACGUUUUUACAGAGUUGUAAAGGCGCGAGUCUGCACUUUGUAAGGUGUGGACAUUUGUACCAAAAAAGGACUCCAUACUAUGUGCCAUUUAUUAAACACAAUAAAAUACAUAAAAUAACUCACCCACGUAACCAGCAUAGAAUCCAAUAUCUUCCUCCCUUUUUGCAAUGUGAAAAUCCCUAAUCUGAAAAGAAAUCAUAACAUACUGUUGUGAAAAAGCAAUGAAUUGUUUGAUAGAUAAAACUUGUCUUUUCUUAUAUUUCUAAGAAAAUCAGCAAGCAUGAUAGAAAAAUAUAAAUUUUCUCACUAGUAACUACUCUGGUGAAGGCAACAACAGUCCACUCACCAUAAAAUAAAGAAAGGGAAAGAGAGAUGCGACCGGCAGAACUGAAAAAAAAAAAAAAAAUCACAAAAGAAUUAAGGACAAAACUAGAAGAGCACAAUAGGCCAAAAUCAUUGUAAAUGGUUCUCUCAAAAAUCAUUAUAUCGAGUUGAAGUUGAAAAAUUUACCAGUUGCAAGCACAACAAUCUAAAUUAUAAAAAGCUUGCGAAUUGGUAAGCCUCGUUCCGACUCUUUAAGCUUAUCAACCUUACAGCCUGAGCAGUUCUCAUAAUAUUUCUUCUUCAGCAGCGGCUCUCUCACUUUCGCCUCCGCCAUACUUGAAAAAUUUUCAGCUCAAGUAAUCGUCUUAGUCUAUGCAAUCCAAUUUCAAUGCCUAAAUAUAAGUACUAGAAAAUAAGUAACAAAAUCAAUAUGCUUAAGGAUAUAGUAGAACUAUAUAAGUGAUCAUUUAAAGAAUUUUCAAUAGAAUUGUAAAAUCAGUUGAUUUUGCAGCUGGGUCUGUCACCACCAUGGUAAUUAAAAUUAUUGGAUCCCAUGUAAAACAAAAUUUUUUCAUUACAUGCCCUCAUUGCUGACGUCCAAUUAAUCAUUACUCUUAUGAGAAUAAUUUUUGGUGACAAGAACGGCGGCAUCCUAGGACGUGACAAAAUAGUCACAAAAAUCCCUUAUUUUAAAAAAUGAUCAUGAAAAUUUAUCCACGGACACACAAAUUCAGGAUCUAUGUAACUAUUUUUAAUUACAAAAAGAGGUCUAUAUAUAUAUUUGAAAAUAAGGGAUAUUCAUGAUUACCAUGUUAAGCCACGAGAUAUCAUGCUGUUUUUUUUAUUUUUCAUUAAAUCGUUGUUACACAAUUCGACAUGUAAAAGUAAUUUAUUUUUUUUGAGAGAUGGUAACAAACAUAGUGACAAAACUAUCAUAGUACAGUCUAAUGAUGAAACUAAUUGUUAAUUAAUUAAUAAAAAUACUAAGUGACUGUAGCGGUUCCGGUCACAGUCACAGUCAAAUACAAUUAGGAUAAUUUAAUUUAAAUAAUGUGUAAUUUAGCGUUAGCCCCAAUUGUUUCGACAUUUUGCAUUGUGCCCCCCAAUCUUCCGACCAUGUCCACCACCCUCAUUUCUUUCAAAUCUAAUGUUAACGGAAAGAAGGGUAGAAUGGUAAUUAACACAAGAUUAAAAUAAUAUAUAUAAUUAAAAAAAACCCUUUUUCCUUCGCCGCCUCUAUAAUUUAAUUUUGGGUUUGAUAUCUUUAGUUUUAAGAUUUUUGAUUAUUGGGUUUCUUUUUAUCGAAUUUUCUUAGUAUGAAUUUAUUUUGUAAUAGAAUUUUACAAUGAAAUUUGCUCUCAGGGAUUUUGGUAUCAUUAGUUUAGGGUUUCUUUCUAUUGGGUUUUAUGUGGGAUUAUUGGACUUAUUUUGUAAUGUACUGAUGAAUGUGUGUUUGAUUUUUUUCUUUCACAUUGGAAUCAUGCUUUGCCUUUGAUUUUGUAAUUUACUAGGUUUAUAAUCUUGGGUUCGUAAUCCGGAAAAAAAUCGUUUCCAUAUAAUUUUAAAAAUAUUAUAAUAAAUUUUUACUUUUUGAUUUAAAUUUUAUUAGUUGUAAGGGUAUUUUAAUACUUAUAUACCCAAUUCAUUUCAAAAUAGGGGUAGUAUAGUCUUUUAAAUUUAUAACAGCCUAAAUAGUUAGAUUAGUUGAUUUUUUAAUAGAAAUAGGGGGAGGUGCACAUGGUCAAAAGAUGUGGGUGCGCUGUGUGAAAUACUGAACAAUUGGGGGCUGAUGCUUAAUUAUCCUUAAAUAAAUUAUUAGUUUAAUGGAAGGAGCAAAAUUCAGGAAAAGAGGAAUCAAACUGCGAAAGGAAUUAGGAAACCUGAAAAGAAAGAAUGAAAAUAACUUUUUUUUUUAAAUUAUUUAUUUGGACAUUGUGACAAACAAGUGAUGUGCAUUGUUAAUUCUGAUUACCCCAAAAUGUCAAGUCUUGAAAAACGACAACAUUACAUGAUUCAUGAGAAGCCUAUCACUUUGAGAUUAAUUUAAUUAAAAAAAAGUUCCGUUUGCUUAAUACUAAAAUGUCACGCGCAAGUUGUCCUGGACUAGAGAGUCGUUCACCCGUACUUACACUGUCACUGCAUUUGCUUGAAAAAUGAUUUUACUAGCAAUAGGUUCUCGUGUUUCGAUAGCUUUCUAAGUGGUUUAUUUACAGGUAUUCAAAAUAUAAAUUAUUGCUAUGAUUUUAGAAAAUAUUGUAUUUUUUUUUUGUAAUUUAUAUUAAAAUUUUGCGACAAUUGUUUGGCUGGAAUUUUUUUUAAUAAGAAAAAUAGUGAUCUCACACUGAUCCAUAGUUGAGCCAAUUACCUAGUUAAAAGCUACCUCCAUAUUUUUUAUUUUUUACCCUAAUGCAUGUCUGAUUCUUUUAAAAUUUUACGUUAUAUAUAUUAAACAAAAAUUAUAAUUUUAAUCAUUGAAAAAUUCAUGACAGACAUCAUUUGAAUAAUUUUUUUUUUUUUUGAAAAAUACAGAGCUAGAGAUAAUGCUAUAAUUGAUUGAAUAAGAAGGCUACAACUUGAUGAUAACUUUAUUGCAAUGUUGCGUGAUCUCAAUAUAUUAUUGGCUUUUGUGUGAGUAAAAGUUGCUGGCUCGUGUUUUACUAAUUUGCCUUUGUAUUUGACUGGCUCGACAAAGAAUCGAUUUACCUCAUACCCAAAUUACAAACAUCGAAACCGGAUCUGUCAUUACGUUAAUUGGCCUCCUAAAAUAAUCAAUCACUUUCUCUUUAGUCUACCAUCCACUCUUUCCAGUCGCUUACUUUCAUUCUAAUCAUCUAAACGGCUCUUUGCUACUGUUUCUUCUAUUCGUCAUUGUUCUUGUUCUGUUAUUAUUUAGCUUUGCUCACUCCUCAGUCUCAUUUCUUAUUCUGUACCCAUCAGCUCUUUUACUUUCCUUUGGCUUUCUUCGCUUCUAUGUUUUUCUCAGGAUUCGAGAUGCUGGAAAUCAUUGUGACUAUCGUCUUGGAACUUGUAAAAUGCUUGGCUCCUCCAACUGAACGCCAACUUGUGCAUUUGCGAAAGCGGAACUACAAUGCCAACUUUGAGAAUAUCAAGGCGGAAAUGGAGAAGUUGAAGGUUGAACGUACGAGCAUUCAGCACAGAGUUUCAGAGGCGGAAGAAAAAGGGGAAGAGAUUGAAGAGAAGGUUGAAAAGUGGCUGGUUAGUGCGAAGUGCGAACGGCAUCAUUGACCGGGCAGCCAAAUUCAUUGAAGAUGAGGAGUCAACGAAUAAGCGCUGUGUCAAGGGCUUGAGUCCUAUUUGGAAGAGUCGCUAUCAGCUUAGCAAGAAAGCAGAGACGGAGGUGAAGGGCAUUAUUGAACUAGGAGAAGAAGUUAGGAAGUUUGAUACUGUUUCCCACCGUACCAUUCGGGAGGAGAUAUGGCUUAAGUCUAGCAAUGGUUACGAGGCCUUCGAAUCAAGACUUUCUACUUUGCAGUCUAUAAAAAAUGCAUUGACGGAGGCGAAUGUCAGCAUUAUUGGGGUGCACGGCAUAGGCGGCAUUGGAAAGACCACACUGGUGAAGGAGUUUGCUAGGCAAGCCAGGGAAAAGAAGCUGUUUUAUCGGGUGGUUUUAUCAGAGGUUUCAUAAACUCCAGAGACAAAAAAGAUUCAAGGGGAAAUUGCAGAGAAGUUAGGUCUGGAGUUGUCCGAUGAAGCUGAAUAUAGAAGAGCUAGCAAGCUGUAUGACCGAUUGAAGAGUGAGAAUAAGAUUCUUGUGAUUCUACAUAAUAUCUGGAAACAUCUUGAAUUGGAGACGGUUGGAAUUCCUUUUGGAAAUAAUCAUAAAGGAUGUAGACUGUUGCUGACAGCACGAGAUAAUACUGUGCUUUUAGGUAUGGGCUCCAAAGAUAACUUUUUGAUUGGCAAUCUAACUGAACAAGAAGCCUGGAGAUUGUUUAAGAUAAUGAAUGGUGAUGAUGUUGAAAAUUGUAAGUUCAAGUCUACAGCAAUUAAUGUAGUUAAGGCAUGUGGAGGUUUGCCCAUUGCGUUGAGGGCACUGAGAAACAAGAGUCUCCAUGAAUGGAAGAAUGCCUUGCGAGAGCUCCGAACGCCUUCAAUGGUAAACUUCGAAGGUGUGUCUGCAGAGACUUAUUCAAGUAUUGAGCUGAGUUUCAAUUAUUUAAAAGGUGAGCAAGUCAAGAAAAUUUUUCUGCUUUGUCGUCUAGUAGGUAACAGUGUUUGGUUUUCAGACUUAUUUAGAUACUCCAUGGGUUUGGGCAUAUUUCAAGGAGUCAACAUUCCCUUCAUAUUUACCAAAGGUAAGUGAUAAAUCCUACAUAUCCCGCUCAAGAAUGCAUAUGUUUUUUCAAUCUCAAGUACCUAAAGUUUUCUUCUAAGUUUAUAAAAAUUUCAGCACCAUCUCCCUAUAAUUCUCCAAGCUCACGACAAAGCUAUAUAAGUGAUGCGUUAUGCCAAAACAACACAUGACACCCAUUCACCUAGUACGUACCCAGAGAACACGAGGAGAAGCUACCGUAAAAGCCAUUUUUACGUGGGAAGAAAACUUCAGCUACUAGCUACCAGAGAGAACUAUGCAUUCCCAAACUGUCCAAGCCUGGACAAUUCAAGAAUUAUUAAUAGACAUAUGAUCCUCACUAUCAUCCAAAGAUGACACUAAUACAACAUGUGUCUAUUAAUAAUUUCUUAAACAAGUCUAAGCUUUCAAUGCACGUAUCAAAAGUUUAAAAUUGAAUCUGAAAUUUGAAUAACACAUAAAUAUCAUAAAUCUCUUCAAUUUAUUCCUGAUACAAUGUAGCAUUAUUUCACAUAUCAUUUCUUAAGCAAAACCAUAAAAAAUACAAACAAUAAAUACAUUUUCCCACUGAUGCAGAUUAUGUUUACUGAGCAAUAAGUUUUAUGUCAUUCAUGUUGAAAUACUUCUGCCUAUUCUUUCAACAUAUAACUAGUACAUACACAAAAAAAAAACCUGGUGGUGAAUCUUGCAAAAUCUUCCUUUUUUCUUUUUUUUUUCUUUUUCUUCUUUUUUUGGGGUGGGGUGUUGGGGGAACUAUGAAUCUUGCAAAUCCUCAAGAAGCCAUGUUAAGACAAGGCCAGCUUACUAUUGGGGUAUGAAAGAUAAAACCUUUUAUUUCCUUUUCAAAAUAAAAAGGACAUUGACAGUGUUAAAAAAAAUCUAGAGGAUUUCAGGCCUCCAGAUCCUUACAAAUCAAGGAUAUUAAAAAAAAUUACUUAGAGGAGAAAGGUUAUGCUCAUUUGUAUCUUGUUAGAAGAAAUUGAUCCAAAGCCUCAGUUUUAAUUUGCUUCAUAUAGCCAAUGACUAGGUGUUUAAAAACCAAUGAAUAUUUUUAUAAGAAAUCAACAAUAUUGUUGAAAGAAAAACCAAAUAAAAAUAAUAAAGCCAAUGAAUAGAUCAAGGCUCUUUGUGGUCUAAAACUAAUCAAACUAAGUUGUGGGCAAAGGCAAAUAUGUUUGUUUGGUCAAUAAUAAGCUCAACAAGUCACUAAUAACCACCUAAUCACUAUUCCUUAUGCUAUGCAAUAUAAUGGCCUGGGUAAUGGCGCCAAGGCAGACAAUAAGUAGCUAGCCAGUUAUGAUAGUUGAUUAACUUAACCUACUGGAAAUCUGAAGACCAAAACGAAGAAGCUUUGUCUAGAACUAGAAUAGGAACAUUCGUACCCAAAACUAAUAUACACAAUUAAGAAACUUGAUUAUAUGUAUAUUUCUGUUGGCCACACUUAAAGAGAAUUUCCAAAAGAUGCUAAGGUACACCAAAUCCCACUAUUUCAUACUCAUAAACACAAAAAACCAUGGUAAAAAUUAAUGACUAUAUCAAAUAAAAUCGGUGAUAGGACAUUGAGAUUAGGACAACUUGAUUUGUAUACCGUAAAAUAACUAUAUCUGCAUGGUGAACUAUAUUUCUGUUAGAAGUCUGAAGUUUUCUAUUAAAUUUUUUUCUCUGUUGGGUAAACCACUUAACUGAAGUGCUUAAGCCAAUUUUGACAAUCAUAGACAUAAAAGUAUUAAUAGGCUCAUUCAAGUGAAAUGAGCAUUAUUUCACACAUCCUUUAGGUUUUUAAGUCAUUUAGAAGUCAUUCAUGUUAAAAAAAAAAUUCAUAUACUUUCAAUAUAAUUAGAACAUACACAAUUAAUUAAUUAAAUAAAUCUGUUUCAGCUAGUAUAGGAACUUAAUUAAUCAAAGCUAGUAGUUAUAGCUAGGACUUGAACGAGGCACCUUUCAAAGUUCAAGAAGAGCAUCUGAACAUAAUGAAAGCACUUUGUAGAUAUGGUAAUGAUGCUUUACAUCUACAUGCUCUUACACAGCAUGAACUUUCAUUUACUCCAAGCUCUUAUUCUACAAGUCAAUUCAGUUUGUAGAUGCACGCCAUUGUAAAAACUUUUGUAUUAUAAUUUCUGAAAAUAGAAUGUAACAUUAUUAAUAUAGAAUCAGCAAUGUAUAUAACUUAUCAGACAAUAUAACAAGCACUUGGUGAGCAUACAAGAUAAACUAAAACAAGUCAUCCAGAAAAUGAAACUAAAACCCAAGCUCCGCUAUUCAUUGUAGAUGCUUUAAACAUAAAAUUAAACUAAAUCUAAUAGCAAAACAUUAGAAUGGAUGUUGGAAUUAAAGCUAAAUUCAAUAGUAAUUCAAAUGAAUCCAUUUGAACUUUGUAAAUUCCGCAGAACAAAAUUAAUUUGAGUGAGCAAACUCACCAAUGGAACAAGAACACAGGGGCUUCAACUUGUAGGAAUAAAAAAAUAUUGCUGGCGGGACAAAAAUUGACAAUAAUGGCUACAAUACGAAUUUAAAAAAAAUUCAAAAUCUAUAAUUACAAGCUAAGUAAGAGAAGAAACUCAUAAUCACAAGCUUACCUCAAAAGAUGAAGGGAGAAUACGAUGAAGAAGAAGAUGCCCGGUGUUUUACGCCGUUCGCCGGCAACCAGUUAGGUUUACGAUGGUGGCUAGUCCAGCGAAUAGUUUUCUAACUGGAAAUAAAUUUAAAUUUCUAAAAUAGUGCUAUGCCGAACGGCUCUUUACCGUCACGUGGUUAGUAACAUAUGUGACAGCAGUGUGGCCGUCACAUAAAGGGUAACAAAAGCAACUCGAGGUUACAAAGUUAGAAGUUAGUGGCAUGCGUAAUGGCUGCUUUUGCAAAUUUGCAUUCACAUUAGGGGUCACAUAUACCCUAUUUUCUUGUAGUACAUGGUAAAUUCUAUUUCAAAAUUGCUAAGUAUUUUAGAUUUGUAUGAAUUCAUUUUUGUGUGCUCGUUGGAUAAUAAUAUAUUAUUUAAUAAAUUAAAUUUUUGUUGUAAUUUUCACAAUAUUGUAUUAUAAAUAUGUCUCGUUGAAAGGUUUUGAAAUCGUUUUUAUUGAUCAUAAGGCGAAAGCUACUGUGCAACUGUGAUACGGUAUCACCGUUGCACCCAGCCGUUGGAUCCCACUUGAUCUAUUCAUCCGCGUGGAUCCAACGGCUGGAUGCAACAGUGAUACCGUAUCACCGUUGCACCGUAGCCGGACCCUGAUCAUAAUUGAUAUUUCCACAGUUGCAAAAGAUACCAGAGAAAAUUUGAUUAUCUUAAGAAAUGAGGGAAUGAGAUCUGAAAUCAACCAUACCAUAAAAUCAAAUUUUAUCAUGUCAUCCUUCUCGGUUCAAAUUUAUGGAAACAAUAAUCAAAUGCAUCCAUGAACUAGUAUAUUCCGAGAUAUGUACCAUCAAAUUUUUGCUAUAUCAUACUUAUAUAUGUAUAUUGAAAUUUUAAUAACAACAAUUGGGCCAAGCAUAUGUUGGUACUUGAAGAUUUAUAAGCUCCAUCCUUGAAAAAAUAAAGCUUGACUGUUUUCAAUCUGAUUCUUUUUGUUUUAAGUUCUUAAUUAAGCUUUCUUACUUGUUUUCAAGAGCCAGUUUUGUAAUGAUCCACAAACAUGAUUUGCAUAUACAGUAUUGCAGUUGGCAUUUAUGUAUCACUUAUUAAUUAGAUUUAAAUUUUAUAAAUUAAUUAAGCUGAUUAAUAUUUUAUAUGUGCACUAAAUGAUAGAUACAACAUAAAUUGGGACACUAUAACUACGUAUCCUUACUAUGUAAUAUUUGUUUGUCUCAAACCCAAUCAUGGCUUGAUAUUCUGAAUACUAUUUAGGAUAACAUUUCAAGCCCCAUGAGGGCUCUUUCCGUUUAAAAAAAAAAGUAUGAAAUAGAUGUAGAUUUUUCUUUAGAUAUUAUUAGUGAAAGUACCUUUGAUGGCAAUGGUUCAAGAUGAUUUGAGAUUUGACAAUUCCGCUCUCAUCUUAAUUAUCAAAUGGAAUGUAAGUAGAGAUAAACUCGUCCUGUUUAUAUAUUUGUGAUCAAAAUUAGGACCAAUAUCAAACCGCUCACAAUCAUGUCCCAUCCUAACUAUCUUGAAUGUCUUGAUUGCCUCCCUUAAUUAUCUUUUUAAUUCUCAUUAACAUAUUAGCAAAAUUUCCAUAUAUUAAAAAAUUAGGGUCCGACUAUCUAUACUUUAAAAAUCAUUAUGAACACUCAAUUAUUUAUGCACUCAGCAAAUAAAUUUAAAAAAUUAAGUUUUACUUUCUACACUUUUUAAAAUAACAAAAACAUCUUUACAUGAACCUAAUAAGUUUAUUUAAAAAAAUUAAAUCAACUAUUUUUAUUUAUUCAAAAUACUAAUAAAAAUAUUUAGCAAACCGUGAAAGAAAUUUUUUAAGAAAUUUAACACGAUUUUAGUUAUUACUUGUUGUUUAUUAAAGAAUGUGUUCACUAUUGUUUUUAAUUUUGUUAGUAAAAAAAAUAGAAGAAGAAGUUUGGGUUUAAGAUACAUUUAAUUUUAGUGUAACAGUUGUACUAUAUAGCUUUAUUUACCCAAGUGGGCAAUACAUUUAAUUUUUAGUGUAACAGUUUUAUUCAUACAACGCUUUUAAAACUAAAAGUACUUUUAAAAAUAAAUUUUACUAAAUAUUCAGCUUAUUCUCUUGACGAUUGAUCAAUUUCUACAAUAUAACUAAUUGUAAUUAUUUUAAAAGCUACAGGAUUACCAAAUUGACCCUAAAUCAAACCAAUAAAAAUGUUUAAAAAUAAUAAUUAUAAACCAAAGUAAACGUACAAAAAUUCAUGCAUAAUUUGAUAAUCAACAAAAACAUCCACAAGUUUACCUCCAAGUUUUCUACUCAAUUGACAUAACCCUUAAAUUUCAAAAGGCAUAAUCAAUUUUGUGUCUAAUCCUAUAAAAUUAGAAAAUUAAAGAAUAUUAUAUACUGAUAAUUAAAUAAUAUGCACUUAACAAUGUUAAAAAAAUAAUGUUAAACACAUUGUCAACUAAAAUAAUUGGGAGAAUUGGAGUUCCAAGAUAAAUUCUUAUCUAGUCCCAAAUCAAUAAUUGGGAUUAACAAGCUGCUAUUGAAAUUAAUGUUAACAACUAAAAUAGAUGCAAAAGGAGAAACAGGCAUCAUGUGCAGUACCCACUGUGAACUGCUCACAAGUUGUUGGCAGCUGGUCAAAAAUUCAAUGUUGAUUUUGAUCCCACUAAAUUAAGUCAUCAAAAAUUGCUGGGAAGGGAGUAAUAUCUAUUUAUAACUGGAAAUUACUCACCGUACAACGAUGAUUGGAGCUGCAUAUAUCAUUUAUUAUUAACAACUAACUUAUGAAAUGCUUUGAAUGUAUCUCCUAGGUCGUAUUAUUCACUAUACUAGUUAGGAGAAAUUGCAAUGUUAAAUUAUUUGAUAAAUACUUAUUAUAAUUUGAAAAUAUGUUAAUUUUGUCCUCCAUUUAUGAUAAAAAAAAUUAUAAUAUAUAAAAAUCAUUCAUUCUAUAAUCUUGAACUUUAUUAAAGUUUGAAAAACUAUUACUCUAUAUGAUAUAAUUGUGUGAUGUUAUUACACUAUUAUACCAUAUAAAAUAUAUUUGCUUUCUUAAAUUUUAAUAAAGUCUAGGUCUUGGACAGAAGCACUUUAUAUAUGUAUAUAUAAUGAUUCUCUAGUAACAACAUUCUCAUUUUAACAAAAUAAUGAUAUCACUAACAAACUAAAUAACACGUAUUUCAAUACACCAAUAGAUAAAAAAAAAUAUAAUUUUUAAUGUGUUAAAAUAUGUCUUUUGUAUAUUAUUGAUAUUUUCACUUUAACAAAGUGAGGGUGUCCACACUACAGAAGUACUUUAUAAAUAUUCUUUGUAUUUUUGUGAAAAUUAUUAUUUAAAUGUCAUAUCUUACCAAAGACUAUUAGUUUUUAUUUUAUUACUACACUAUACUUUUCAAGAUAGAACACCUUAAUACCAUGACCUUAAUUUUUGAACUCUCUUGUGCAAAGUUGUUGGCUGGUCUAUUUAGCUUAGUCUUUCAAUUAUUUGUCGUUUGAACUCAAAUGAUCCGAAUAAAGCUAUGUAUCAAUAAUUUCCUAGUGAAACUUCGGGAAAAAAUAAAAAUCCUCUCAUACAGUAGCAUUAUUUUAAUUCUCAGCUUGAUUAUGUUUUGAGUUAACUUAUAGAUUAUUUGAAAUGAAAAUAAUAUAAUUUAUUUUUUCCAACUGAAAUUUUUAAAUAAUUUUAUUAGUUUGAUGAGUAAGUAUACACUUACAAAGUUAUGAUAUAAAAUUAUAUCCCAGAAUCUGAAUAAUAUGACACCAAUUAACUACUGCUAUUUGUUUCUUAGUAUUAAAAUUUUCAUACCAUUAUUAAUGAGAUAAUUAACUUCAACACCAAUAAACAAAUUUUAUAUUAAUACAUCCUCUAGCUUUAUUAUCAAAUAAUCAUAUGUCAUAAUCAAACCAAGCUACCAGAGCCUACCACUAAAAGAUUGAUUGAAGGGUUUUCCAAGUUUGAAAAUGUUAGUAGCAUUGGCAAAUGGCAACUUCCAGGAAUCUUCCUGCUACAAUCAAUCAUUUAGUGAAAUGCCCAAAUGACACAAAGGACCCCGCCAAACAUGAAGUCACAUCAUUUAUUUAUUUGUAAAUGAAAAAUAAGGUUCCGAUCGGAAGAAAUCAGCACCUUAUAAUGCAUGAUUACUCGUAUGUCAAGUUUGGCGAUUAUAAGUCAUCAUCACAAUAACUUUGGACUUUGAUAUUUAAGUCUCCAUUUGGGACCAAUGUAUGUGUUGUGAAUUUGGCUUUGAUAAGAUUAACCAAAUUCUCCCCAAGACACUUAGUUCUGUAUCGAUGGUUUUAAGAAUGAUUAACACAGACUAUUCAGCAACAAAUACACACACGAAUCAAAGUUUUAAAGAUCACAAACAAGACACCAAGCAUAAGUGGUUCAGCACCAAGAAGUGGUGCUUACAUCCACUGGAAACAAAGCAACAGUCUUUCACUAUUUCGUUCACAAAACAAUACAAGAAUAGGAAUUGAUUUACAGAGAACAAGAACUUGUAAACCCCUUUCUCUCUCUAUCUUCUCUCUACUCUUAGUGUUUCCCAAAUCAUGUGAAGACGAUGACAAAGCCUGCACCUUUUUAUCCUCUGUUUCUGGGUUGUUACGCCAACUACCAUUCCCGCCAAAUCUAUCCAAGAAGCUCUGCCUCACGUGCCUGUCGCACGCUGAUUUAAGUGUGAUUAAGAAACGGCACUCAGAGACGUCGUUUCUUGACCCAAGCAAGAGUUAGCUUCAACACAUGUGCAAACCACGUGUACUACUAAAGAUAGAACAGAUGACUGAGAUUAUGUCGGAUCUGGCUUCAGGAACUUCUACAAGUGACAAGUCAUCCGAGACUGAAUCCUCUAAACGACUUGUAGUACUUGAGUUUCGAGUUCACUGUUUAUCAGUAUGGCAGUUGGACAACACAUCACUCAAUUAUAGAGUGUGAAAUAUUGAUAUUGUUCUUAUUAUUUUAUGUAAUGUAUAAACUUUUCCUUUUAUUUGUGUUUGUUUAUUUUUUUUAUACUUAAUAAAUAUAAAUUUAUUUUUUAAAUAUUUAACAAAUAGUCACGACCAGACAAUAUUGCCAGAGAAUAACAAACAAUGACCCAAAUCCUUUUAUCUUACAGAAAUAAUUUCAAGUAGUCACGGCCAAACAAUAUUGCCAGAGAAUAACAAACGAUGACCCAAAUCCUUUUAUCUUACAUAAAUAAUUUCAAUUCACAACAACUAUGACAUUACAUUACCAAAUAAACACUAAAUAUUUUGAUGAUUGUAGUUUAUCUUUCAUUCAUAGCAUGAAGAGUUUGAAAUAUGAUCUCAAAACAAAGAGUACGACAUGUCGUGUUCGGUUUACAGAAGAAGUGUACCCCAUGUCAUCCGAAAACUAAAAGGCGCGUAUGACAACCAGACGCUGUCAUCUCUUAUUUGCUUACACUUUAAGGAAGAAUUCUGGGUUUUGAGUGACAAUUAAAAGCUAGAGUGAGAAUUAGAGAGAGAGUUAUAUAUUCUUAUUUAUUCCUAGUCACUUGCUAUAUUGUGUAGGUCUUUUGUGAUUCCAAUAAUAAAAACGCUCAAUAUUUUUUUUUAUAGAGCAAUAUUUGUUAAAGCAUGAAGAAAGACAGAAAUAUUGUAAAUCCAUCUCAACUUUUCUGUUUAUUGUGGUCGCUGCUAGAGCUAGCUGUUUUCUUAUUUAACAUUGUUCUCUUUUGCCAUCAGCUCUUAGCAUUUUCAUUCAAUCAAGCGACCCUUUUCUUGCUUCAAUUUUUUUUUAUCUCAAAAGCACUUUGAUUCUCUUCAGUUACACUGAUUUUCUCCUUGUUUUGCACAAAUAUCAUUUCUCUUUCCCAUUUAGCCUUGAUUUGCUUCUACUUGACUAUCAAUUGCCCAGUCGUUGAACCUGUUGUAUUUUUAUUUCGUUCACUUCAAAUAGACAAAAAAAAAAAAAAAAGAUGUUGGAUAAAAGCCUAAAAUCUAAUUUGGUUUUUAAUUUGAUUUAGCUAAGAUGUCCAAUUUAAUACUAAGAGCAAUGUUAAGGAUCCCAAUAAUUGAGUCUCAAUUGAUAUGAUAGUCAUUUAUUAGAUGAUCGAAAUAUUAAUUUUACUAGUUAUGAAAUUCAUUAUCCAAUAAAAAAAUGAUACAUAACAAUUGGAUCUCAAAUUAGAAUUCUACUAUCGAAAUUCCUAACAUUAUUCUAAUAUUAAAAAUUCAUCAAAAUAAUAUCUAUUAUCUAAAAAAAUAAAAUAAAAAUCUAAAACCAUAGAUUUACUCUUCAAUCUUCGUGAUUUGGCUGAUUUCUUUUAAAGCUUUGGUUUCUUUAUAUUUUUAUCGGUCAUUUUAACGGUACUGGCGUUUGAUUUUCUGACUAAGCUACUGUUUAGUUCCAAGUUUUGGCAAUUACCCGGACUGCUUUCUUUUGUGUAACAUCGACACAAUGAGGCUUUGCAUCUAAAAGUCGGCAGCCAUGCAACUUCUUGGAAUCUUCGUGCAAGUGUUGGAUAUCGACCGUUCGAUAAUGACGGCAGCAUUGGUCUGGAGUGUUAGAUAUUUUAUUGAUUAAGGAUCACAAAUAAUGGAUAUUGGAUGAGGAUCACAUGUUUUAUGACAAUCGUAAUGUUACUAAUAUAAGUCAAGCAAUUAUUUUUAAAUAAUGAUAUUAUAAUUAAAAAUAAAAAAAUAUUUAUAAUACUUAAACACUAAUUCAGAGUAUUAAUUUUUUUAUAUGAAUUAAUUAUUUGCUGACAAAUAAUUAAAAGGUCAUAGAACAAUAUUUUCAGCUCAAAUUUUUAUUCUAAUAUGACACAACUUGGUACUUUCAUUCCUAUGCUAAAAUAUAUCUAACCUACUAAUAGUCAAGAAAUAUAUCUAUUCAACACAUAUUUGUUAGAAAGAUUAUCUACUAAUUAAUCAUUGAGACGAGAUUACGAAUCUCAACAUAAAUUAGGAUAAAAAUUAAUAUAUUGAAAUUCAGAAUAUUUCAAGCUUGUAAAACUACUUUCAAGCGAAUCUGAUAAAAUUAUUUCAAUACUCGUGGGUGACUCCUUUUUAAACCGCAGAAGGAAAUGAUUUUCUCCUUGUUUGUACAAAUAUAAUUUCUUUUUUCAAUUUUGCCUUGUUUUGCUUCUACUUGAUUAUCAAUUGCACAGCCGUUGACCCUGUUCUAUUUCUAUUUCGUUCACUUCCCUAAAAAAAAAAAAAAGAUGGACAUUUUGAAAAGCAUUGUUCCAGGAGUUGUAAACUGCUUGUCCCCUCACGCACAACGCGAAUUUAGUUACUGGUAUAACUCCGGUGCCAACUUUGAGAAUCUCAAGGCAGAACUCCAUAGGCUCAAGGUUGAAAGAGAAAGCAUUCAGCGCAGAGUUUCUGAGGCUGAAAGAAAAGGUGAAAAGAUUGAAGAGAAUGUUGAGAAAUGGCUGGUUAAUGCGAACGAGAGCAUUGAGCAGGCAGCCAAAUUCAUUCAAGACGAAGAGAAAGCAAAUGAUGGCCGAUGUCUCAUGGGGCUGUUUCCUGAUUGGUUUGCUCGCUAUCAUCAUGGAAAGAAAGCAGAAACAGAGAAGGAGGCCCUUUUUAAACUCCGAGAAGAAGCUGGGAGAUUUGAUGAUAGAAUUUCCUACCGUACCGUUCCGGAGGAUAUAUGGCUCAAGUCUCACAAAGGCUACGAGGCCUUCGAAUCAAGACUUUCUACUUUGAAAGCCAUACAAAAUGCAUUGAUCGUUGUUGAUGUCAGCAUCAUUGGGGUCUACGGCAUGGGCGGCAUUGGAAAGACGACACUGGUGCAGGAGGUCGCCAGGCAAGCUAUGGCAGACAAGCUCUUUGAUACGGUGGUCUUUUCAGAGGUUUCGCAAACUCCAGACAUAAAAAAGAUUCAACAGGAAAUUGCCGAGAAGUUGGGCCUGGAGUUGCACGAGGAAGUUGAAUCUAGAAGAGCAAGUAGGCUAUGUGAGCGAUUGAAAAAUGAGAAAAAGAUCCUUGUGAUUCUGGAUAACAUCUGGAAACCUCUUGAUUUGGGGACUAUUGGAAUUCCUUUUGGAGUUGAGCACAGAGGAUGCAAAUUAUUAUUCACAACAAGAGAUCUUGAUGUGCUGUUAAGGACAGAAUCUGAAAAAAACUUCUCGAUUGGCAUUUUAAAUGAACAAGAAGCCUGGAGAUUGUUCAAGAUAAUGGCUGGUGAUUAUGUUGAAAACCGUGAGUUAAAACCUAUAGCAACAAGGGUAGCCAAGGCAUGUGGAGGUUUGCCUAUUGCCCUUAACCACAGUAGCAAAGGCACUGAGAAACAAAGAGCUGCCUGUGUGGAAGAAUGCGUUGCAAGAACUCCAAACGCCUUCAGAGGCAAGCUUCGACGGAGGAGUACCAGCAGAGGCAUACUCAACAAUUGAGCUGAGUUACAAGUACUUAAGAGGUGAGCAACUCAAGAAAACGUUUUUACUGUGUAGUCUUAUUACGCCAGCACCAAUUAUGGAUUUGUUCAAAUACAGCAUGGGCUUGGGUGUAUUUAAAAGUGUCCAUAAACUAAGAGACUCUUGUUUGUUGCUUGAGGAUGGUGGCAGUAAAUACAUUUCUAUGCACGAUGUUGUUCGCGAUGUUGCCAUUUCAAUUGCAUGUCGUGACAAAAUUGGAUUUGUGGUGAGAAAUGAGGAUGUGUGGAACUGGCCAGAUGCAGAUGCACUAAAAAAAUAUCUUGCAAUUUCUUUUAAAGAUAGUAUUGUUAAUGACAUUCCUGAAGGGUCCGAAUCUCUACAACUUCAACUUCUAGUCAUGUCUCCCAAGAACUCUUUUUCUGUGCCUAAUAUUCCUAAGAACUUCUUCAAAAGGACGAAAAAGCUUCGGGUUUUGGAUUUGACUAGAAUGCGGUUAUUGUCAUUGCCAUCUUCAAUUGGUCUUCUAGUAAAUCUUCAGACACUCUGUCUUAAUCAAAGCAUUUUGGGAGGCAUAGACAUAGCCAUUAUUGGAAAGUUGGAAAAUCUAGAAAUCCUCAGCUUUUUGCAAUCUGAUAUUGUAGAGUUGCCUAAAGCACUGGGUCAACUGACUAACCUAAGGCUGUUAGAUUUCACAGACUGUUUCCGUCUGAAAGUUAUUGCCCCAAAUGUCAUAUCAAGCUUAACCCGAUUAGAAGAAUUGUAUAUGGGUAAUUGCUCCAUUGAAUGGGAGGUUGAAAGAGCCAACAGCAAAAGAAGUAAUGCUAGCCUUGAUGAAUUGAUGCAUUUACCUCGGCUAACCACUCUAGAAAUUGACGUUAAAAAUGACAGUAUGUUACCAGAACGUUUUUUGGCCAGAAAGCUUGAAAGGUUCAAAAUACAUAUUGGAAAUGAGUCAUUCACGCAUCCCAUGAGAGUCAGACAAGCUUGGUUUAAAAGUCGGCGACACUUUUAUAUCGACAGUGAUUGCAAGAGUUUAAGAGCAUUGAAGCUCAAGCUUGCUUUUACGGACAUUUGCUCCAUGAAAUUGCAGGGCGUCAAUAGCGUUGAAUACUUAUUGUUGGACAAGCUGCGAGGUAUCAAGAACGUUCUUUUCAAUUUGGACACGGAGGGCUUUUCACAAUUGAAGGUUCUCUGGGUUCAAAAUAAUCCUGACUUCUUUUGCAUCGUCGAUUCAAGGGCGAUGGUCGCUUGUGAUGCCUUUCCUCUUUUGGAGUCACUUGGCCUUCACAAUUUGAUCAACAUGGAGAGGAUAUGUAUUGAUCGGCUCAAAGUAGAGUCCUUCAACGAACUCAAAAAUAUAGAAGUAUAUAAUUGUGAUAAGUUGAGUAAUAUCUUUUGGCUCUCUACUAAAAAAUGCCUUCCAAGACUUGAGAGAAUUGCAGUUGUUAAUUGCAGCAAGAUGAAAGAGAUUUUUGCAAUUGGGGAAGAAGUUGAUAAUGCAAUUGAGAAGAUAGAGUUUGCUCAAUUAAGAUCUUUGAGUCUGGGGAAUCUUCCAGAGGUUACAAGUUUUUGCCGGGAAGUAAAGACUCCUUCAGCAUCACCAAACAGACCAGCGUCGCAAGAGGAAUCGACGACUAUGUAUAGCUCCAGCGAAAUCACUUUGGAUAUUUCAACUCUGCUUUUCAACGAGAAGGUGCGUAGUGUUGCGGACCGCCCAAUUCGCUAGCCCAAUUGCCCACAAUUUCGGGCUAGAGAGCCAACACAAGGCCAAGAGUGCUAGCUUGGCCCAAUUCCGGAAGGUUCUAGGCAACUCUAGCACAUGUGAACAUGUAAAUAUUCUAGAAUACUUUAUACAAUUCCAGCACAUGUAAAUAGCUAGGAAAUUGUAUAAUACUCUAGAGUUUGACCAAGUUUGGCAAAGUUAGGCAAAGUUAGGCAAAGUUAGGCAAAGCCUCCCCUAUAACUAUGGGAUGGCAUUAGGCAUUUGUAUCCAACAAGCAUUGUAAUCUCUCUUUGUGCAAUACAAGUUUCUUUGGCUCAAUUGCUCUCUUCUCUUGUUCGAGAAUCUCUAGGCUUACUUAGCAACAUUCGGCAAAGUUGUCUAAGUGCCGCACGGGUUAGCUGCGCAAAACACUCAUCCCGUGACAAGUGGUAUCAGAGCUAAGGUUUGCACGCACGCAAAUUAGCUCACGAAGCAAUGGCCAACCCUUCGAACGUAGCACAAGAGGGUGUUGUUGGUGUGGAUGUUCCACCGGAACCAAGCCGUGGCCGAGAGGGAGAACGCGCCCAAGGCAAGACUCGCGGCAAGUCCAAGGCCCUAUCCGUGGAUGCGUUGGAGCCUCGUGUAGGCACUCUCGAAAUAGCAUUGUCCGCCGCUCAAGAUAGCCUCGUGGGAUUGGAGGAAAGAGUGGAUGGUCUCGAGGGAGAAUACGCCAAGUUCACGGUGGCCACAAAAGCUCUCAUCCAUGAGCAAGCGAACAUUCUCCGAGGUGAGUUUCGUUCUUUCCAUGAUGAGUUGCUCAAACUUCGUAGUUUUGUUCAGGACGAACUACGUGCUGUCCGUGCGGAAGUGGAUGAAGUCCGCUCGGAUUGGGCAUGGCACAAGCGCACACUCUCCACAAGUCCAGCUUCCGCAAACUCGAGUGAUGCGCGCCGCAUUGACGUGCCAAAGCCCGACACCUACGAUGGCACACGCAAUGCCACCAUCGUGGACAAUUUCCUCUUUGGGCUGGAUCAAUACUUCGAUGCCAUGGGUGUCCGAGAUGAGGCAUCGAAAGUGGGCACUGCACCCACCUAUCUUAGAGGCGCUGCACAACUAUGGUGGCGUCGCAAGCAUGGCGAGAUGGGCAAGGGCAUUUGCGCCAUCAACACUUGGGCCGACUUCAAGCAAGAACUCCGAAAGCAGUUCGCCCCAAGCAAUGCGGAGAAGGAAGCGCGAGUGCGCUUACGUCGCCUCAAGCAAUCGGGUAGCAUUCGGGACUACAUCAACGAGUUCACUACCCUCAUGUUGGAGAUAAGCGACAUGUCCAACAAGGAUUCACUCUUCUACUUCCAAGAUGGCCUCAAGGAUUGGGCCAAGACCGAGCUUGAUAGGCGUGGUAUUCAAACACUUGACGACGCCAUUGCCGUUGCGGAGUCGCUCACCGAAUACUCUACCCAAUCCAAGGACAAAAAGGCCAACCAAGGCAAAGGUGGGGGAGAGAGUCGCAAGGACAAGGGCAACAACCGCAAAGAUUGGGGGCAGAAAAAGCCGCCUAGCAACAAGAGUUGGCAAGGAAAAUUGGAGGGCAAGAAGGAGGCGCCAAAGCCGCGAAGCCCAUGCUUCAUAUGCAAUGGUCCUCAUUGGGUACGCGACUGUCCGGAGAAGAGGUUGCUUAAUGCUCUUGCUGCCCAACUCAAGAGCAACCCCACAAUGUCCACGGAGGAACCCCAACUCAGCAUGGGUUCUCUCCAACGCCUCGGCGCCCUCAAUCGCCAACAGCCCGCACUCGUCAAGAAAGGGCUCAUGUAUGUAAGCGCAAAGGUAAACGGUCAGUCCGUUCGCGCGCUGCUAGACACGGGAGCAACACACAAUUUCGUGUCCGUAGACGAGGCCAAGCGCUUAGGCCUCAAGGCCACCAAGGAAGGAGGCACAAUGAAGGCUGUGAACUCACCCGCCAAGCCAAUUGCGGGAAUCGCACAAGGCGUGCACAUCACACUUGGUACGUGGAGCGGAAAGCUUGACUUCUCCAUCGUGCCCAUGGACGACUUCAAGAUGGUCCUCGGCAUGGAAUUCUUCGACCAAGUCCAUGCCUUCCCACUGCCCGCUACAAACUCCCUAAGCAUCCUCGACGGGAGUAAAGCAUGCAUGGUACCCACGGAGCGAGGCAAGUCCGAGGAGAAGACACUCUCCGCCAUGCAAUUCAAAAGGGCUUUCAAGAAGGACCCAAGCUUCUUGGUCUCCAUUCGGGAACUAAAUGAGGAAGGAAAUAGCGGAACGUCGCCAAGCCAAGUCCCUCCACAAAUUCAAGCCGUCCUCGAAGAUUACAAGGAUGUGAUGCCUCCAGAACUUCCAAAGAAGCUCCCACCUCCGCGAGAGGUAGAUCAUGCGAUUGAGCUAGAACAAGGCGCGAAGCCACCAGCCUUGGCACCCUACCGCAUGGCGCCACCCGAAUUAGAGGAGUUGCGGAGACAACUCAAAGACUUGCUGGAUGCCGGCUACAUUCGCCCCUCAAAGGCCCCAUUCGGUGCACCGGUCCUCUUCCAAAAGAAAAAUGAUGGAUCGCUGCGGAUGUGCAUCAACUAUAGAGCGCUCAACAAGAUCACCAUCAAGAACAAGUAUCCGAUUCCAUUGAUUGCGGACUUGUUCGACCAGCUUGGCAAAGCGCGGUACUUCACCAAACUUGACUUGCGCUCCGGGUACUACCAAGUGCGCAUCGCCAAGGGAGACGAACCGAAGACAGCGUGCACAACAAGGUACGGGUCUUUCGAAUUCCUUGUGAUGCCUUUUGGCCUUACUAAUGCACCCGCCACAUUUUGCACACUCAUGAACAAGGUACUCCAACCAUUCCUCGACCGCUUCGUGGUCGUGUACUUGGACGACAUUGUGGUGUAUAGCACCACACUCGAGGAUCAUGCCCAACACUUGCAACAAGUCCUCCAAGUACUUCGAGACAAUGAGCUCUUCCUCAAACUAGAGAAGUGCUCGUUUGCCCAACAAGAGGUGGAGUUCCUUGGCCACAAGAUUGCGGGCGGGAAGAUCAUGAUGGAAAAUGACAAAGUAAAGGCCAUCCUCGAUUGGGAGCCUCCCUCGAAAGUACCCGAGCUUCGCUCAUUCCUUGGGCUGGUGAAUUACUACCGCCGCUUCAUUAAGGGCUAUUCAGCCAAGGCGGCACCCUUGACGGAUAUGCUCAAGAAAAACAGAACGUGGCAUUGGUCCGAAGAGUGCUAACGUGCAUUCGAGGAGUUGAAGGCAAUUUCGGAGGAACCAGUCCUCGCUCUUCCGGACCACACCAAGCCCUUCGAAGUUCAAACGGAUGCCUCGGAUUUCGCCAUAGGUGGAGUCCUUAUGCAAGAAGGCCACCCAAUAGCGUUCGAGAGUCGAAAGCUAAAUGACACGGAACGCCGCUACACGGUGCAAGAAAAGGAGAUGACAGCCAUCAUCCAUUGUCUAAGAGUGUGGCGACAUUACUUGCUUGGCUCACACUUCACGAUCAUGACGGACAACGUGGCGACAAGCUACUUUCAAACUCAAAAGAAGUUGAGUCCGAAGCAAGCACGGUGGCAAGAUUUCCUUGCGGAAUUCGACUAUCGGCUAGAGUACAAACCGGGGAAAGCCAAUGUUGUUGCGGACGCUCUAAGCCGCAAGGCGGAAUUGGCAACACUUAGCAUGAGCCAACCGAAGUCCGACCUUGUCUCACGCAUCAAGGAAGGCCUCCAACAAGAUCCGCUAGCAAAGGAUUUGCUGGAGAAGGUGCUCGAGGGAAAGACAAGGCGGUUUUGGCAAGAGGAAGGCAUCCUCCUCACCAAGGGAGAUCGGCUGUUCGUGCCAAGGUGGGGAAACUUGCGGAAGGAAGUAAUCAAGGAGUGCCACGACUCUAAGUGGGCUGGUCACCCAGGAAUCGAGCGCACCACCGCACUAGUUCAAGCCUCGUAUUUUUGGCCGCACAUGAGGGACGACAUUGAGGCAUAUGUGCGAACUUGUCUUGUGUGCCAACAAGACAAAGUGGAUCAUCAACUUCCAGCGGGAUUGUUGGAGCCGCUACCACUAGCAACAAGGCCAUGGGAAAGUGUCUCCAUGGACUUCAUCACAUCGCUGCCCAAGUCCGAAGGUUGCGGAAGUAUCAUGGUCAUUGUCGACCGAUACAGCAAGUACGCCACAUUCAUUGCUGCACCAGUCGAUUGCAAAGCGGACGAGGCAGCCCGCCUAUUUGUCAAGCACAUUGUGAAGCUUUGGGGAGUACCGAAGAGCAUUGUGAGCGACCGAGACCCUCGGUUCACUGGACGCUUUUGGACGGAACUCUUCAAAAUGUUGGGGACCGAUCUCAAGUUCUCGACAAGCUUCCACCCACAAACGGAUGGGCAGACCGAGCGCAUUAAUGGCCUCCUCGAGAUGUACCUGAGGCAUUAUGUGAGCGCUCACCAGCGGGAUUGGGCGAAGCUACUCGACAUCGCCCAAUUUUCUUAUAACUUGCAGCGAAGUGAGGCUACGGGCAAGAGUCCGUUCGAGAUCAUCAUGGGAUUCCAGCCCAUGACCCCCAAUGCCAUAGCCUCGACUUACGGAGGGAAAAGCCCCGCGGUACACAAGCUCGCCCGCGAACGGCAUGAGGAAGCGGACAUCACACGAGCCUACCUCGACAAAGCCGCGAGGAAGAUGAAGAAAUGGACGGAUACAAGGAGACGACAUGUUGAGUACAAGGAAGGUGAUCAAGUCAUGAUCAAGCUCCUACCCCAACAAUUCAAGACUUUGCGGAAAGUUCACAAGGGGUUAGUGAGGCGCUACGAGGGACCCUUCCGAGUUGUUCGACGUGUGGGCAACGUCUCGUAUCAACUCCAACUUCCGCCAAGACUCAAGAUCCAUCCGGUCUUCCAUGUGAGCCUUCUCAAGCCAUAUCACGAAGACAUGGGAGAACCAAGUCGCGGAGAAUCGAGGCGCGCGCCAACUGCCGUUGUCACCGCGUUCGACAAAGAUGUGGACUACAUCAUUGCGGACCGAACGGUUUCGAGGAGGGGCGUGCCAGCACAUAGCGAGUACUUGGUGAAGUGGAAAAACCUCCCCGAGAGCGAAGCCACUUAUCGCUGAGCACAUCCAGCACUUCAAGCACGAGACCGCGACGAGGACGCCACGAGCUUAGGUGGGGGAGGAUGUUGCGGACCGCCCAAUUCGCUAGCCCAAUUGCCCACAAUUUCGGGCUAGAGAGCCAACACAAGGCCAAGAGUGCUAGCUUGGCCCAAUUCCGGAAGGUUCUAGGCAACUCUAGCACAUGUGAACAUGUAAAUAUUCUAGAAUACUUUAUACAAUUCCAGCACAUGUAAAUAGCUAGGAAAUUGUAUAAUACUCUAGAGUUUGACCAAGUUUGGCAAAGUUAGGCAAAGCCUCCCCUAUAAAUAUGGGAUGGCAUUAGGCAUUUGUAUCCAACAAGCAUUGUAAUCUCUCUUUGUGCAAUACAAGUUUCUUUGGCUCAAUUGCUCUCUUCUCUUGUUCGAGAAUCUCUAGGCUUACUUAGCAACAUUCGGCAAAGUUGUCUAAGUGCCGCACGGGUUAGCUGCGCAAAACACUCAUCCCGUGACAGUAGGCUAACAUUUUCUUUAUUCUAUCAUGCGUUCUGUUUUGAUGUCAUACGUGGAAAAUAAUUAAAUCAUUUAAAGAAUUGAAAGAAAAUGAAAAAAAAAGGAUAAAAAGAAUCUCACGCGCUCACUAAUUGAGCUCUUAACAAGUAGUAUGAAUUAGAAUGCGUACUCAGCUGUCAGUUGGAAAUUGAUUCAGACUUGUAUUAAUUUGUAAUCAAAGAAGAAAAUUUCAACAAGUGCUUCCCAUAUGGAUAUUGGAUCUAACGAGAAAUUCUUAUUUUUUUAGGUUGCGUUGCCUAACUUGGAGGCUUUGGAGAUAUCUGCAAUUAAUGUCGACAAGAUUUGGCACUACAAUCAUCUUCCGGCGGCCGUGUUUCCUCACUUUCAAAGUUUAACACGAUUGAUUGUGUGGCGUUGUCACAAAUUAAAAUACAUAUUUUCAGCGUCUAUGAUCAGAAGCCUUAAGCAGCUCCAACACCUACGUAUACACUACUGUAAGAAUUUACAGGAGAUCAUUUCUGAAAACAGAACAGAUGAAGUGAUCCCUCAUUUUGUCUUUCCACAGCUCACCACUCUGAGACUCGAAGGUCUACCAAAACUUAGAUGUUUGUACCCUGGAAAGCAUACUUCGGAAUGGCCCGCACUAGAAAUUCUUGUAGUGUAUCGUUGUGACAAAUUAAAGAUAUUCGCUGCAGAUUUAUCGCAGAAUAAUGAGAAUGAUCAACUUGGCAUUCCUGCACAACGGCCCCCAUUGCCAUUGGAAAAGGUAUGAAGCCAAGUUCUAGAUUUUUUAUCAAUAGCUUAUUUUUAACUUCGAAAAAUAUGACAAAGCAUCGAUAAAUUAAUACUCAAUAAAUUGAAAACUUUUAUUAUACAAUAAUCUUUGCUAGUCUAGAUUAAGAGAUCAAUGUGGUAGAUUAAUAAUUAUAUGAACUUUUUUUGGUAUAGCAUUUGUAAAAGAAUCUUGAGUCUUUCCAUAUAGAAGAACUUACAAAAUAAAUUAGUAAUUUAUUAUUGUGCAAUAAAAUAAUUUCGAGUCAGUAUAAAUCAACCUUUUUUCCCUAAUUUCUUUUUUACCUCUAAAAUUAACAUAUAAAAAAUCAUUUAAUAAAUUUUAUCAAUAAUUCAAUUUUUUUUUUAAAAAUAUAAUAUAAAACAAAUACUAUAAAGUCACUGCGUGUCAUUGGAUUACUCAAAAUCAUUUGAGAGAUCAUCAAUUGACCUUAUCAGUUAUUAUGAUUGACGAUGAUCAGAUCUUACCCAACUUGAUGGAACUAUCACUAAGUGGAAAAGACGUGGAGAUGAUUUUGCAGGCCGAUUUCCCACAACACCUUUUUGGCAGUCUUAGAGAACUAGAGAUUGCUGCAGAUGACUCAGCUUGUUUUCCAAUCUGGAACGUACUGGAGAGAUUUCACAAUCUCGAAAUACUCACACUGUGUGAUUUUUCAUCCCACGAAGAGCUAUUUUCGAUGGAAGGAUGCUUAGAGAAACAUGUGGGGAAGUUGGCAAUGAUAAAAGAAUUAGAGCUGUACCGGCACUAUCAUCUGAAGCAGCUGUGCAAACAAGACUCCAAACUUGGCCCCAUUUUUCAGUAUCUUGAAAUUCUAAGAGUAUAUCAUUGUCAAAGUCUGUUAAUUCUAUUGCCAUCAUCAUCGGUAUCUUUUGGGAACCUAACAAAACUUGUAGCUUUCGGUUGCAAGGGAUUGAUACACUUGGUAACAUCCUGCACAGCAAAAACUCUAGUGCAACUCGUCACGGUGCGUAUACAAGGAUGCAGAGCAAUGACAGAGGUGGUAAUAAAUGACAAAGAAGGAGUUGAAAAAGAAGAGAUUGUUUUCAGCAAAUUGAAGGCGUUGAUUCUGUGUGAUUUAGAAAGUCUCACAAGUUUCUGCUCUGCCAAUUACACCUUCAGAUUCCCAUCUUUGGAAUAUCUGGAAGUGAUUGGUUGUCCCAAGAUGAAGAUUUUCACUACAGGAGAAUCAAUCACGCCUCCGAGAGUAGACGUCCAGUAUGGAGAGACAUCGAAUCAACGGCGUUGGGCUAAUAAUGAUCUAAACACAACCAUACAACAAUUACAUGCUGAGAAGGUACGGAUAUACAUAUUACUCUCUAUCUCCCAUGAUAAAUUUUUACAAAAUUUGCUUUUUCUUUUUAAAUAAAAUAUAGAUAAAAUGUUUGUUAUAAAGUAAAAGUUUAAAUUGAUGAAUAAGAAUUUUAUUUUCAGCUGUUGGCGGGGUCGUCGAUAUACUCUACGCAGUACGACUAAUUUCAUAGGCUUCUUAUGACUUGGAGUUGCGAAUUUUAUUUAAUUUAUUUAAUCCCAUGGCUUGUUUCGCAAUUUCAUCUUAAUUAUUUAGAAUAGGUCCCUCGGUUUACUGUUAAACUAGGAAAUAGAACCGCGCUUCGCGCGGCUUUAAAAAUAUCAAAUUAAAAAUAAAAAAUUUGAUGAAAUUCAAAUUUCUUAAGAUAACCUUCUGAUCUCUUCUCAAAAGGAAGAUUAAACAAGUUAAUUUUGUAUGUUUAUUUCAAUAAUAAUAACGAUCGCACAUAAUAAUAAUAAUAAUAAAAAUAAUAAUAAUAAUAAUAAUUGGCACCUGACGACGUUGAGGCUCAUGAGCAUUCCACAAAAUAUAAGUUUCAAUUGCAUCGAGCCCUCCAUCCUUUGCCUUCUGUAUAAGAUCUGGCCACAUCUGCACAAAUAUAACGCAUAUAGAAAUAAAUCAUAUCAAAUUUUACAUAUUUUAAGAAUAAUAAUGCUGUUGGAUCCAAAAAUAUUGCCCAUAAUUUUUCCUAAACAUGAAAGCGCACCGUUUUGAAUGUGGGAUCAUGUUUGGCUUGUUAGGAAAAAAAAUUAAGAUAAUAUUUUUGCAACAAAGUAGCUUUUUUUUUUUUGGUUAAAAGAAGAAGAAAAUGUGAAAGUGCAAGUGAUUUGAGAAAUUGUAAAUUAAUUAUUUGCAUACAGUACUUGUGGACUACUGCGAAAAUAUAAUGAAUUGCACCAGAGAAGAUAACUCGUCGUUCUCCAUUAAUUAUAAUGGUAGUUGCAUCAUAAUCGACUUGUGUUGCUGAUGAUGACAAGCAACUUAAAUUUAGAAUAAGAAGAAUUAUGCCUUAGUGGCAUUGUUGAGGGAAGAUGAAAGAACCUCUCUUCCUAUGUUAAUUAAUUAAUGUAUUUUAAGCCGCUAAAGUUUAAUUGCUAGUAUAAUAAAAUUUGAAGAAGCCAAAAGACACUAAAUAAAAGGUUGCAUAAUUAAAUAUGAGAUUAUGGCAUUAAAAUUAGGCCCUUAUGACAUUGUUGAAGGAAGAUGAAAGAGCCUCUCUUCAUAUGUUAAUUAAUUGAUGUAUUUUAAGCUACUAAAGUUUAAUUGCUAGCAUAAUAAAAUAAAUGAAUGUUUCAAAAGAUUUAUUAUUAAUUAUUAUUCAUGAUUAUAUAUUGUUGGAUUUCAAUAGAAAGAGGAAGAGACAUGAAAAUUAAACUUAGGCCCUAGCUGCAUUAUUGAGGGAAGAUGAAAGAACCCCUCUUCCUAUGUUAAUUAAUUGAUGUAUUUUAAGCAACUAAAGUUUAAUUGCUAGCAUAAUAAAAUAAAUGAAUAUUUCAAAAGACUUAUAAUUAAUUGUUAUUAAUGGUUACAUAUUGUUGGAUUUAAAUAGAAAGAGGAAGAAAUAAUGAUGCCACAAAUCUUAAAUAUUUAAUGUUUAUAGAGUUUGAAGAAGCCAAAAGGCACUAAACAAAAUAUUGAAUAAUUAAAUAUGGGAUCAUGACAUUAAAAUUGGGCUCUAAUGGCAUUGUUGACAUUAAAAUUGGACUUAUAAUUAAUUAUUAUUAAUGAUUACAUAUUGUUGAAUUUAAAUAGAAAGAGAAAAAAAGUACAAAGAAUAUUCACCAAUAUUUUAGAUAUUUUAGAUAAUAGAAAAUAUAAAAAGAUGAGGAAUGAUAUAUAUUAAUAAAGUUACUAUUUAUUAAAUGAGUUAAAUACAAUCAAAUUAAUUAUGAGAAGAUGAAAAGCUAAAUCUAAAAAAAAUUCUCUAUUUAUUAGAUAAUAGAGAAUAUACAAAGAAGCAAAAUGGUGAUGCCACAUCACCUCCUCAAGUCCUAGCUUUAUAUAGAUAUAUAGAUAUAUAGAUAGAUAGAUAUAGAUUUGCAAUGCAAUUUUAAUGAUCCCUUCAGACUUUUAUGGACAGAUUUUGCAUAAUUGAAUGUCUUUUUAGUCUAGUUUAAUUUGAGUCUUUUUCUUCUUCUUUUUUUUUUUUUUUUGGGAGCUCCCCUCGUCUUCUAAAAUUUUAUAACUCCUUGCAUACGUUUUUAUGAUAAAAUUUCAUUAAAAGCCUUCGUAUUUUAUAAUUCGUUGAAAACAUGCAUACUUUUUCCAUUCUUUCUUUGCCAAUUAUUUAUUCUCAUCAUUGCUGUUCUUUUAUUUUAGUUUGUGUUCUGUUUGUUCAUUGGGUUUGCUUUUCUUCACGCCUAUAUUUCCUUGGAAAGUUAGAAGGCAAGGAAAGUACUUAGAAAAUGUUCUUGUUCUUCCCUAUGAACACAUAAUUAAAGAACAGCUGAAUAUCAUUCAUCGGACUAAAAAAAUUUAAAAAAAAAAACGUAAUCAGUGCAUUGUUCCUAUAACAAAUGCUUAAACCAUCAAAUGUUAGCUAUGAACAAGUAUAUUGUGGAAAUAUUGUUUGAAAAUAUUUCAUAAAAAAUCAAGUUUUCACAAACCAAAAAGGGACUAAUUUGGUCUAGCAUAUUCAUAAUAUUUUCUCCACUGUUCCUGUUAAAAUUUCUCUACUCUAUGAUUGCAGAAUGUUUGGAUACUGAUGACGAUUUAAGUCACUCUUCUUCUGUGCGCAAUUUGAAAUAAGGUCGUUUUUCUUUUUUCCUCUAUUCAAAGUUUACAUUCUGAGGGGUUCCCGUUUCCAUCUUCGUGAUCUUCUUGUGAUUCACUGCAUCGUGUCGCUACAUCUGUGAUAGUGUGAGUUGCAACCUGUCUGUUUUCUUUGUUUGAUCAUUGUAUGUAUUAAAAAAGUUUACAUUUCAUUCUAGAUAAGCUCUUUGUAUGUAUUAAAAAAAUUUUAUUCUCAAUAUAUAUGACUCAAUGAGAGGUCUUUUAUUAUAUAUAUGUCAUGAAUUUCUAUUGUAUUUUGAGAUUUGAUGGUGUAUUAUUGUCUCAUUGCAAGGUCUUGUAAUCACUCUGAUUCUCAUUUGAGGAGGUUGGUCUCGUCUAUGUGUAUGUAUUUAUAUCCACAAGAAAUUUGAUAAAUGGUCUUGUCGUUUUCUCAUUAAAACAUCUAGUGCUUCAUGGGUUGGAGGGCUACUAGGCAUCAGGGCCAGAUCUUUAAACUCAAAGUUCUUCGUGUCAUUUACCCAUUUGAUUAUCAAAUAGUCAUAAAAGCAUAUAAAUUCAAGUUAGUGUAUCAUUUUUACACAAUAUACUAAAACUAACACAAGAACUUGGCCGACAUUUUCAGUUGAAUAACUCAGACCCCCGAACUUCCUCGGGCUGACAUCCCAAAGUGAAAAUGUCUAAAAAAAUAGUUGCAACAUUUACCCAUUUGAUUAUGAUUCAAAAAAAAACACAAACGGAGAAAUUAUUGGGAUUGUUAAGAUAGUUAAAAUGGUUAGUUAUUGUUUCAGUUUGUUAAGCAAGAUAGGUAGAGUUACUGACGUGUUAGCUGAGCUGGCAUAAGUUAUUCAACUCUCAGGUGCUUAGAAACCUUGUAUAAAUACAUUUGUAAUCAGCUAAAGAAUGGAUGAUUCAGAUUUAUUCAUCAAAUCCAGCUCUUAGAUGAUCUCUGUUCUUUCUUUCAUUUUCUCUCAUUUUCUUACUUAUCAAACAGAUUAGAAACUUUAACUUGGUAUCAGAGCCUGAAAGGUUUGGUAGUUGUUCUGUUUUAUCUUCAGUUUCAUUUUGUGAUCACAGAAACGUUAGGACUUGCUUGCAUGAACGCACAUUAAACCACGGAAAUUUUGUCAGACAUGCACGCAAAUGAAAUUUUAUCAGCAGUCUUGUAAUUUUCUAUUUUUGUUGUUGUCGUCAUUUUUUUACUACUAGUACUGUUUGAAAUUCUAGUAUUUUGGAUGUGAAAUUUAUUAUAUUAUGAUAGGUCCCAGUCAGAAUUAGCGGAAACAACAAGUAAAUAAUUUGUUCUUCUUAGGGUAAGAACUACCGCAAUUGCUAAUUGAAUUAGAUAAAAGUCUGAUAUCUUUUUAUUGAAUUAUUCGAGUCUAUUUAUAGAACAAAAUUAAUGAAAUAAAGUAGUUAAAAUCAAUUAAACCACUUAGCUAUAAUUUCGAAGUAAAUAAUAAUCUUAAAGGAAUCAUGAUUAAAUCUGAAUUCUUCAUCAAUACGGCUUGACUUAGUAAGCUUUCCGUUGAUUUUGUGAAGAGUCCUUGAAGGAACGUGAUGCCCACCUCAUGCAUGGCUUGCAUGUUACUUGCAUGUGCCCAUACAUUUUCGUUAUUGGCUUGCAUGGUUGCUUGCAUGUGCCCAUGCAUAUUCGUCAUAUUUGUUGUUGGGUUUUGCUUCUCACUUGGACUUGCGUAUACUCUUAUCAUAUUAGAUAUUCGACAUAUAUAUGAUGCUGAAUACAGGGUAUGUGUUGUCUAAAUUUAUUUUAUUUUGUUUGCUUCACAUCCAAUUUUCAAAAGCUUUGAAGAAUGCUAAGAGAAGGAGCAAAGGGCUAAAGAGUCAAAUGUAACAUUGCUAUUAAUUUGUUAAUUGCCAUCAUUUUUAAUUUUUGCCCUGCUUGUUCUGUUUACUCAUUUAUUUCACUUGGUUUUGCUCCACGUCUAUCUUUCCUAACUUAGGAAGGCAAGGAUUUUGAAAGUUCUGAAGAAGAUUCAGGUCACUCGUGUGAAUAAGAGCUGUGUUACUGUUUAAAAGUUUUCAUGCUCUGGAAUAAAAUUUGCUUUACUGUGUUACUGGUCAACUUCAUUAUUCUACUAAUGCUUUACUUCAUCUUCAUUGUAUCACUACAUUGACAGCGUUGACAGUGUAAGAGUCGUUUUCACGAUUUUUAAGAAAUUUUGAUCACAUUAAACUUUUGAUCUGAGUUCAUAACAAAAAUCAAAACGGCGCAUGACAUCAAGAUUAUGAUGAAUCAAAUUGAACUCCCAAUACGUUAGUUCAUAAAAAAUGCUUUUCUUCUUCCAAGUAAUCUUAUCAUUUCUUUCAUUUUAUUCAUUCUCCUCUUUUCUCCUCUUUUCAAGUCUUCAAUCUUAUACUCAGUAAGUACAUUACUGAACUGCUUUUUCACCUCAGCUCCAGACAACCGAGAAGGUGCUUGUCCGGUUGUCCCCACUCUCUAGUUUUAUCAGAUGGCACUAUAUUUUCGGAACCUAUGAUUUGUUGGUAAAAAUCGACGGUGACCCACGUGACAAUUUUCUACUAUGUAUCAACCAAUUAGAUCUAGUGUUUUGUUGGCAAACAAGAAAUGCUUAUUUACCUUUAAUACUCCACCCAAACAAGUUGGCAUAUGCUAGAAAGUCGGAGAUAGUCCAUAACAAUGCUGCGUGUGACUUGAACAUUUGAUUAUGUGAUGCAUUAUGCAUCAUUCCAACCAUACUAGCAUCACUACCCGAGUCAUGACUAACCUGUUUCUUAGUUAGAUUUCAAAGAUGAAGAUGGCUCACCCUCCAAUAUCCAGUUUUAAUACUUUAACCAAUAGCCAUUUAUAAUGAUAUGGUCUCUUGCCACUUUCCUUAUAAGGAAAUAUCGAUAUUACGACACUUCUUAGAAGGACAAUAAAUUCUUUUAUCACCAACAACAUUCUCAAAUGCAAAAUCUAUAAAUUUUUUGACCCAUCAGUAUAUGAAUUGGAUAUCUAUUUGGCAAACCAACCCAACUCUGGUCCAUGACUAUGUCCUUUUAAUGCACUAGAAAAAUUAGUUAAAUAAAUCACUUUAAUUCUUCAUUUCUACUACUAAACAAGAUAUUUUCAUGUGUGCGCAGUUUCGCAAUAUAAUAAAAAAAAUUAUUAUACAAUUUUAUGGUUAAUCUCAUUAGAACGUUUAUAUAUAUGGAAGCAAGCAAAGCCACAAGAAUCAGAGAAAAAGAUGUGAAAAUUAAAGUAUAUAUACAACAAUAAUUAAUCUAAAAAACAGUUUGCAAUACCUUCUGUAAAGAAAUAUCCUCACCCACUGCUGAGAACUUCACUUGGCUAUCAAUUACAGAUAUAUAAAGCCUGUUACCUAGAAACAAAAAAUUAGGUCAGCCAGCUAAAACAUAUUUAUAAACCAACAUUGGAGAUAGUACUCCAUUUAUAAACAAAAUUACAAGACUCAAAACCAAGUCGACUCAGCAAAAUCAUAACCGAUUACAUUCAUCCCACUCAGCUCCUCCACUCCCAUCAAUAUAUCCAACAUUCCCUUCAUAUUUACAAAAGGUAAGUGGUCCUAUAUAUCCCACUCAAGAAUGCAUAAGUUUCUUCAAUCUUAAGUAUCUAAAGUUUUCCUCUACGUUUAUAGAAACUUCGGAAGCAUCUCCCUAUAGUUCUUCAAGUACACGACAUAGAUAUAUGAAUGUUUAUGUGUUAUGCCAAAACAACACAUGACACCCAUUUGUCUAGUAUGCACCCAGAGAACAUGAGGAGCAGCUGCUGAAAAACCCAUUUUUACGUGGGAAAAAAAUUUCAGGCACUAGCUGCCAUAGAAAUCUAUGCAUUACCAAACUGUCCAAGCCUAGAUAUUUCAAGAAUUAUUAAUAGACAUAAGAUCCUCACUAUCAUCCAAAAGAUGACACUAAUAAAACAUGUGUCUAUUAAUAAUUUCUUAAAGGAGUUUAAGCUUUCAAUGCAUGUAUCAAAAGUUUAAAAUUGAAUCUGAAACUUGAAUAACACAUAAAAAUCAUAAAUCUCUUCAAUUUAUUCCUAAUAAAAUGUAGCAUUUUUUCACAUUUCAUUUCUUAAGCAAAACCAUAAAAAAUUACAAACAAUAAAUACAUUUUCUAGCACUGAUGCACAUUAUGUUUACUGAGCAAUAAGUUUUAAGUCAUUCAUAUUAAAAUACUUCUUCCUAUUCUAUCAACAAAUAACUAGUACGUACACACAAUUAAUAAAUUAAAUGUAACCUGGUUGUGAAUCUUGCAAAGUCUUCCUAUUUUUUUUUUUUUUUUUUGGUGGGGGGGGGGGGGGAGGGGGGAGGGGGUGGUUAUGCUCAUUUGUGUGUUGUUAACAGAAAUUGAUCCAAAGCCUCAGUUUUAAUUAGCUUCAUUAUAGCCAAUGAUUAGGUGUUUAAAAACCAAUGAAUAUUUUUUAUAAGAAAUCAACAAUAUUGUUGAAAGAAAAACCAAAUAAAAAUAAUAAAGCAAUGCAUAGAUUAAGGCUCUUUAUUAUCUAAUAACUAAUCAAACUAAGUUGUGGGUAAAGGAGAAUAUGUUUGUUUGGCCAAUAAUAAACUCAAGGAAUCACCAAUAAUCACCUAGUUACUAUUCCUUAUGCCAUGCAAUGUAAUGGCGUCGGUAAUGGCGACAAGGCAGGCAAUAACUAGCUAGCUAGUUAUGAUAGUUGCUUAACUUAACCUACUGGAAAUCUGAAGACCAAAAUGAAGAAACUUUGCCUAGAACUAGAAUAGGAAAACAUUCAUACCCAAAACCAAUAUACAUGAUUAAGAAACUUGAUUAUAUGUAUAUUUUUGUUUGCCACACCAAAUCCCACUAUUUCCAUACUCAUAAGCACAAAAAACCAUCGCAAAAAUGAAUGACCAUAUAAAAUAAAAUAGGUCGCAGGACAUUGAGAAUAGGACAAUAUGAUUUAUGUACUGUAAAAUAACUAUAUCUGCAGUCAACUAUAUUUCUGUUAGAACUCUAAAGUUUUCCAUUAAAUUUUUUUCCCUGUUAGGUAAACCACUUAACUGAAACACUUAAGCAAGAUUGACAAUCAUAGACAUAAAAGUAUUAAUAGGCUCAUUCAAGUGAAAUGAGCAUUAUUUCACAUAUCCUUUAGGCUUUUAAGUCAUUUAGAAGUCAUUCAUGUUAAACAAUUUCUUCAUAUACUUUCAAUAUAAUUAGUACAUACACAAUUAAUUAAUUAAAUAAAUCUGUUUCAGCUAGCACAGGAACUUAAGCAAUCAGAGCUAUUAGUUAUAGCUAGGACUUGAAUGAGGCACCUUUCAAAGUUCAAGAGGAGCAUCUGAACAGAAUGAAAGCAGUUUGUAGAAAUGGUAGUGAUGCUUUACAUCUACAUGCUCUUACACAAUAUGAACUUUCAUUUAUUCAAGAACAUAACACUAAUCCAAGCUCUUACUCUACAAGUCAAUUCAGUUUGUAGAUGCAAGCCAUUGUAAAAACUUUUGUGUUAUAAUUUCCGUAAAUGGAACAUGACAUUACUAAUAUAGAAUCAGCAAUGUUAUAUAACUUAUCAGACAAUAUAACAAGCACUUGGCGAGCAUAUAAGAUAAACUAAAACAAGUUAAUUAGAAAAUGAAACUAAAACCCAAGCUCCGCUAUUCAUUGUAGAAGCUUUAAACAUAAAAUUAAACUAAAUCUAAUGCCAAAACAUUAGAAUGGAUGUUGGAAUUAAAGCUAAAUUCAAUAGUAAUCCAAAUGAAUCCAUUUGAACUUUGUAAACUCCGCAGAACAAAAUUAAUUUGAGUGAGCAAACUCACCAAUGGCACAAGAACAGAAGGGCUUCAACUUCUAGGAACAAAAAACAUUGCCGGUGGGACAAAAAUUGACAUUAAUGGCUACAAUACGAAUUAAAGAGAUCAAAACCUAUAAUUACAAGCUAAGAAAGAGAGGAAACUCAUAAUCACAAGCUUACCUGAAACGAAGAGAGAGAAUAAGAUGAAGAAGAAGAUCGCUGCCGUUUUACGCCAUUCUCCGGCUACCAGUAAGGUUUAGGAUGCUGGCCAGGCACGAGAGAGAAUUUGGGACUUUGGUCUUCAAAAUAUUGACUCCAGCAAAUAGUUUUCUAUUUAGAAACAAAUUUAUAACUCUACCGUCACUCUCUACCGUCACGUGGUUAGUAACAUAAGUGAGAGCAGUCUAGCCGUCACAUAAACGGUCACAAAAGCAACUGGCUGUUACAAGUUUAGGAAUGGCAGAUAUUGCCGCGGGGACAUGACCCUCGAGAUUUUCCCAAUUCAGGUGGGUACAUAAUUUUUUACUUAAUUUUUUAUUUGAAAAGGAGACGGAGAUAGUUUUUUUACCUAAUUUCUUAUUCAGAGAAAGAAUGGGGGAUCGGCAGAAUCCCUAUUCUCUUCUAAUUUUUUGAUUUAAUUUUAUUUUUUAAAAUUAUUUGUAAAUAAAUAAUAAAAUAUAAAUAAUAAAAUAUUAAAUAUUAGUAUAAAUAAAAAAAUAAAAUAAUUAUAUUAUUAAAAUUUAGGCCUAAUUGACUACAUUAAUAUUUGGAUGAGAAAGUUAUGCUUAGGAUGAAAGAUUUUAAUAUUUUGAGUUGGUGUAAAAUAAAUGUCUAUAGAUAUCCUAUACUGGCAUGAAUUGCUAGAGAUAUUUUGGCAAUUCUAAUUACAAAUGUUGCUUCUGAAUUAGCUUUUAGCACCAGUGGUAGAGUACCGUAACACGCUUUAUUCAAGCACAUUGGAGGCUUUAAUAUGUUGUCAAAGUUGACUACAAGCUUACAAUGACAGUAUGAGUUUAUUUUACAUUGUAAUUAUAUUAUAUAAUUAUUAAUAUUUUCACUUAGAAUUUACAUUACUUAUAUUAUUUUUGUUGUUUUAAAUUUGAAAUCUGAGGCUAUCUCUCAAUUUGUCACAUUCCUCGAGGAAGAACAAGAAGAGUAGGAGACACAAGAGGUAAAUACUUUUAUUAGAAAUAUUGAUUAAGUAUCUAUAUUCAUUUCAUUUAUCUCAUUGUUGAUAUAAAAGUAAUUUCUUUUUUUUUAUUAUAUGAUUUUGAAGAUUGCCGAAGAUAAUUAUUAUGGUGAUUUAUACUUUGUAAUGUGACUUUUGUAAUAGAUUAAUGUUAAUGUAAGAUAUAUCGUCAAACUUUAUUUUUAUUUUUAUUUUUUAUUUUAAUAUGAUUAAAUUAAAAUUUAAAACUAAAAACGUAUCAGUUAUUCGAGAAUCGAGGACCUUUAAGGAUCCCCUAUUAUUAUUUGGGGAGGGGAGGGGGAUUCCCUAAAGCAAUUUUGUGAAUGGGAAGAGGCCAGGGAUAUAUACAGAAUAUCGAGAAUGGGUACGGGGAGGUCGGUCUCUUCCCCUCCCCUUCCCAUUGCCAUUCCUAACAAAGUUGGCAAUACAUGUACGGGCCGCUUUUGUAAAAUUGCUUUAAGGGUCGUUUGGGAUUGCUUUUGGGAAUAGCAUGCAAGAUAUAUAUAAAAAAUAAAAUCGUAGAAUAACUUUUACCUCUAAUUCGAUUUUUUCUUCUUUUUUGUAAAUUAUUAUGCAUUUAUAUUAAAGUCACUGUGUAUGAUUGGAUUAUUAAAAGUUAUUUGAGAGAAUAUGAAUUGACUUAAUAAGUUAUUACGUGAUUGAUGAUGAUCAGAGCUUACCCAACUGGCAUUAAGUGGAAAAGACUCGAGGAUGACUUUGCAGAGCGAUUUCCCACAACACCUUUUUGGCAGUCUUAAACUACUACAAACAGUGGAUGAUGACUCAACUUGUUUUCCACUUGAUUUACUUGAGAGAUUUCAUAAUCUGGAAACUCUCAUACGGCGUCGUUGUUCAUGCGAAGAGGUAUUUUCGAAUGGAGGAUACUUGAAGAAACAUGUGAGGAAGUUUACAAUGAUAAAACAUUUAGAUCUGCACAAAUUUAAUCAUCUGAAGCAAUUGUGGAAACAAGACUCCAAAUUGGACUCGUUUGUUCAAUGCCUUGAAAUUCUAAAUGUACAUUAUUGUCAAAAUCUGUUAAUUCUUUUGUCUUUGCUGCUAAUUCUUUAAUUCUUUUCGGUUCUUAAGUUUCUCUGUGAUUUGUUCUGGAUUGAUUCUUUUUGCAUCUUGGUUGUUUGAUUUGCGAUCUUGGCGAGUAUUUGGAGUUGAUCAUUAUCGAAUCUGUCACUCCAAACUCUACAGCGACUCUUAUCAAUGUUGGUAUAUGGAUGCAGAGCAAUGAGAGAGGUGGUGAUAAAUGACGAAGAUGGAGCAGCAAAUUUUGAAGAAGAGAUUGUUUUCACCAAAUUGAAGAUUUUGUAUCUGUAUGAUUUGGAUAGUCUCACAAGUUUCUGCUCUGCCAAUUACACCUUCAAAUUCCCAUCUUUGGAAGAUUUAUCUAUAAUUGGUUGUCCCAAGAUGAAGAUUUUCACUAAAGGAGAAUUAAACGCGCCUCUCAGAGUAAACUUCUACUAUGGAGAGAGAGACGAUCAACAGCCUUGGGCUAAUAAUGAUCUUAACACAAUCAUACAGCAUUUACAUGCUGAGAAGGUACGAAUAACUCACUAUCACCAGUGGAAAAAUUUUAUAAAAUUUCUCUUUUAAAUAAAAUGCACCAAAUAGAUCAGAUAUUUGUUAUAAAGUAAGUUUAUGAUCACGUACUGGCAGAUGGGAUACAUAUGUGCUUCAUUCUUGAAACUCUACCCUAUUUAAAAUUGAUAUUUUCACAAGAGUUAGAGAAUCCUAUUCAUUCAAUUAUCCAAAAUCAGAGAAUCUUAUUCAUUCAAUUACAAAAUUUCGUUAAUCGUUAGUUUUUAACUUCAUUACUGUAUGGAAGUCCUGUCAAAUUAAAUUGCUGUUGUUAAAUUUAUUAAAUCUCUUGCUUCCCUGCAAAUCUCUGCGUGCUUUACUUUUAAUUGAAACUAAUGAAUGAAAAUUUUACUUUCAGCUGUUGGAGGGGUCCUCAUCUUAUUCAAUGAUGUAUAUGUCCUAAUGGCAUUGGCCUUUUACUUUAAUUACAAGCGAGUUGUGAAUUUGAAAAACAAAGUCCCAGGUAAUUCAAUUUCAUUUCAUUUUAUUUUAUUUCUUGGCUUGUUUUAUCGCUUCAUCUAAAUUGUUUGGAAUACACCACUAGUUUAUUUUUACUUUUAGAAUGAGUUUUAAUGUUUUGUUCUGAGAUUUAUAUGCUGAUUUUAUAUCAUUAAAGGUCUUAGUGACUUAGUUUGGUCUUCACUUAUUUAUUUAUUUAUUUUUUUGACGUCGUGGCUUUAUAAUGUGUUUUUUUUUUUAAUUUUGAAUUUUAUAAUUCCUUGAAAAUGUCAUUGAAAGGGCCAGCACUUUUAUGUGGAAACCAUCUCAUCCUCCUUAUUUCAAACUAUUAAACAACCAAAUGUAUCCUAACAUAUAUGUUUAGAAUCAAUCUACUCAUUAAGAUAUAUGGUAAUGGUGUCAUCUGUUUGCUAUAGUUUGAUUACAAGAGAACUUUUCCAUUUGUUAGUUGCCAUCUUUGUUGAUCUGUUAAUUCAGUCUUCUUCUGUUUGUCCUGUUUAUCUGUUUAUUUCAACCUUUCUUUCAAAACUUAGAAGGUAUGGAAAGAGCAAGUACUUAGAAAUUGCGAGAAUUAUAUCAAAUCAUGCAUAUAUGCCCCUGCCUAUGAACUCUUAGGAACAAUCGAAUAUCUUUCCUUGAAUAGCAUAAAACAAAAUCUACAGAUCAUUAAACCAUCAAAAGUUAGCUAUGAACAACUAUAUAAAAAUCAUUUGUUUCUCACCUUUUCGUGAGUCUGAGAAGUUGUAAAUUCUACUGAGUUUCUCACCUUUUUUUUUUUUUGGACAAUUGGAGUUUUUAGUUUAUGAAACUUAAUGCCUAUAUUUCUCACAUUGUAAAAGUGUUUUGAAAAGAUGGUUUAUAUUGCACCAUAAAAAUGUGGUCUGAUAAACCAACAGGGGAGUAGUUUGAUCCAGUUACGUGAAAUGCAUGCAAAAUAAUAUUUUCUCUAUAGUUACUGAAGAGAAUUUUGGUCACUUUGGUGUGCAUUAUCUGGAAUAAAGUCGUUUUCCAGUUUCUUCAAAGUUUAUGUGCGGAGGACUUCCGGUUUCCAUCUCAAGUUCAAAUACUAAUAAAGAUGAGUAAAUUCAUCAUCCGUGUGUCUGCUCUUUCUAUGCAUUUUGACAUUUUUUAUUAAUGCGUCUUUAACAGUAGUUUUUUUUCACAGAAAAAAUUGUCAGUAUUUUGUGUCAAAUAAAAAAUUAAAAAAUAUAUAUGUAUUUUGGGCGAAACUUUUUGCGAAAAAUAAUGAGUGCCAACACUUUAUAACUUAAUAUGUAUUUUGGGCUUGGCGAAGUUACGGUUCAUGUAACUAAUCAAUUUAAUCAUUACCGGAUAAAAUUGAAUACACCAGUAGUGUUUUUCCACGGAGAUAUUGCCAAAUUUUGUGUCAAAUAAAGAAUAAAAACCAUAAAUACCAGUAGUGUCCGAUUUUGAAAGCAAAGCAGCAUACAUAUUAACUACUAGGCUUUGAUGGUGGUUGCAGUAAAAAGGAUUAAAAGAGAGAGAGAGAGAGAACUUGAAAACUAUGGAAUGGAAGAUAAAUCAAAGUUAUAAAUUUGGACUCAAUAGUUUUGAUGUUCAAUCAAAUAUGGAGGGGCGAUUAGAAAUUAUCAAAAAUUUAGAGGGAUUUCAACCGUUCAAUUCAUUAUUAGGCGUUGUAGACUGCAGGGAUGCAGAAAUUUCCACAGGGACGAUGGCCCCGAGGGAUCUUCCUCAUUCGGGAGUUUGAUAAUUUUAGAUCUAAUUUUUCUAUGUGGAGACAAGACUGUGAUCAAUUAAUAUGUGUGGGUGUAAGUUACAUGAAAUAUAACUUAGUGUUUGCCCUAAUAUUUUAUUUGGCUCCACAUUUUUCUAUUUCUAUCUUUAGUUCUAUUUUUAAUUAAUUUAUUUCAAAUUUAUAGUAAAUACAUUUAAAAUUUCAAUUAUAAUAGUGUGAUGUAAAUAAAAAAUAUCACAAUACAUUUAUAAAAAUAAUAUAAAUAACAGCCAAUAUAAAGUAAAUAUAAACAUUUUAAAAUUGACAAAGAUAAUUUAAUUGAUGGUUUAUACUAUAUGACAUUUAUGGAUGAGUUCAACUUUGAAGAUUUACUUUUGCUUAAUUAGUUCAAAGAUUAUCUUCUAAUUUGAUGACAUUGACUUAAUUUGAUGGAAAUGAUUUUAAUCACUUUAGUUAAUUUGAUAUUUUUUGUGUUAAUAUGAUUUUAUAUUUUUACUUUAAGAUGAUUAAAUUAAGAAAAAAAAGAAAUUAAAUAAUCAGAGAUCGGAUAGCAUCGGAGAUCCCUUUGUAUUAUUUAGAAACAUCCAUCCCCUUCUUUCAAGUGAUUUUGAAGGAAAUGUCUAGAGUACAAAGAGAUAGACAGAGUAUUAAAGAUGAGUAUGGGGAAAUCAAUCCCCUCUCCUUCCCUUCUUAUUGACAUCUUUACAUGUGAGCCCAAGGGGAAAUGCACCAUGCCUGAUAAAAGUAAAAUUAAAAAUAAAAAUUUUCUUUUAUCAAAUCACUCUAUGUGGUGGAGAUUAUUGUAUAAUCAAGUACACAUGGCAUUUUUAAAAGCUUUUUCUUUAUUUAAAGCUCUAAAGGUUUGCCUAAGAGUCAAGGUUGGUGCCGUUCUUCUAGAAGAACAACCCGUAUCUUUUGAUAUUCAAAGUUUGAAUAUCAAGUUCAAACUUUAAAUUUUGAAAUAAUAAUAAUAAUAAAUAUAAAAAGUGCCAAAUUUUUAGCUAUAAAUAGAGGGGUUCACCCCCUCAUUUCACUCAUUCCAUUCUUUUCUUCUUUAGUUCUAUAAUGAGAGAGUAAGAGUUUUAUACUCUUGAGUGACUAGUGUUUAGAGAGAUUGGGUGUAUUAAGGUUUUGAUAAGUGAAACAAAAUACUAAAAUACUUAUAAUUCUCAUUUCACUAGUAAAGUUUUAUCCUUUUGUCCUUGCCUAUGGGCAUAAGUUAAAAGCCGAACCAAAUAAUUUAUGGUGUCCUCUGUGUGCUUGUUCUUCAUUUUCUUCCAAUUUCAUUUUAGUCGUGGCCCUACUUCACCAAUCAAUUUUCUAAUAGUGGUAUUAGAGCCGGGUUGUAUUUUUUGGGGUCGAGAUACUAUUUACAUAUAUUGUAUUGUUCAUGUAUAUGAUAUUGUUUCUGUAUACGACACUUUAUUCAUAUAUACAGUUACUGCUCAUGUGAAAUGGUAGGAAUCGAUCUUAGCAAAGGUAGCUCGUGGUGAAAAGUGAUGGCGGAAAAAUACAAAAUUGAGAAGUUCAACAGAAAUAAUUUUUCGUCAUGAAAAAUGAAGAUGAAGGUUGUAUUGAGGAAAAGUAAUUGCUUGGCAGCAAUUGAAGAGAGGCUCACAAAGAUAACUAAUGAUGGCAAGUGGAAUGAGAUAGACAAUAAUGCCAUUGCAUAUCUACACUUACCACUUUCAGAUAGGGUAUUUUUCAAUAUGGUAGAGUAAAAGAGAGUAAAGGAAAUAUGGUUUACUCUCACAAGACUAUACGAGGUCAAAUCACUACAAAAUAAAAUCUUCUUAAAGAUGAGGCUUUAUACUCUUCAAAUGGAGGAAUCUACAUCAGUGAUCGACCAUAUCAACACUUUAAAGACUUUAUUUUCAUAACUUACAACGUUGGGUCAUAAAAUAGAGGAAAAUAAACAUAUAGAGCUUUUACUUCAAGGUUUACCAGAUUCGUAUGAUCAAUUCGUCAUUAAUAUAACUAAUAACAAUCGAGCAAACAAGUUAGUCUUUGACAAUAUGGCAGCCUCCGUAUUAAAUGAGGAGAGUAGCAAAAAAUAAAAAAGAUAGACAGAAGAGUUCGCAACAAGUAGAAGCGCUAUUGGUGAUGAAAGGAAGAUCCAUGGAACGUGGCCCUAGUGAGAGCCACAGUCACGGUAGAUCAAAAUCUAGAAGUAAAAAGAAUGUCAAAUGCAACAACUGUUGCAAGAAAGGGCAUGUCAAGGAAGAGUUUUGGAACAACUAGAAGAGAAGAGAUGGUAAAGAUUCUGAGUCAUCAAAUGCUCAAGGGUAUGUAGUAAGUACCUCGUAUGAUGGCAAAAUUCUCUACAGUAAGGCAACAACUGCUUCAGAAGAUAGAAAACCACUAUAUGACAUCUGGCUUAUAGACUUAAUAGUUGCCUGGCACAUGAUCUCUCCAAGAGAAUGAUUUCACAAAUAUGAACCUAUUUCAAGAGAAUUUGUAUACAUAGGUGAUGAUUAUGCCUUUGAGAUUACUGAUAUUGGUACUGUCAAAAUAAAUAUGUUUAAUGGUAUGGUUCGCACAAUUGAGAAGGUAAGACAUGUCAAAGACUUGAAAAAUAUCUCUUGUCUUUAGGACAAAUAGAUAGUCUUACGCGCAAAACUCAUGUAGAAAAUGGGAUCAUAAAGAUAGUCAAAGGCGCACUUGCAUUAAUGAAGGUGGAAAAGAUCGGUGAUAAUUUAUUCAUGCUUAAAGGGAAACACUACAGAAAGCUUUUGUGUCAGUCACAUCAAAUAGAGAAAAUUCAGUGAUGAUGUGGCAUCUUAAACUUGGCCACAUGUCAAAACAAGGAAGCAACAUAGAUGAAAGUUUAGCAGAUCCACUUUCAAAAGUAAAUGUAUUUUAGACUUGAUUCAUUCUAAUGUUUGGGAAUCAAUUGAUAUAUCUAUGGGAGGUGCAAAGUACUUGGUGACUUUUAUUAAUGAUUAUUCUAGGAGAUAUUUGGUGUAUCCAAUCAAGAAAAGGUCAAAUGUAUUUCCAUUGUUCAAAGAAUUCAAAGCGUAGAUUGAACUUAAAUCAGGGCAAGGGAUCAAGUGCCUGAGGACAGACAAUGGUGGAGAGUAUACAAAUAGCAUGUUUCUUGCAUAUGUAAGCAAGAAAGUAUCUAGAGAUAGUUCACGGUGGCAUACACUCCUCAAUAAAAUAGAGUAGUAGAGUGAAAGGGCAUGACUCUUAUAAAAAAAAAAAGAGUUAUGUUGAGAAAUGCUGGUCUACCAACUCAUUCUAGGUGGAAGUAGCAAAAACUACUUAUUAUGUGGUAAGUGGGUCAUCAUUCAAUGCAACCGGGUUGAAAAUUCCAAUGGAAAAAAUAGACAGGAAAGCCAGUUGAUUACUCUCAUCUCAGGCAUUUUGAUGUCCUUUUACGUGAUAUACAAUACCCAAGUGAGAUUAAAGAUGGAUCCAAAAUCCAAGAGAUGUAUCUUCUUAGGAUAUAUUGAUGGAGUGAAAGGGUAUUAUCUGUGGGACCUCAAUGCCCAUAAGAUCGUUAUCAGUAGAGAUAUUAUCUUUGUAGAAGAUCAAAUGCAAAAGAGAGAUAUGGAUGAUAGCACUAUAAAAAUUCAGAGAUUGUGCUAAUAUAUGUUGAAAAUAAUCUGGAAAAUGAAGAUUUAGAUUUUUUUGAAGCAGCACCAAAGUAUGAGAACAAGAACCAAUCGAGUCUGAGGCCCCAAAAGUUUGUUGGUCAACUCGUGAUAGAUAAUUGUCAGUGUGGCAUUUGGAUUAUGUCACAGAUAUCAAUUUUGCAUACUGUCUUUUAAUAGAGAAUGGAAAGCCAUCAACUUUUCAUGAAACCUUAAACAGCUCAGAUGUUACUUUGUGAAUGAUAGCAAUGCAGGAAGAAAUUAAGGCUCUACACAAGAAUAUGACAUAGGAACUCGUACUACUACUAUAUGAAAAAAAAAAGACCCAUUGGUUGGAAAUGGGUCCAUAAGAUCAAACGUGAUGGUAAUAACCUAGUGGAGCGGUAUCAUGAAAGAUUGGUGAUGGAAGAAUAUCCUUAGAAAGAAUGUAUUAACUUCAAUGAGAUAUUUUCUCCAGUGAUUUGACUCAGGACAGUCAGAGUGGUCUUGUCGAUGUGUGCUACAUUUGACCUAUAUUUGGAGCAGUUAGAUGUGAAAAUUUCAUUUCUUUAUGGAGAACUUGAAGAAAAGAUUUCUAUGCUCUAACUAGAAGGUUUUACUAAAAAGGGACACUUGGUUUGCAAGUUAAACAAAUCUCUAUACGAUCUCAAACAUGCACCGAGAUGUUGAUAUAAGAGAUUUGAUCCAUUCAUCAUAAACCUUGGAUACAAUAGAAUCAGUUCAGACUGUUGUACAUAUUACAACAAGUUUGAUAAUAAUAAUUUCAUCAUUCUACUGUGGUAUGUUGAUGACAUAUUAGUAGCAGGCCCCAACAAAGAUCGAGUCCAAGAACUAAAGCACAGUUAACUAGGGAGUUUGAAAUAAAAGACUUAGAACCAGCAAACAAGAUUUUAGGGAUGCAAAUUCACCGAGAUAGUAAUAGCAAAAAGAUUUGGCUUUCUACCCCGCCUCCCAUUAAUUUCAAGUUAUUCUUAAGUAUUCAUCUAGUAAUGAAGUAGAGAAGAAGAGAUGUCUUGAGUACUGUAUGCAUCAGCAGUGGAAAAUUUAAGGUUCGCUAUGAUUUGUACAAGUAGUGGGAGAGGUUAGUCGAUACAUAGCGAAUCCUUGCAAAGAACAUUGGAAGACUAUUAAGAGGAUUCUGAGAUAUAUCAUAGGAACAUCAGAUGUUGCAUUAUGUUACGAAGGAUACUGUCAAGGGCCAUGUGCAUUCAGAUUUUGCAGAAAAUCUUAAUAAAAAAAAAUCCACUACUGGCUAAGUAUUUGCACCAGAAUGAGAAAUUGUUAGUUGGAUUUCAAAAUUGCAGACCAUUGUGGCUUUAUCAACAACAGAAGCAGAUUACAUAGCAGCUACACAAGCUUGGAUGAGCUAUUUAGAUACAAAGGUUACUGAAGGAGCUUGGGCAUAAAAUUUUUUAUGGCUUGUGAUAGUUAGAAUGCAAGGAAUCCAACCUUUUAUUUUAGGACAAAGAAUAUAGGAGUACAAUAUCACUUCUUCGUGAAGUAGUGAAAGAUAUAAGAGUGGAUACCAAGGAGAACUUAACAAAUGUUUUGCCCAAGCCUAUCAAUGCUGAUAAAUUUGUUUGGAGUAGAUCAUUUUACGGCCUAGUAGAGACAUAAACAACAUGACAGCGGCGAAGUAGAAAGGAUGGUGUGGAGAUUGAUUGAUUCUCAAUCAAAUUUCUAAGUGGGAGAAUAUCAAAGUCAAUGUCGCUUUUCUAGAAGAGCGACCAAUACCUUUUGAUAUUCAAAGUUUGAAUGUCAAGUUCAAACUUUGAAUUUAAUAUAUAUAUAUAUAUAUAUAUAUAUAUAUAUAUAUAUAUAUAUAUAUAUAUAUAUAUAAAUAGUGCCCAAAAUUUUAACUAUAAAUGAGGGGUUCACCCCUGCAUUUCAUUCUUUUCUUCUUCAAUUCUAGUGUGAGAGACUAAGAGUUUUAAUGCUCUUGAGUGAUUAGUGUUUUAAGAGAUUGAGUGGAUUGGGGUUCUGGGAAGUGAAACAAAAUAUUAUAAUACUAGUAAUCCUCAUUUCACCACUAAAGUUUUAUCUUUUGUCUUUACCCAUAGACGUAGGUUAAAAGUCGAACCACGUAAUUUUUAGUGUCCUCUGUGUGCUUGCUCUUCAUUUUCUUCCAAUUUUAUUUUAGCUAUGGACCUACUUCACCAGUAAAUUGAAGACGUUGGAACUGCGUGAUUUAGAUAGCCUCACAAGUUUCUGCUCUACCAAUUACACCUUCAAAUUCCCAUCUUUGCAAGAGUUAUGUGUGAUUGGUUGUCCCAAGAUGAAGAUUUUCACUACAGGAGAAUCAAUCACGCCGAGUAAACGUCUGCUAUGGAGAGACAGCGGAUCAACGGCGCUGGGCUAAUAAUGAUCUAAACACAACCAUACAACAAUUACAUGCUGAGAAGGUACGUAUAUACAUAUUACUCUCUAUCUCCCAUGAUAAAUUUUUACAAAAUUUGCUUUCUUAAAUACAAUAUAGAUAAGAUAUUUGAUGAAUAAGAAUUUUAUUUUAAGCUGUUGGCGGUGUCGUCGUCAUACUCUACGCAGUAGUACGACUAAUGUCAUAGGCUUCUUAUGACCUGGAGUUGCGAAUUUUUAGAAGAAAGUCUCAACUGGUAAUUAAUUUUUAUUUCAUUUAUUUAAUCCCAUGGCUUGUUUCGCAAUUUCAUCUGAAUUAUUUAGAAUGGGUCCCUCGGUUUACUGUUAAAUUUGCAAUGCAAUUUUAAUGAUCCUUUCAGACUUUUAUGGACAGAUUUUGCAAAAUUGAAUGUCUUUUAGUCUAGUUUAAUUUGAGUUUUUCUUUUUUUUUUUAGAGCUCCCCAUGUUUUCUAAAAUUUUAUAAUUCCUUGCAUACUUUUUAGGAUAAAAUUUCAUUAAAAGCCUUCAUAUUUUAUAAUUCCUUGAAAACUUGCAUACUUUUUCCUUUUUUUUUCUUGCCAAUUAUUUAUUGUCAUCAUUGCUGUUCUUUUAUUUUAGUUUGUGCUCUGUUUGUUCAUUGGGUUUGCUUUUCGGAAAGUUAGAAGGCAAGGAAAGUACUUAGAAAAUGUUCUUCCCUAUGAACACAUAAUUAACAGCUGAAUAUCAUUCAUUGGAUUAAAAAAAAUUAAAAUAAAAAAAAGUAAUAAGCCCAUUAUUCCUAGAACAAAUCCUUAAACCAUCAAACGUUAGCUAUGAACAAGUAUAUUGGUCUAUAGCAUAUUCAUAAUAUUUUCUCUGCUGUUCCUGUUAAAAUUUCUCUACUCAAUGAUCGCAGAAUAUCUGGAUACUGAUGAAGAUUUAAGUCACUCUUCUUCUAUGAAUAAGGUCGUUUUUCUUUUUUCUUCUAUUCAAAGUUUCCAUUCUGAGCAGUUCCCAUUUCCAUCUUCGUGAUCUUCUUGUGAUAGUGUGAGUUACAACCUGUCUGUUUCCUUUGUUUGAUCAUUGCAAGUUCAAAGACAUUUUAUUCUAGCUAAGCUCUUUGUAUGUAUUAUAACAUUUUUAUUCUCAAUAUAUAUAUGACUCAAUGAGAGGUCUUUUAUUAUAUUUAUGUCGUGAAUUUCUAUUGUAUUGUGACAUUUGAUGGUGUAUCAUUGUCUCAUUGCAAGGUCUUGUAAUCACUCUGAUUCUCAUUUGAGGAGGUUGGUCUCGUCUAUGUGUAUGUAUUUAUAUCCACAAGAAAUUUGAUAAAUGGUCUUGUCAUUUUCUCAUCAAAACAUCUAGUGCUUCAUAUGUUGGAGGGCUACCAGGCAUCAGGGCCAGUUUUUUAAACUCAAAGUUCUUCCUGUCAUUUUUUAACAAUAAUAAGGAAAGCCCAAGAGAAAAUCUAGAAGUCCUAAUAAGGACCGCUUCUGCAUAUAUUGUUCAUUUUCUUAAUUACCUUCAUUAUUAUUUUCGUUUUCAAUCGAUCAAACUUCAGUUUCUUAGCAUUAAUCUAAUUAUGUACUUCAUCUUGAAAUCCUUAAAUUACCCAUCAAAAUGUGAACGAUUAGUGUAUCAUUUUUGCACUAUAAGAAAUAGUUGUAUUACCGACCAGACAUUUCCACAAUAUACUAUUGAAAAUAAGUACUUUUUACAAAGGUAUUGUCAUUGAUGAGCCGUUGGAUAAAUAUGAAAAGUAUCAUACCUCGGUGAUAAAGAAAAUUCGUUUGUCGGAAAUGGAAUGUCGAGCCCAAAAUUACUCUAAACUUGGUAAAGUUAGAUUUUGGCCCAAUUUGUUUGAAAGUUUUAUACAUAAAGCACUUUUUUUUUUAUGUAAUUUGUGCAAUCUGAAGGGAGGUAUUGUAAAAUUAACAUAAAUAAAUGUAAUAUGCCAAUACCGUUUAAAACAAAAAAGAUAUCAUGAAAUUGAAAAAAAAUAAAUAAUAAUAAUAAUAACAACAUUAAAAGAAAAAGGAAAUUACGGAGAAGAAUAAUCGCUUCUUGAUCUCAACUCUCAAUUUGAAUACAAUCUCUGAAUCUCACUUCUCGAUCUGUCUCCAUUCUUCAUUCGCAUUUACUCGGUGGUAAUUAAUUCUUCACUCUCACUCGCCUUAUUUCCUGCAGAUUUCUUCAUUUUCCUUCACUGUUCGUUUUUAAGGUUCCAUUGUAUUUCCAUUGAGUUUGCAACUGUUCAAUUGCUCGAUCCACAUUAGUUUUAAGGUACGAUUGUUGGUUAUUUUCCUAAUCAAUAGACAACCCUAGAUACGAUCAUAGGAUUUAAUCAAUUGACAGUCUGAAAAAUCAGAGAGACCCAAAUCCUAAUCAACAAACGCAUACGAUGAUUCAUUUAAAUUAGAUUGUUUAUUCUCAUAACACAAUGCACUGCUAUGCUAUUUGUCACAAACAUUAAAAUCUUCAUACGAUAAAUCUUUUAAUUGACAAUAGAUUAAGUUGAUAAUUAAAUAGUAGCCAAUUAUCUAAUUAACAAACAUAAUCAUGACAAUAAUUCAGAGAAUAAACAAAUACCCAAAAAGUAAUAAAAUAAUUAAAGUAUAAGAAAGAUCUCACAGCAGUGAUGAAUCAAAGUUUCAUUAACCUUCAACCAGAAUAAUAGAUUUAGUUUUUCAUAGACAGGAGAGAAAAAUUUAGAUCUAGGGUUUCUUUCUCUUCAAAAAUCUCCGUCUUUGACAAUAGAUUCCUCCCUUAAAUUCUCUUCUCUCUCUUCUCCUCUAGAGUUCUUUUUAAAAUAAAAUACUAAUUUCUAAAAUAUUAUCUAAAUAUUAAAUGCGUAAUUACAAAAAUAACUAAAAAUACAAAACACGUUAAACUAAAAACUGCAGGUCCGUAGUAGACAGCAUGCGCCCACACCUUAUCAACAAAGUUCUUCUGAAGCUCAUAAUUUCUUCAAGAAAACAAUCAUCCUCAAACAUCAUCUUGUAGCUCAAUUUUAGCACCAAUCAAUAAAAUUGCACCUACCAAAAUAAAACACAAGUAAAUCACUAUUAUUAAGUGCAAAACAUCGAUAUUAAAAGAAGUAAAUAAUGCAAAACUAGUGCAUAAAUUGUACUCUAACACUUCAUUCCGAUCCCUUGAUCAUUACUCAUUUAUUUAUUUAUUCUUUGCUUCACUUCUAAGCUUAGCAAAGGAACUUGAACUUUGGCUUUUCAAAUAGGUCACUUUUGCUUUUAAUCUCGCCCAUGAUCUUCAUCAUGAAGAUGACAAACCAUUAUUCUUUAUUCUUCACUUUUGCUUUUAAUCUCGCCCAUGAUCUUCAUCGUGAAGAUGACAAACCAUUAUUCUUUAUUCUUCACUUGUUGAAUUUACAGAAUAUAUAGCAUUCUUAAAAUUUUAGCAAAUCGUUAUUCUUCAGCUUCAGCACCUCAUUAAAAAGUCAUUCUUUGAACUUAUUCUCAAUCAAGAAAAACAUAUGCGUUCGUUCGUUGUAGUCACUGUUGUUUUGUUAUUAAUGUUUGCUCCCUAUUGCCGUUAACUCUCUUGAGCUUCACAGGAUCAGGAAACCCUUUUCUCUUGGCAUCUGUUUUGUUGUAAUCUCUCAGUCCUUGUUGAUUAGUUUCUCUCCGCUCCCAAUUUAGUUGUGUCCUGCUGUUGUCUCUGUUUUGUUCCAUAUCUACUCUCUGCACUUCUGCUGUGUCAAGACAUCUUCUUUUGUUCAUUCGGUUGUGGUCUAUAAUAUAUUUUUCAUCUUUCUUUUGGUCUAUACUUAAGUUAUUUUGAUUGGUUCCUUUCUCCUUUAUUAUCUAAAUCCCUCCUUAUAUUUAUUCAAUCAGUUGUUACGCUUUCUUUCAUUUCUCCGCUUCCACAACCAGAUAAACUGUCCAUCUUUGUUGUUUCUUCUUUUUUCUCUUCUGUGGUUGGCUCUUGUUUAUUUGCUUUUCAGAACUCAAAAAAAAAAAAAAAAUAGAAGGAUCAAAGAUGGUGGAAACCAUUAUUACUGUUGUUUUGGAAGUUGUGAAAUGCUUGGCUCCUCUAGCAGAACGCCAACUUGGUUAUUUACGUAACUAUAAAACCAACUUUGAGAAUCUCAGGGCAAAAUUUGAUGAACUCAAGGAUGAAAGUAGGAGCAUUCAGCACAGAGUUUCUGAGGCUGAAAGAAAAGGAGAAAAGAUUGAAGAGAAGGUUGAAAAGUGGCUGGUUAGUGCAAACGACAUCAUUGACAGCGCAGCCAAAUUCAUUGAAAAUGAGGAGUCAACGAAUAAGCGUUGUCUCAAGGGCUUGUGUCCUAAUUUGAAGACCCGCUAUCAGCUUAGCAAGAAAGCAGAGACAGAAAUGAAGGCCCUUGUUGAACUUGGAGAAGAAGUAAAGAAGUUUGAUAUUGUUUCCCACCGUACCAUUCCGGAGGAGAUUUGGCUCAAGUCUCACAUAGGCUACGAGGCCUUCGAAUCAAGACGUUCUACUUUGGAGGCUAUAAAAAAAGCAUUGAUCGAUGUUAGCAUCAUUGGGGUGUACGGCAUGGGCGGCAUUGGAAAGACGACACUGGUGAAGGAGGUCUCCAGGCAAGCUAUGGAAGCCAAGCUCUUUGAUAUGGUGGUCUUUUCAGAGGUUUCGCAAACUCCAGACAUAAAAAAGAUUCAACAGGAAAUUGCCGAGAAGUUGGGCCUGGAGUUGCGCGAGGAAGUUGAAUCUGGAAGAGCAAGUAGACUAUUUGAGCGAUUGAGAAAUGAGAAGAAGAUCCUUGUGGUUUUAGAUAACAUCUGGAAACACCUUAAUUUGGAGACUGUUGGAAUUCCUUUUGCAGAAGAUCAUAAAGGAUGCAAACUACUGCUGACAGCAAGAGAUCGUAGUGUCCUCUUACAAAUGGGAUCCAAAGACAACUUUUUGAUAAACAACUUAAAAGAAGAAGAAGCCGGGAGAUUGUUUAAGAUGAUGGCCGGUGAUGAUGUUGAAAAUCGUGAGUUGAAAUCUACAGCAAUAGACGUCGCCAGGGCAUGUGGAGGUUUGCCCAUUGCCUUGAGUACGGUAGCAAAGGCAUUGAGAGGCAAGAGUCUGCAUGAAUGGAAGAAUUCCUUGCGAGAACUCCGAACGCCUUCAAUGGUAAACUUCGAAGGAGUAUCUGCAGAGACUUAUGCAAGUAUUGAGCUGAGUUUCAACCAAUUAAAAGGUGAACGCAAGGAAAUUUUUCAGCUCUGCAGUCUAAUGGGUAACCGUAUUUUUACUUUCGACUUGUUUAAGUACUCCAUGGGUUUGGGUAUAUUUAAAGGAGUCAAUAAGAUGGAAGAUGCACGAGACAAAUUAUAUGCAUUGGUCCAUGAACUUAGAGACUCUUGUUUGUUGCUUGAGGGUGAGAGCAAUGAACAAUUGUCAAUGCAUGAUGUUGUUCGCGAUGUCGCGAUAUCAAUUGCAUGCCGCCAGCAACAUGUGUUUUCGGUGAGGAAUGAGGAUGUGUGGGACUGGCCAGAUAAGGAUGCACUUCGAAAUUGCAAAGCUAUCUCUUUAAUAAAAAAUAGUAAUCGUGAAUUUCCUGAAGGAUUAGAAUGCCCAAACCUUGAAUUUUUAUAUAUCUCUCUCAAAGAUUUUUCUCUUGAAAUCAAUAUUCCUGAGAACUUUUUUGUAGGGAUGAAAAAGCUUAGAGUUCUAGAUUUUACUCGAAUGCAGUUUUCUUCUUUUCCAUCUUCAAUUGAUCUUCUAGUAAAUCUUCACACACUAUGUCUGGAUAAAAGUGCGUUGGGCGACAUAGCAAUCAUUGGGAAGUUGAAGAAUCUAGAAGUCCUUAGCUUUUUGAAGUCUGAUAUAACGCAGUUGCCAGAAGAACUAGGUCAAUUGAAUAAGUUGAGAUUGUUAGAUUUAACCAAUUGUUUCCGUCUGAAAGUUAUUGCCCCAAAUGUCAUAUCAAGCUUAAUCCGAUUAGAAGAGCUGUAUAUGGGUAAUUGCUCCAUUGAAUGGGAGGUUGAAAGAGCCAACAGCAAAAGAAGUAAUGCUAGCCUUGAUGAAUUGAUGCAUUUACCUCGGCUAACCACUCUAGAAAUUGAUGUUAAAAAUGACAGUAUGUUACCAGAAGGUUUUUUGGCCAGAAAGCUCGAAAGGUUCAAAAUAUCUAUUGGAAAUGGGUUAUUCACACAUCCCAUGAUUGCUGAACAAAAUUGGUUCCAAAGUCUGCGGCGCUUUUCUCGCAAAAGUGAUCGCAAGAGUUUAAGAGCAUUGAAGCUCAAGCUUGCUUUUAUGGACAUUUGCUCCAUGAAAUUGCAGGGCAUCAAUAACGUAGAAUGCUUAUGGUUGGACAAGCUGCAAGGCAUCGAGAAUGUUCUUUUCAAUUUGGACACAGAGGGCUUUUCACAAUUGAAGCUUCUCUGGGUUCAAAAUAAUCCUGACAUCUUUUGUAUCGUCGAUUCAAGGGCGAUGGUCGCUUGUGAUGCCUUUCCUCUUUUGGAGUCACUUGGCCUUCACAAUUUGAUCAACAUGGAGAGGAUAUGUAUUGAUCGGCUCAAAGUAGAGUCCUUCAACGAACUCAAAAUCAUACAAGCAUAUAAUUGUGAUAAAUUGAGUAAUAUCUUUUGGCUCUCUACAACAAAAUGCCUUCCAAGACUUGAGAGAAUUGCAGUUAUUAAUUGCAGCAAGAUGAAAGAGAUUUUUGCAAUUGGGGAAGAAGUUGAUAAUGCAAUUGAGAAGAUAGAGUUUGCUCAAUUAAGAUCUUUGAGUCUGGGGAAUCUUCCAGAGUUUACAAGUUUUUGCCGUGAGGUGAAGACUCCUUCAGCAUCACCAAACAGACCAGCGUCGCAGGAGGAAUCGACGACUACGUAUAGCUCCAGCGAAAUCACUUUGGAUACUUCAACUCUGCUUUUCAACGAGAAGGUGCGUAGGCUAACAUUUUCUUUAUUCUAUCAUGCGUUCUGUUUUGAUGUCAUACGUGGAAAAUAAUUAAAUCAUUUAAAGAAUUGAAAGAAAAUGGAAAAAAGGAUAAAAAGAAUCUCACGCGCUCACUAAUUGAGCUCUUAACAAGUAGUAUGAAUUAGAAUGCAUACUCAGCUGUCAGUUGGAAAUUGAUUCAGACUUGCAUUAAUUUGUAAUCAAAGAAGAAAAUUUCAACAAGUGCUUCCCAUAUGGAUAUUGGAUCUAACGAGAAAUUCUUCUUUUUUUAGGUUGCGUUGCCUAACUUGGAGGCUUUGGAGAUAUCUGCAAUUAAUGUCGACAAGAUUUGGCACUACAAUCAAAUUCCAGCGGCCGUGCUUCCUCACUUUCAAAGUUUAACACGAUUGAUUGUGUGGGGUUGUCACAAAUUAAAAUACAUAUUUUCAGCGUCUAUGAUCGGAAGCCUUAAGCAGCUCCGACACCUAGAUAUACGCUUCUGUGAGGAUUUAGAGGAGAUCAUUUCUGAAAACAGAGCAGAUGAAGUUAUCCCUUAUUUUGUCUUUCCACAGCUCACCACUCUAAGACUCGAAUGUCUACCAAAACUUAGAUGUUUGUACCCUGGAAUGCAUACUUCGGAAUGGCCCGCACUAGAAAUUCUUUUAGUGGGUCGUUGUGACAAAUUAAAGAUAUUCGAUGCAGAUUUAUCGCAGAAUAAUGAGAAUGAUCAACUUGGUAUUCCUGCACAACAGCCCCUAUUGCCGUUGGAAAAGGUACGAAGCCAUUUUCUAGAUUUUUUAUCAAUAGCGUAUUUUUAACUUCGAAAAAAAUGACAAAGCAUCGAUAAAUUAACACUCAAUAAAUUGAAAACUUUUAUUAUACAAUAAUCUUUGCUAGUCUAGAUUAAGAGAUCAAUGUGGUAGAUUAAUAAUUAUAUGAACUUUUUAAGGUAUAGCAUUUAUAAAAGAAUCCUUAGUCUUUCCAUAUAGAAGAACUUACAAAAUAAAUUAGUAAUUUAUUAUUGUGCAAUAAAAUAAUUUCAAACCAGUAUAAAUCAACCUUUUUUCCCUAAUUUCUUUUUUACCUCUAAAAUUAACAUAUAAAAUAAAUUUUAUCAAUAAUUCAUUUUUUUUUUAAAAUAUAAUAUAAAACAAAUACUAUAAAGUCACUGCGUGUGACCGUAGAUCAUCAAUUGACCUCAUUAGUUAUUAUGAUUGAUGAUGAUCAGAUCGUACCCAACUUGAAGGAACUAUCACUAAGUGGAAAAGAUGUGAAGAUGAUUUUGCAGGCCGAUUUCCCACAACACCUUUUUGGCAGUCUUAGAGAACUAGAGAUUGCUGCAGAUGACUCAGCUGGUUUUACAAUCUGGAACGUACUGGAGAGAUUUCACAAUCUCGAAAUACUCACACUGUUGUUUUUUUCAUCCCACGAAGAGCUAUUUUCGAUGGAAGGAUGCUUACAGAAACAUGUGGGGAAGUUGGCAAUGAUAAAAGAAUUACAGCUGCGCUGGCACUAUCAUCUGGAGCAGCUGUGCAAGCAAGACUCCAAACUUGGCCCCAUUUUUCAGUAUCUUGAAAUUCUAAAAGUAUAUCAUUGUCAAAGUCUGUUAAUUCUAUUGCCAUCAUCAUCGGUAUCUUUUGGGAACCUAACAAAACUUGUAGCUUUCGGUUGCAAGGAAUUGAUACACUUGGUAACAUCCUCCACAGCAAAAACUCUGGUGCGACUCAUAGCAAUAGAAAUAUAUGGAUGCAGAGCAAUGACAGAGGUGGUAAUAAAUGACAAAGAUGGAGUUGAAAAAGAAGAGAUUGUUUUUAGCAAAUUGAAGACGUUGGGACUGUUUGAUUUAGAUAGCCUCACAAGUUUCUGUUCUGCCAAUUACACCUUCAAAUUCCCAUCUUUGGAAUAUCUGGAUGUGAUUGGUUGUCCCAAGAUGAAGAUUUUCACUACAGGAGAAUCAAUCACGCCUCUAAGAGUAAACGUCUGCUAUGGAGAGACAGCGGAUCAACGGCGCUGGGCUAAUAAUGAUCUAAACACAAACAUACAACAAUUACAUGCUGAGAAGGUACGUAUAUACAUAUUACUCUCUAUCUCCCAUGAUAAAUUUUUACAAAAUUUGCUUUCUUAAAUACAAUAUAGAUAAGAUAUUUGUUAUAAAGUAAGUUUAAAUUGAUGAAUAAGAAUUUUACUUUCAGCUGUUGGCGGUGUCGUCGUCAUACUCUACGCAGUACGACUAAUUUCAUAGGCUUCUUAUGACUUGGAGUUGCGAAUUUUUAGAAGAAAGUCUCAACUGGUAAUUAAUUUUUAUUUCAUUUAUUUAAUCCCAUGUCUUGUUUCACAAUUUCAUCUGAAUUAUUUAGAAUGGGUCCCUCGGUUUACUGUUAAAUUUGCAAUGCAAUUUUAAUGAUCCUUUCAGACAUUUAUGGACAGAUUUUGCAAAAUUGAAUGUCUUUUAGUCUAGUUUAAUUUGAGUUUUUCAUUUUUUUUUUAGAGCUCCCCUUGUUUUCUAAAAUUUUAUAAUUCCUUGCAUACUUUUUAUGAUAAAGUUUCAUUAAAAGCCUUCAUAUUUUAUAAUUCCUUGAAAACGUGCAUACUUUUUCCUUUUUUUCUUUGCCAAUUAUUUAUUGUCAUCAUUGCUGUUCUUUUAUUUUAGUUUGUGCUCUAUUUGUUCAUUGGGUUUGCUUUUCGGAAAGUUAGAAGGCAAGGAAAGUACUUAGAAAAUAUUCUUCCCUAUGAACACAUAAUUAACAGCUGAAUAUCAUUCAUUGGAUUAAAAAAAAUUUAAAAUAAAAAGAAAGUAAUCAGCCCAUUAUUCCUAGAACAAAUCCUUAAACCAUCAAACGUUAGCUAUGAACAAGUAUAUUGGUCUAUAGCAUAUUCAUAAUAUUUUCUCUGCUGUUCCUGUUAAAAUUUCUCUACUCUAUGAUUGCAAAAUGUCUGGAUACUGAUGAAGAUUUAAGUCACUCUUCUUCUGUGAAUAAGGUCGUUUUUCUUUUUUCCUCUAUUCAAAGUUUCCAUUCUGAUGGGUUCCCAUUUCCAUCUUCGUGAUCUUCUUGUGAUAGUGUGAGUUACAACCUGUCUGUUUCCUUUGUUUGAUCAUCACAAGUUCAAAGACAUUUUAUUCUAGCUAAGCUCUGUGUAUGUAUUAUAACAUUUUUAUUCUCAAUAUAUAUGACUCAAUGAGAGGUCUUUUAUUAUAUAUAUGUCGUGAAUUUCUAUUGUAUUUUGACAUUUGAUGGUGUAUCAUUGUCUCAUUGCAAGGUCUUUUAAUCACUCUGAUUCUCAUUUGAGGAGGUUGGUCUCGUCUAUGUGUAUGUAUUUAUAUCCACAAGAAAUUUGAUAAAUGGUCUUGUCAUUUUCUCAUCAAAACAUCUGGUGCUUCAUAUGUUGGAGGGUUACCAGGCAUCAGGGCCAGAUUUUUAAACUCAAAGUUCUUCGUGUCAUUUUUUAACAAUAAUAAGGAAAGCCCAAGAGAAAAUCUAGAAGUCCUAAUAAGGACCGCUUCUACAUAUAUUGUUCAUUUUCUUAAUUACCUUCAUUAUUAUUUUCGUUUUCAAUCGAUCAAACUUCAGUUUCUUCAUCUUGAAAUCCUUAAUUUACUCAUCAAAAUGUGAACGCUUAGUGUAUCAUUUUUACACUAUAAGAAAUAGUCGUAUUACCGACCAGACAUUUCCACAAUAUACUAUUCAAAAUAAGUACUUUUUACGAAGGUAUUGUCAUUGACGAGCCGUUGGAUAAAUAUGAAAAGUAUCAUUCCUUGGUGAUAAAGAAAAUUCGUUUGUCGGAAAUGGAAUGUCGAGCCCAAAAUUACUCUAAACUUGGUAAAGUUAGAUUUUGGCCCAAUUUGUUUGAAAGUUUUAUACAUAAAGCACUUUUUUUUUUUUAUGUAAUUUGUGCAAUCUGAAGGGAGGUAUUGUAAAAUUAACAUAAAUAAAUGUAAUAUGCCAAUACCGUUUAAAACAAAAAAGAAAUCAUGAAAUUGAAAAUAUAUAUAUAAUAAUAAUAAUAACAACAUUAAAAGAAAAAAGGGGAUUACGGAGAAGAAGAAUCUCUUCUGGAUCACAACUCUCAAUUUCACUCAGUGGUAAUUAAUUCUUCACUCUCACUCGCCUUAUUUCCUGCGGAUUUCUUCAUUUUCCUUCACUGUUCAUUUUUAAGGUUCCAUUGUAUUUCCAUUGAGUUUGCAACUGUUCAAUUGAUCGAUCCUUAUUAGUUUUGGGACUUCAAUGACCAUAGAAGAAGAUUCUCACAGACAACUCUUCCUUCUUUUGUCUUUGUUUUUUUUUUUAUUUGUUUAUGCAUGUUUCCUUUGCUGAUUUAUUUACUUAUUUCUUUCUCUGAUGUCCCAAUUUAUCCUAUGAUAUUUCAAUUGAUGUAUUACGUUCAUGUUAUGUUUAUGGAUGCUUGCUCUACUGUCCUAAUUUACAAUUAAAUUUUACUCCGUCCUUAGCUAUCGAUUCACAGUGGUGUGUCAUUAAUAUGUACUUGUCUUAUUUUAUAUUUCAUUAACUAUUAUUUCAACAAUUGCUGCAGGUGUCAAAUAAUGAAUUUGUAUGAGCUUCAGUCCAAGGUAAUUAUCUUUUUCAUUUCAUGUUAUUUGAUCUCUAGGUUUAUUUUAUCGUUUCAUCUAAAUUAUUUGGAAUGCAUCAGCUGGUUUAUUCUUAAUUUUGGAACGAAUUUGAUGCAGCAGAUGGUUGCGAAGGAUGAGUGGAGUAUCUCUCUAGGGUAACAACUUGAGCUAUAAGUAUCUAUUUAGGGUGCAUAAUAUACAUUUCGAAGUUCGCGACGAGGGGAAUCUAAUCUAAUACUGUAGCGCCGCAUUAGUCUCGUGGUUCGAUUGAAAAUUAUAUUUAUUUCAUAUUAUUUUACAAGUUUAAGAUCUAUUUUCCUAUUGUUUUCGGGAUUUUUAUCUUUUUUUUUUUUCUAGAUAUAGAAUUUGAGUAACAUUUAUCUUAUUUCAGUUAGGAGAAUGUUAUUAUGUAGUAAUAUGUAGGUUUACUUAUUUUGGUAAAUUUGUGAUAUUUAAGUUUAGUUUAAAAGAAGUCCAAAACCUUAAUUUUGUUAUUCAGACUUUCAUUAAUAAAAUAUAAAACUUUCUAAAAAAGAAAAUGCUCGUCUGGUACCUAUAUUUUAACUUCAAUGCUCGUUUAGUUUUUAUAUUUUAAAAAAUACCUCAAUAUACCUUGAUAUUAAAUACGUUACAUUUUUCCUUAAAUUUUAUUUACUUUUACAAUAAUAUCUUGGCAAUAAUAUUCUUAAAUUAAUUAAUUUAUUUAUAAAAAAGUUAAUUGGAAAAUUAAUCAAGAAAUAUCAAUAUGAAAUAACCAGUAUUUUUUGUACUUUUACAACAAUCUUGCCAAUAAUUCUUUAUAAAUAAAUUAAUAGCAGCCAUCUUAAAGUAAUGUUUAAUAUUCUUAAAGCAAUCUUACUAAUAAAUGCAUAAAAAAUUUAAUUUACGAAAUUAGUCCUAAAACUAAAAUAAUAACAUAAAAGUUUUUAUUAAUAUUUAUUUUGUUUAAGGCUGGCUAGAUGAAUUACCAUUUUUUUCUUUUCAUUGAUAUUCCCAAAAAUAUUAUUCCAACACAGUAGGGGUGUCUUGAGGUUAGGGAUGGCAAUGGGGAGGGGAGGGGAGGGGACUAAUCUCCCCGUACCCAUCCCCGAUAUUUUGCGUAUGUCCUCGUCCCCUCCCCGUCCCCGUCCCCGUCAGAAUUACUUGAGAGAAUCUUCAUCCCCUCCCCGAAUAAUAACAGAGGAUCCCCGAUCCCCGAAUAACUAAUACAUUUUUUUUUUUCAAUUUUGAGUUAAUUAUAUUAAAAUAAAAAAAUUCAAAUAAAAGUAAAUUUCGAAAUAUAUCUUACAUGAAUAUCUAUUUCAAAAGUCACAUACAUUAAAUUAGUAAGUAACGCAGCAUGCAAGGGAUACAAACUAUCAUGAACAAAUUAAUAGUCUAAUACAAAAUUGUUACAAAUAAAAUCGAAUUUAGAUUCAAAAUUAACUUUUUCAAUGGUGGCGUGGGCACUUUAUAAAUGUGGACUAUUCCCUUUACAGCACAAUAGUUAAGUCCGAGCAAAUCAAGAGCAAAUAUUAGAUUAGAUUAGAUAUUAAAAUUGUGAUUCGCUGUGGGCAAUUAUAACAUCUAAAAAUAAAUAAAUAAAUAGAUUUAAGUUUAAAAUAUUUAAUGAAUAUUAAAAUUAAAACAAAAUUUUUGGGCUAAUAGAAUCUACUGGUCUUUUUAAUGUCCUAAAUAAAAAUUUAAGACUUUAAUUUGUUAAUUAGGCCUAAAAGUUUAAUAAUAUAAAUAUUUUGAUAUUUGUUAUUUUUACCAAUAUUUAUAAUUUUAUAAUUUAUUUACUAGUAAUUUUAAAAAAUAAAAAUAAAAUUAAAAAUUAAAAUGGGGAAAUGGGUAGGGUAUGGGGAUUCCACCUCAUCGCCGUCCCCUCCCUAAAUAAGAAAUUGGGUAAAAAAAUUUGCCCGUCCCUUCCCCGAAUAAGAAAUUGGGUAUGAAAUUAUCCUCAUACCCUCCCCGAAUAGGGAAAAUCCCCGAUGGUACCCGUCCCCGUGGGGAUUUUUGCCAUCCCUACUUGAGGUUGAGGCACUUUUUAAAAUAUAAGAACUAAAUGCGCUCUCAAGUCAAAAUAUAGAGACUAAAUGAACAUUUAUUCCUUUUAAAAAGCUUGUGUUUCUCUAUCUUUUCAAUCUCAAUGUUUUUGUUUCCGUUUCAUCAUAAGUUCUAAUGUUUGGUUCUCAUCUUAAUGUGCAAAUUUUACAUCAUUGAAGGUCUUUUGAUCUGAGUUAAGAUCAUAAAAUUAUACUUGCAUUGGUCAGGUUAUACGAAAAUUGUACAAAAUAAUAUUCUUAUAUAACUGUUGUCCUCUGUUAUUACGGAAUCCCCAAGUUCUGAAGAAGGUCGAAAUCAGGUCUCUCUACUGUGAAGCCCCUGGAAUAAGAGCUACAAAUGUGUUACCGUUGAAAGCAUGGCAGAAAACUUAGUACUUAAUUCAGACUCUUUGUGGCUUCAAUAUUUUACUUAACAUGAAAAAUUCUUUCUAGCUUGCAUCAUUGUAAAGAUAAAUUGUCGCAGUUCUGACAAUGAACAAGUAUAAAUGUCCACAGAGAAAAGUACUGAACAAUUAAUGUUAACAGCAAUCGAUUGGUGUGAGCGCCAACCACCAUUUUCAUAUUUAAGCCUUUAGAACAGCAAAACAAAAUACGGCAAGUGGCAACCACAUCAAAUAAUCAAAUUGUUGAUAGAUUUUGAAAGCUUUAAUUUGCUUGAUAUAUAUUUAAAUAUUUCAACAGAUGAUCUUUUCGCUACUCACGGGGCACGCUGAGUUAGAAACGGUUUGGAUGUCAAUAUUACUCCAAGUGCCUCAACCAAAUUCAGAAUGAAAAAAAACCAUCUGGUUACCUGCACUUUUGUUUAAGCAGCUAAUGAAGCUAAUUAGCACGAAAUAGUACACAAACUCGCGAGAAAUUUCAUUAGUAGAUCAUCAUCCUGGGAGGAAACCAGCAUCUUGACGCUUUUGUGAUCAAGAAAAUCUGCCAGAACCCCAAUUAAUGAAAAAGAAAUUAUAACAUCAUUUACGUAUAGUUUUACAAAAUCAACAGGACACUCACAGAGCACCUCCUACAGCUGGACCGGCAGUUUUGGUAAGCGACACUACAGUCAUAGCAAGUCCAUUAGCAGCUCCUCUUUGAUGCUGUUCCUUUUGUUGUGGCAUAAACCAACAAAUUAAAUUUAAACUUUGACACAUACAAAAUUUGAAAAAGCUGAAAGCAUGUAAAUGUACUAAACAAACAAAAGAAAAAAAAUAUUUACCACUGCUCUGUUUUGCAGAAGGAAUAAUCUAGUUAUUAUAGACACCUGAUAUUAUAAUUCAGGAAUAGUAAAAUAGAAUUACAACAUUUCUAAUAAAAAAAGACACAAAAUAAUUUUAUACAUACUUGAUGGAUAAUAUAACCUAAGUAUAUGGAUCAAUGAUUAGGAUAUCCACUUACAGCUAAAACAUUCUUCAUCACAGAAGCACAGUUUAUCAAAAAGGCAAGGCUGAACCCAGAUAGCAUUGCUAUGUAAGUGUAACUUGUCAAAAGCGGUAUCGAUAAAACCUGUACAUACAUAGAAAAUUAUGGGACCAAAACCAUGAAGAAAAGUAUUUUAUAAACAAAUAUGUUUGAAACAAACUAUCAAAUGGUCUAAAUGCCACAUGGUGUGUUCAAAAUUAUUGUUCUGUUUUAGUGACAAAACACUCAUCCCAUGACAUUGAGCUAUCAAUUCUCAUGGAUUCGUCACGCUUGAAAGGUUUGGUAGUUGUUCUGUUUUAUCUUCAGUUUCAUUUGUGAUCACAGAAACGUUAGGACUUGCGUGCAUGAAAGCACAUUAAAAUUUGAAAGUUCUGAAGAAGAUUCAGGUCACUCGCGUGCAGCCUCUGGAAUAAGAGCUGUGUUACUGUUUAAAAGUUUUCAUGCUGUGGGGCUUCCAUCUUCAUUAUUCUACGAAUGCUUAACUUCACUAUUCUACGAAUGCUUCACUUCACUACAUUGACAGCGUUGAAAGUGUAACUAAAACCCUUGCUUUCACAAGCAAGCAUCGGUGAAUGAAAAAGAAAGUCUCUCUCGAAGGUAAUUGACAGAGGAGCAAUCUUCUUACUCUUUAACUAAAUAUCAGAAAUACAAGGUUAAGGCAGCUAGGGUUGCGAAGGAGAAGGAUCGUUCCCGGAUUUUGCCUGCUUCAAGUUGUUGGGCUUGGUGAACCAAGUUGUGUACACGAAUUGCUUAUGAGGGCCCACAUGGUUGCAGACAAGCCUGAGCUUUUGUCUCUCCCUCAUGUCUCACAUUUUAUGAUGAAUCAAAUUGAACUCCCAACACGGUAGUUCAUAAAAUAUGCUUUUCUUCUUCCAAGUAAUCUUAUCAUUUCUCUCAUUUUAUUCAUUCUCCACUUUUCAAGUCUUCAAUCUUAAACUCAGUAAGGAUAUUAUUCAACUGCUUUUUCACUUCAGCUCCAGACAUCCGAGAAGGUGCUUGUCCCCACUCUCUAGAUUUAUCAAAAGGCACUAUAUUUUCGAAACCUAUGAUUCGUCAGUAAAAAUCGACGUUACCGACGUGACAAAAUUUUCUACUAUGUAUCAACCAAUUAGAUCUAGUGUUUUGUUGGCAAACAAGAAAUGCUUAUUUACCUUUAAUACUCCACUCAGACAAGUUGGCAUGUGCUAGAAAGUCACUGAUAGUCCAUAACAAUGCUGUGUGUGAAUUGAAUAUUUGAUUACGUGAUGUAUCAUGUAUCAUUCCAACCAUAUCAUCAUCAGCACCCGAGUCAUGACUAACCUGUUUCUUGGUUAGAUUCCAAAGAUGAAGAUGGCUCACCAUGCAAUAUCCAGUUUUAAUACUUUAACCAAAAACCAUUUAUAAUGAUAUGGUCUCUUGCUACUUCCCUUAAAACGAAAUAUUCGACACUUCUUACAAGGAUAAUAAAUUCUUGCAUCACCAACAACAUUCUCAAAUGCAAAAUCUAUAACUUAGAUAUCUAUUUGCCAAACCAACCCAACUCUUCUCCAUUACCAUCUCCUUUUAAUGCACUACAAAAAUUAGUUAGAUAAAUCAUUUUAGUUUUUCAUUUCUACUACUGACCAAGAUAUUUUCGUGUGUGCACAGUUUUGCAAUAUAAUUAAAAAAUCAUUAUACAAUUUUAUGGUUAAUUUCAUUAGAAUUUAUAUAUAUGAAAGCAAGUAAAGCGACAAGAAUCAGAGAAAAAGACGUGAAAAUUAAAGUAUAUAUACAACAAUAAUUAAUGUAAAAAACAGUUUCCAAUACCUUCUGUAAAGAAAUAUCCUCACCCACAGCUGAGAACUUCAGUUGGUUAUCAAUUACAGAUACAAAGCAUGUUACCUAGAAACAAAAAAAAAGGUCAGCCAGCUGAAACAUAUUUAUAAACCAACAUUGGAGAUAGUACUCCAUUUAUAAACAAAAUUACAAGCUCAAAACCAAGUUAACUCAGCAAAACUAUAACCGAUUACGUCCAUCCAACUCAGCUCCUCCACUCCCAUCAAUAUGUCCAACACUCCCUUCAUAUUUACAAAAGGUAAGUGGUCCCGUAUAUCCCUCUCAAGAAUGCAUAAGUUUCUUCAAUCUCAAGUACUUUAAAGUUUUCUUCUACGUUUAUAGAAAUUUCGGCAGCAUCUCCCUUUAGUUCUCCAAGCAACGACAUAGAUAUAUGAGUGUUUAUGUGUUAUCUAGUAUGCACCCAAAGAAGAUGAGAAGCAGCUUGCGAAAAACUCAUUUUUACGUGGGAAAAAAACUUCAGCUACUAGCUACCAUAGAAAACUAUGCAUUCCCAAACAGUUCAAGCCUAGACAAUUCAAGAAUUAUUAAUAGGCAUAUGAUCCUCACUAUCAUCCAAAGAUGACACUAAUAAAACAUGUGUCUAUUAAUAAUUUCUUAAACGAUCUAAGCUUUCAAUGCAUGUAUUGAAAGUUUAAAAUUCAAUCUGAAAUUUGAAUAACACAUAAAUAUCAUAAAUCUCUUCAAUUUGUUCCUAAUACAAUGUAGCAUUAUUACGCGCAUCAUUUCUUAAGCAAAUCCAUAAAAAAUACAAACAAUAAAUACAUUUUCUAGCACUGAUGCAGAUUAUGUUUACUAAGCAAUAAGUUUUAAGUCAUUCAUGUUAAAAUACUUUUUCCUAUUCUUUCAACAUAUAACUAGUACGUGCACACAAUUAAUAAAUUAAAUAUAACCUGGUUGUGAAUCUCGCAAAAAUCUUCCUAUUUUUUUUUUUUUGGUUGGGGGGGGGGGGGGGGGGUGUGAGCUGCUUGUGAAUCUUGCAAAUCCUCGGGAAGGCAUGUUAAGUCAAGGCCAACUUACUAUUAGGGUAUGAAAGAUAUAACCUUUUUUUUCCCUUUUCAGAGUAAAAAGAACAUUGACAGUGUUAAAAAAAUCUAGAGGAUUUCAGGCCCAUAUCCUAACAAAUCAAGGAUAUUAGAAAAAUUUACUGAGGAUAUAGUUUAUGCUCAAUUGUAUCUUGCAGGAAGAAAUUGAUAAGCCUCAGUUUCAAUUAGCUUCAUUAUAGCCAAUGAUUAGGUGUUUAAAAACCAAUGAAUAUUUUUAUAAGAAAUCAACCGUAUUGUCGGAAGAAAAACCAAAUAAAAAUAACAAAGCCAAUGAACAGACUAAUGCUCUUUAUGGUCUAAUAACUAAAAACCAAUGAGUAUUUUUAUAAGAAAUCAACAGUAUUGUUGGAAGAAAAACCAAAUAAAAAUAACAAAGCCAAUGAACAGAUUAACGCUCUUUAUGGUCUAAUAACUAAUCAAACUAAGUUGUGGGUAAAGGCGAAUAUGUUUGUUUGGUCAAUAAUAAGCUCAACGAAUCACUAAUAAGCACCUAAUCACUAUUCCUUAUGCUAUGCAAUGUAAUGGCCUGGGUAAUGGCAGCAAGGCAGGCAAGAACUAGCUAGCCAGUUAUGAUAGUUGAUUAAGAAACUUGAUUAUAUGUAUAUUUUUGUUUGCCACAUUUAAAGAGAAUUUUCCAAAGAUGCUAAGAUACACCAAAUCCCACUAUUUCCAUACUCAUAAAAACAAAAAGCCAUGGCAAAAAUGAAUGACUAUAUAAAAUAAAAUAGGUCAUAGGACAUUGAGAUUAAGGCAACAUGAUUUGUAUACCAUAAAAUAACUAUAUCUGCAUAGUCAAUUAUAUUUCUGUUAGAACUCUAAAGUUUUCAUUUAAAUUUUUUUCCCUGUUAUGUAAACCAUUUAACUGAAAUGCUUAAGCCAAUAUUAACAAUCAUAGACAUACAAGUAUUAAUAGGCUCGUUCAAGUGAAAUGAGCAUUAUUUCUCAUAUCCUUUAGGUUUUUAAGUCAUUUAGAAGUCAUUCAUGUUAAAAAAUUUCUUCAUAUACUUUCAUUAUAAUUAGUACAUAGACAAUUAUUUAAAUAAAUAAAUCUGUUUCUGCUAGUACAGGAAAUUAAUUAAUCAAAGCUAGUAGUUAUAGCUAGGACUUGAAUGAGGCACCUUUCAGAGUUCAAGAGGAGCAUCUGAACAGAACCUUUAUAGAAAUGGCAAUGACGCUUUACAUCUACAUGCUCUUACACAAUAUGGACUUUCAUUUAUUCAAGAACAUAACACUACUCCAAGCUCUUAUUCUACAAGUUAAUUCAGUUUAUAUUAUAAUUUCUGAAAAUAGAACGUAACAUUAUUAAUAUAGAAUCAGCAAUAUAUAUAACUUAUCAGACAAUAUAACAUGCACUUGGUGAGCAUACAAGAUAAACAAGUUAUCUAGAAAAUGAAACUAAAACCCAAGCUCCGCUAUUCAUUGUAGAAGCUUUAAACAUAAAAUUAAAGUAAAUCUAAUAGCAAAACAUUAGAAUGGAUGUUGGAAUUAAAGCUAAAUUCAAUAGUAAUUCAAAUGAAUCCAUUUGAACUUUGUAGAACAAAAUUAAUUUGAGUGAGCAAACACACCAAUGGAACAAGAACACAGGGCUUCAACUUGUAGGAAUAAAAACAAUUGCUGGCGAGACAAAAAUUGACAAUAACGACUACAAUACGAAUUAAAAAGAAUCAAAAUCUAUAAUUACAAGCUAAGUAAGAGAAGAAACUCAUAAUCACAAGCUUAACUCAAAAGAUGAAGGGAGAAUACGAUGAAGAAGAAGAUGCCCGGUGUUUUACGCCGUUCGCCGGCAACCAGUUAGGUUUACGAUGGAGUCCAGCGAAUAGUUUUCUAACUGGAAAUAAAUUUAAAAUUCUAAAAUAGUAGUAUACCGAACGGCUCUUUACCGUCACGUGGUUAGUAACAUAUGUGACAGCAGUGUGGCUGUCACAUAAAGGGUAACAAAAGCAACUCGGGGUUACAAAGAAGUUAGUGAUAUACGUAAUGGCUGCUUUUGCAUUCGCAUUAGGGGUCACAUAUACCAUAUUUUCUUGUAGUACAUGGUAAAUUCUAUUUGAAAAUUGCUAAGUAUUUUAGAUUUGUAUGAAUUCAUUUUUGUGUGCUCGUUGGAUAAUAAUAUAUAAUAAAUCAAAUUUUUGGUGUAAUUUUCACAAUAUUGUAUUAUAAAUAUGUCUCGUUGAAAGGUUUUGAAAUCGUUUUGAUUGAUCAUAAUUGAUAUUUCCACAUUUGCAAAAGAUGCCAGAGAAAAUCUGAUUAUCUUAAGAAAUGAGUGCAUGAGAUAUGAAAUCAACCAUAUAAUAAAAUCAAAUUUUAUUGUGUCAUCCUUCUUGGUUCAAAUUUAUGGAAACAAUAAUCAAAUGCAUCCAUGAACUAGCUAGUAUAUUCCGACACAUGUACCAUCAAAUUUUUGCUAUGUCAUACUUAUAUUUUGAAAUUUUAAUAACAACAAUUGGGCCAAGCAUAUGUUGGUACUUGAAGAUUUAUAAGCUCCAUCCUUGAAAAAAUAAGGCUUGACUGUCCUCAAUCUAAUUCUUUUUGUUUUAAGUUCCUAAUUAAGCUUUCUUGCUUGUUUUCAAGAGCCAGUUUUGUAAUGAUCGACAAACAUGAUUUGCAUAUAUUGCACUUGGUAUUUAUGUGUCACUUAUUAAUUAGAUUUAAAUUUUAUAAAUUAAUUAAGCUGAUUAAUACUUUAUGUUGAUGCAGAAAUCUAGUUGAGUUGGUUGUUGACUCAAAACCACAUCCCCGCAUCAGUAAUAAAUUUGUUUGGUGAAGAAGCGGCUUAUUAAUCUUCAAGAAAAUCCUCUAACCAUGAGCAGAUAAUUCAUGAGCCGAUAAUCUAUGAGCUGUUGAUUAGUGAGCACCAUGAGCAGAUAAUCCACGAGCUGCUGAUCAGUGAGCACCGUGAGCAGAUGUUCUAUGAGCAGAUGAUCCAUGAGCAGAUAACCCGCGAGCAUGCAAGCACAAAGAACAGUCAGGGGGCGCUAGAAGUUUUUCUGGUGAAAACCCUCCGACGCUCAAGUCACAAUAUUGUAUCCAACCAAUAAAAACUAAAAGAUCCAAAAGUUACAAGUUCUAACACCACCCAAAUAAAGGCAUGUUAGGAUUGUUUUUGGGAAGCUCAAAAGUGAUUUUAAAAACUAAAAGCUAAUUUUUAAUGUUUUAUAAAUUUAAAAACUAAAAGUUCUAACACCACCCAAAUAAAGGCAUGUUAGGAUUGUUUUUGGGAAUCUCAAAAGUGAUUUUAAAUAUUAAUGGUGCGUUUACUUCUUGGAAUAGGAAUGAGGUGGAAUGGGAAUGGACUGGAAAGGAAAUGAGGAAUGGGAAUGAGAUUUCAAUGUUUACUUGGCAAAAAUAAAUGGGAAUGGGAAUGUGCUGGAAUGCAAUUGAUGUGUUUACUUGGAAAAAUAAAUGAGAAUGAGAAUCAAUUUACCAUAAUACCCAUAGUAUUAAUAAUUAAUAAAAAUAAUUAAUUUAUCAUUAUUGUUGUUAUUAUUACUAUUAUUACUAUUAAAAAUAAUAUUAACAAUAAUUAAUAAUAACUAAAAUAAUAAAGUUAAUAAAAUAUUAUUAAAUUUUAUUAACUCUAUUAUUUUAGUUAUUAUUAAUUAUUGUUAAUAUUAUUUUUAUUAAUAUUAUCAUUAUUAACAUUUAUUAUUAUUAUUAAUAUUAUUAUUAUAUUUUAUUAACUUUAUUAUUUUAGUUAUUAUUAAUUACUGUUAAUAUUAUUUUCAUUAAUAUUAUCAUUAUUAACAUUUAUUAUUAUUAUUAUUAUUAUUAAAUUUUAUUAAAUUUAUUACUUUAGUUACUAUUAAUUAUUGCUAUUUUUAUUUUUAUUAAUAUUAUCAUUAUUAAAUUUUAUUAUUAUUAUUUUAAUUAAUAUCAUUUUAAUAAUAAUAUUUAUACAUGUAUCUAGAUAAUGAAAAUUACAUUAUUAUUAUUAUUAUUAUUAUUAUUAUUAAAUUUUAUUAACUUUAUUAUUUUAGUUAUUAUUACUUAUUGUUAUUAUUAUUAUUAAUAAUAAUAAUAAUAAUAACAAAAAUAAUGAUAAUAUUGUUAAUAAUGAUAAAUUAAUUAUUUUUUAUUAAUUAUUAUUUUUAUCAUUAUUUUUAUUGUUAAUAAUAAUAAUAUUAAUAAAAAUAAUUAAUAAUAACUAAAAUAAUAAAGUUAAUAAAAUUUAAUAAUAAUAAUAUUAUUAUUAUUAUUAAUGAAAUUUUAAAUAAUAAAAUUAAUUGUGAUUUGAAUGAGGGUAAUUUGGGAAAUAUGAAAAAAUUAGAGGGAUACAAAAGUAAAUAUAUAUUUCAUUCUCAUUCCCUCAUUUUUAUUCCCAACCCCUCAUGGGCUUGGGAUUCCCAUUCUUUAUUCCCAAAUUGUGUGAGACCCACACAUUUUAUUCUCAUUCCCAAAUUAUAUUUUGCCAAGUAAACAUGGGUUUCAUUCUCAUUCUUUCAUUCACAUUCCUCAUUCCAUGAAGUAAACAUACCAUAAAAGCUAAGUUUUAGUGUUUUAUAAAUUUUUUUAGUAAUUACUUUUGGUAAAAUCAUCUCAUCAUACAGUAGAUUUUGAAAAGUAGUGAAUGAAUAGUUUUUCAAAAUUUGAUUUUGAGAAUUACUUUUAUACUUAAUCCAAUUCUAUAUAUAUCCUCAUUAUAUAAUAAAAAUCCAAAAUUAUCUUUAUGAAUUAAGAAAUAAAAUCAUUAACUUAAAAUAGAUUAUUAUUAUUAUUACCAAUUAUAUUGAGAUAACAAAAUAGAGAAUACAAUUUAAUAAUAUAAAAUAUUUAUUUUAGUUAUCAAUAAUUAUAUGUACAUAAUAAAAAUAUUUUAUAUACAUGUUUGUAAAUGUGUAAAUAAAUUUUAUUUAGCAUUAUGUUCAAUUCAGUCAUUUAUAUUUUUUCACCAGUUUAAUAAUAAAAUUUACGAAACACAUACGUCUGCUUUUAAAACUAAAAGUACUUUUAAAAAUAAAUUUUACUAAAUGUUCAGCUGAUUCUCUUCACAAUUGAUCAAUUUCUACAGCAUAACUAACUGAAAUUAUUUUAAAAAUAAAAUUACCAAACUGACCCUAAAUCAAACCAAUAAAAAUGUUUAAAAGUAAUAAAAAUAAACCAAAGUAAAUGUACAAAAAUUCAUGCAUAAAUUGAUAAUCAACAAAAACAACCAAAAGUUUAACUCCAAGUUUUCUGUUCAAUUGACAUAACCCUUAAAUUUCAAAAGGCAUAAUCAAUUUUGUGUCUAAUCCUAUAAAAUUAGAAAAUUAAUGAAUUCAAGGGCAAAGCUACAUUGCAACAUGCCUUUGGUACCCCUCUCUUUUGUCUUUUUAAAGGUCAAUUAUAAUAGUGUCCUGGUAUUUGUUAUAAAAAUGAAAAUGUUGAAAAUUUUUAAAAUUUUACGCAUUAGUCCUACACCUACACAGUAUCAUUUUUCUCAUCCAUUUUGCACCAUCAAUGACAUCAUUUUUCUCACCCAUUUUAAUUAAAAGGUAAUUAAAAUUAUUUUCCAUAUAGAAACAGAAUAAUAAAAUAAAUUUUUUAUUCUUAUUUUUUAAUUAAUUAUAAAAAGAUAUUUUGUAUUAAAACAAUCACUAGUGACUACUGUUUCUUCGCGUGCAAUGAUAUUUUUAAUCGAAAGGGGACAUGAAGGGUUCCAUUAUAUUUGAAAUUGGAUGAUUUACAUAAAGAUAGUCUCAAUGCUAGCAAAUGGUGAUAUGUAAAGUUGCAUGCUCCUUCUAAAAUAACUGCAACAAUAACUAUACCACAAAAACACAAGGAGUUACAUUACACUACCACCUUUUCUUUUCUUUUCUUUUCUUUUUUUUUUUAAAUUUAGAGACCCUCAAUUUGGUUGUUAAAGGCAAUGAACCUUAAAACGUGAUGUAGGAAGCAUAUUAGAUAAAAUGAAUUAGAAUUUACUAGAAAUUAUAAUAUUUGGGUCAAUUUAAAAUUUAAUAUUUUAUUAAAAUUUAUCUUAUUUAUUAAGCUUACUUGAGUCAUAUUUGUAAUUCUAACCUAAUUAGGAUUUCAGAUUAUUUCUCUUAUUUGAGAAAGAUUAGCUACUAUUAUAUAUAUAAACUUGUUAUUCUUAAUUUAUGAUAACAGACACAAACUUCUUAUUAAUAAUUUUUAAUUUUUUCAUAAUUGAGAUAUCUUCUCCUUGGUGAGAGCAUCUUUUUAAAGUUUUCAAGACAUAAAUCAUAUUAGAGUUUUUUUCUGUACCAGGCAGAGCAUUCUCGACCACCAACUCCAUACAUUAGUUCCAUCAAGUUAAAAAAAAAAAACCCAACAAAACCCGAAGCCACCAUCACAUCCGUGCCACACGGCUGCCGCCGCCACUGGUUUCUCUUCUUUUUGGUCGAUCCUCUCUCCCAUCCAAAAGCCCUCACGUCGCCAAUCAUAACCCAACCCAUAACACCACCAUCCCGUCACCGUAGCCACGGGAAACUAGCCAAAACAGCCGCUGAACCACCACGAAAAUCCACCUCUCUAUUCGCUGCAAUCCGUUGCGAUUCACAUCCUCCACCACCACCCAUUCGUCCACGAUCAUCAGCUCUUUCUUUUCAACCCACUCACGCUGCCAACCCUCGGCCGGAUCGCCAGAAACUGAAACCAACCUCCACCCACUACUUUAACUCAACUUUUCAAUCAAAUCACAACUAUUUGAGACAAAUCACCACCAGCAUCACACUCAACACCAUCAAAUCUUCUAGAUCCACCUAUCCUAGGCCAAAUUUUCGACCAUCGUCGCUGGCAACACCAACUUUUGCCUAUUUAUAAUUUUGCCCCUUUACUUUUCUAUACUUAUACUAUUACCUAUAAUUUUAUGUUCUUUAAAAAACACCCAAAAACCAAACAAACUUAUAAAAAAAUAAAUAAAUUAGAAUUUACUAGGAAUUAUAAUAUUUGGGUCAAUUUAAAAUUUUGUAUUUUAUUAGGAUUUAUCUUAUUUUAUUAAGCUUACUUGAGUCAUAUUUGUAAUUCUAAUCUAAUUAGGAUUUUAGAUUAUUUCUCUUAUUUGAGAAAGAUAAGGAUUAAUUUAGCUACUAUUAUAUAUAUAGGCUUUUUAUUCUUAAUUUAUGAUAACAGACACAAGCUUCUCAUUAAUAAUAUUCAGUUUUUUCUCAAUUAAAAUAUCUCCUCUUUGAUGAGAGUCUCUUUCUUGAGUUUUCAAGACGUAUAAUAGAACGAAAUCUAGUAUCGCUUCCGCCCUGCGUUAAAAUGUCAUCUAAUCAUAGGGUCUUGUUAUAGUUGUUUGCAUUGGAAGGCUCAUCUAUCGCCGACAUAUCUAUUUAUCCGGCAACAUUGCCACCAUUACAUUGAUCAGAGAAUUUUGAAUACGUUGAUAGUUUUUUGUUUUUCUGUUCACUCACGUCUAUUUCUUAGUGAUGAUACCGUCAUUGUUGUCAUUGGUGGUGCAAUAAUUUUUAGCAAUAUUAUUUUGAUUUUUCAUUUGAUUUACAAAACUUAAAUAUUAAAUAUAAUACUUAAUUUUAGUCUCAUACACUUAAAUAUUACUAAUAUUCAAGUUCAUGGAUGGAUAUUGAAUAAAUCAAAUUCAGAGUAUUUUAUAUGGAUACUAUCCAAUCUAUUCAGAUCAGAUACUUAGACAUCCAACUUGAAUGGAUUUGUUUGCUCUUUCUAGCUGUUAACUUGAUUAAUAAUUCUAUUGGGUUUGGUUUUAAAACUCCUAAUAUGAUAAUUCAUUCAUGACACAAUUAAUUAUUCACUUAAUUAUAUUAAUUGACUUCUAUUUUAAUUGAUAGAUAUGUGUUGAAUUGUCAUCUCUAUUGUUAUCCAUGUGUGAUGUUAGCAAGAAAGAAGAAAGAAUAGAAAAUACUUAUUUUUAGUUUUUUUUAAAGAAAUAUUUAAAUUAUUUUCAAAUAGAGUAAUUGUUUAGAAUUUUUUUACCCUUCUCUCCGAUAAGUUAAUGACUAUUUAAAUAGUUGGGGUGGAGUAACAAAUACCAAUUUAUUUAAGCGUGCAAUUAAAUUAUUAUUAUUUAUUUAAGGACAAAAACUCAUUGUUAAAAAAAAGAUUUUACAAGUUAAUAAACUAACAUUUUAUUAUUAUUAGUAAAUUAACAUAUUUUUACUAUAUAAUUAAAUAGUUGAUAGUAUGUUUAAUAAAUAUUAUGUUACAAAAAAAAUUAACUACAUAGAAUAUGAAAUUAAGUUUAUUUUUGUAUUUUGUAUAUUUCAUCUACUUGAGAUAAUAAAAUCUCUUGUGUUGAAAAACAAAAUUAUGGGUUUUGAACCUUGUUCACAUAGGUGAGAGAUAAUUGGUUGCCAUUAUGUUAAAUUAAAAAAAAAAGAUCAUAUUUAUACUUAUCACUAAUUAUGGUUAGUAAAUAAUAUACAUGCAUUGUUUAACUAUAUAACAAAGUAGUUAAUUAAUUAAUUAAUUAAUUAAUUAAUUAAUUUAAAUAGAUAUUAAUAUAUGUAAGAAUAAGUCAUUUAAUUGGAAACCUAUUUCAAUGGAGUUAAAAAAAAAAGAGAGAAUAUUAUGGACUUAUAUGUCAAAUUUCAAAACUUUUGAUUUUGUUUAUUUUGCAUGAACAAUAAGGGUCUUUGAUGUUAAUAACCCAAUAAUCACAUCUCAGCCAUUACGCAAUUCUUACAUUAAAUCCAACGGUAGGUUUGAAAAAGACAAAAAAUAGGGUACCAAACCCCACGGGUAUUGUAGUUGGACCCUGAAAUUCAAACUCCUUUCACUUUUCUGUUGUUUGGUUUUCACUAAUAUAUGGGAAUUUAAUUUCUAUUUAAAUUUAAUUUUCAUCAAAUUGUGCAUUUUGGAUUCCCCACCGAAGGCUGUAAAAUUCAAAUUCUCCUCCUAUUAGAAAUCGAAUCUUCCAAAAUUGCUCCUCUCAAAUAUUUAUCAAUUAUUUUAAUUCUUAUCAAAUAAUUCUUAUUUAUGAUUUUAUUUUUUCAAUUUAAAUUGUCACUAAGGAGCCUGACUUACUACCACAGAAAAGCAAAAAUACAAUUUAUAGAUUAUGAUAAUUCCAUGUAUUGUAUGAGAAUUGCAAUCUAAAAAUUUUCCCUACAAAACUUUAAAGAAAUUAUUAUUAUUACCAAUUAUAUGGACAUAACAAAAUAGAGAAUAAAAUUUAAUAAUAUAAAAUAUUUAUUUUAGUUAUCAAUAAUUAUAUGUACGUAAUAAAAAUAUUUUAUAUACGUGUUUGUAAAUGUCUAAAUAAAUUUUAUUUAGCAUUAUGUCCGAUUCAGUCAUUUACAUUCUUGCACUGAUUUAACAAUAAGAUUUAUGAAACACAUACGACUGCUUUUAAAACUAAAUGUACUUUUUAAAAUAAAAUUUACUAAAUGUUCGGUUGAUUCUUUUCACAAUUUAUCAAUUUCUACAGCAUAGCUAACUGUAAUUAAUUUUAAAGAUAUAGGAUUACCAAACUAACCCUAAAUCAAACCAAUAAAAAUGUUUAAAAGUAAUAAUAAGAAACCAAAAUAAACGUACAAAAAUUCAUGCAUAAAUUGAUAAUCAACAAAAGCAUCCAAAAGUUUUACUCCAAGUUUUCUAUUCAAUUGACAUAACACUUAAAUUUCAAAAGGCAUAAUCAAUUUUGUGUCUAAUCCUAUAAAAUUAGAAAAUUAAAUAAUAUUAUAUACUAAUAAUUAAAUAAUAUGCAAUUAAUAAUGUUUAAAAAAUAAUGUUAAACAUAUUGUCAACUAAAAUAAUUGGGAGAAUUGGAGUUCCAAGAUAAAUUCUUAUCGAGUCCCAAAUCAACAAUUGGGAUUAAUUUCAAUCUUAAACUCCGAAACUCCGACUGCUUUUAAAAUUGGUCCUAAUAAUAUGAACAAAUCCCAUUCUGAUCAGUAUGGGAUCCCAAUCCCAUACCUUUGGAUUUCGAUGGUAUUUAGUUGGAGGGAGAAGAGAGGAAGGAAAUGAAUUCAAAUUCCUUUCACUUUUCUGUUGUUUGGUUUUCACUAAUAAAUGGGAAUUCAAUUUCUAUUGAAAUUUAAUUUUCAUCAAAUUGUGCAUUUUGGAUUCGUCACCGAAGGCUGUAAAAUUCAAAUUCCCCUCCGAUUAGAAAUCGAAUCUUCCAAAAUUGCUCCUCUCAAAUAUUUAUCAAUUAUUUUAAUUCUUGUCAAAUAAUUCUUAUUUAUGAUUUUAUUUUUUCAAUUUAAAUCGUCACUAAGGAGUCUAACUUACUACCACAGAAAAUCAAAAAUACAAUUUAUAGAUUAUGAUAAUUUUACGUAUUGUAUGAGAAUUGCAAUCCAAAAAUUUUCCCUACAAAACGCUUUUUAAUCGACAGCAAAUACAUGCUUUCAAAUUUAGUCAGCUGAACUAAUUUUUGUUUUUUUGGAUUAAUUUUGAAAUGUUGCAUCCAUAACGAGCUGGUAUUGAAAUUAAUGUUAACAACAAAAAUAGAUGCAAAAGGAGAAAUAAGCAUCAUGGCCAUUAAUAUUUUGACAUUCAAUGUUGAUUUUGAUCCCACUAAAUUAAGCCAUCAAAAAUUGCUGGGAAGGGAGUAAUAUCUAUUUAUAACUGGAAAUUACUCACCGUACAAUGAUGAUUGGAGCUGCAUGUAUCAUUUAUUAUUAACAAUUAACUUAUGAAAUGCUUUGAAUGUACCUCCUAGGUCGUAUUUACUACACUAGUUAGGAGAAAUUACGAUGUUAAAUUAUUUGAUAAAUACUUAUUAUAAUUUGAAAAAUAUGUCACAUUUGUCCUCCACUUUAUGAUAAAAAAUUUAAAAUAUAUAUAAAUCAUUCAUUUUAUAAUCUUGAACUUUAUUAAAGUUCGAAAAACUAGUAUUACUCUAUAUGAUAUAAUAGUGUGAUGUUGUUACACUAUUUUACCAUAUAAAAUAUAUUUGCUUUCUUAUAUAUAAUGGUUCUGACAUCCUUAUUUUAACAAAGUGAUGAUAUCACUAACAAACUAAAUAACACAUAUUUCAAUACACCAAUAGAUUAAAAAGAUACAGUUCUUAAUGUGUUAAAAUAUAUGUUUCUUGUAUAUUAUUGAUAUUUUCACUUUAACAAAGCGAGGGUCUCCUCACUAUAGAAGUACUUUAUAAAUAUUCUUUGUAUUUUUGUGAAAAUUAUUAUUUAAAAGUCAUAUCUUACCAAAGACUAAUAGUUUUUAUUUUAUCACUAUACCGUACUUUUGAAGAUAGAACACCUCAAUACCAUGACCUUAAUUUUUGAACUCUGCUGUACAAAGUUGUUGGCUGGUCUAUUUAGUUUAGUCUUUCAAUUAUUUGUCGUUUGAACUGAGAUGAUCCGAAUAAAGCUAUAUAUCAAUAAUUUCCUAGUGAAACUUCGGGAAAAAAAAUAAAAAUCCUCUCAUAUAGUGGCAUUAUUUUAAUUCUCAGCUUGAUUAUGUUUUGAGUUAACUUAUAGAUUAUUUGAAAUAAAAAGAAUAUAAUUUAUUUUUCUAACUAAAUAUUUUUAAAUAAUUUUGUUAAUUUAAUGAGUAAUUAUACACUUACAAAGUUAUGAUAUAAAAUUUAAUCUAAUUUAGCUAAGAUGUCCAAUUUAAUACUAAGAGCAAUGUUAAGGAUCCCAAUAAUUGAGUCUCAGCUGAUAUGAUAGUCAUUUAUUAGAUAAUCGAAAUAUUAAUUUUAUUAGUUAUGAAAUUUAUUAUCUAAUAAAAAAAUAACACAUAACAAUUGGGUCUCAAGUUAGAAUUCUACUAUCGAAAUUCCUAACAUUAUUCUCAAAUUAAAAAUUCAUCAAAAUAAUAUCUAUUAUCUAAAAAUAUAAAUAUAAAUAUAAAACCAUAGAUUUACUCUUCAAUCUUCGUGAUUUGGCCGAUUUCUCUUAAAGCUUUGGUUUCUUUAUAAGUGCAACGAGAAAUAGUAAGAAGAUUAAAAAAGCAAUAAAGUAAAACUUUAAAAUUUUUAUUUCUUUAUAUUUUUAUCGGUCAUUUGACCGGUACUGGCGUUUGAUUUUCUGACCGAGCUACUGUUUAGUUCUAAGUUUUGGCAAUUAGAACUGGUGGAUGUCGACUGUUCAAUAAUGAUGGCAGCAUUGACGCAGUGGAAUAAGGAUCACAUAUCUCAAACUUUAGGUGAUGAUAUUGUUAGAUAUUUCAUUGAUUGAGGAUCACAUGUUUUAUGACCACUAUUGUUAGAUAUUUUAUUGACUUACUAUGUAAGUCAAGCAAUUAUUUUUAAAUAAUGAUAUUAUAAUUAAAAAUCAAGAAAUAUUUAUAAUACUUAAAGACUAAUUCAGAUUAUUAUUAUUUUAUAUGACUUAAUUAUUAGCUGACAAAUAAUUAAAAGGUCAUAGAACAAUAUUUUUAGGUCAAAUUUGUAUUCUAAUAUGACACAACUUGUACUUUCAUUCCUAUGCUAAAAUAUAUCUAACCUACUAAUAGUCAAGAAAUAUAUCUAUUCAUCACAUACUUGUUAGAAAGAUUAUCUACUAAUUAAUCAUUGAGACGAGAUUACGAGUCUCAACAUAAAUUAGGAUAAAAAUUAAUACAUUGAAAUUCAGAACAUUUCUUUUUCCUCCUUCUGCAGUUUAAAAAGGAGUCGCCCACGAGUACUGAAAUAAUUUUAUCAGAUUCGCUUGAAAGUAGUUUUACGAGCAAGCAGUUUUUCCCUCUUGAUCCCCGUAUUCGUCAGCUCCUACUCUUUGCCUUCAAUUCUCAGUCAAGUAGUAUCAGUUUUUGUUGUCAGCUCUCUUGAAUUUCACUGGAUCAAGUUUUCUCUUGGCAUCUGUUUUGUUGUAAUCUCCAGUCUUUGUUAAUUAGUUUCUCUCCAUUCCCAAUCUUGUUGUGGCCUGCUGUUGUCUCUGUUUGGUUCCAUAUCUACCCUUUGUACUUCUACCGUGUCAAGAUACCUUCAUUUUUUCCAUCUCUAUUACCAGUCAAUAUUUUUUCCGUCUUUCUUCUGGUCAAUUCUUCAGUUAUUCUGAUUGGUUCCCUUCGCCUCUAUUAUCUAAAUCAUUCCUUAUAUUAAUUCAAUCAGUUCUCGAACUAGAAAUUUUUUCCUUGUUUCCAUCUUCUCACCAGAUCCAUAACAGCUUUUACUCUUUCUUUCAUUUCUCCGCUUCCAAAACCGGAUAAACUGUCCAUCUUCGUUGUUUCGUUUUUUUUUUUUUUCACUCCCUCUUUGUUUCGCUCGUUUUCUAUUUUCUUGUCAGAACUUUGAAAAAAAAAAAAAAAGGGAUCCAGGAUGGUGGAAAGCAUUGUUACUGUUGUUUUAGAAUUUUUGAAAUGCUUGGCUCCUCCAACAGAACGCCGAUUUGGUUAUUUGCGUAACUAUAAAGCCAACGUUGAGAAUCUCAAGGCAGAAAUAGACAAGCUCAAGGAUGAAAGGAGAAGCAUUCAGCACAGGAUUUCUGAGGCUGAAAGAAAAGGGGAAAAGAUUGAAGAGAAGGUUGAGAAGUGGCUGGUUCGUGCGAACAACACCAUUGAGCAGUCAGCCAAAUUCAUUGACGAUGAGGAGACAACAAAUAAACGAUGUCUCAUGGGCUUGUGUCCUAAUUUGAAGACCCGCUAUCAGCUUAGCAAGGAAGGAGAAACAAAGGUGAAGGCCAUUGUUGAACUCAAAGAAGAAGCUGGGAAAUUUGAUGAUAGAAUUUCCUACCGUACCAUUCCGGAGGAUAUAUGGCUCAAGUCUCACAAAGGCUACGAGGCCUUCGAAUCAAGACUUUCUACUUUGAAGGCCAUACAAAAUGCAUUGAUCGAUGUUGAUGUCAGCAUCAUUGGGGUCUACGGCAUGGGCGGCAUUGGAAAGACGACACUGGUGAAGGAGUUUGCAAGGCGAGCCAUUGAAGACAAGCUUUACGAUAUGGUGGCUUUUUCGGAGGUUACCCAAAGUCCAGACAUAAAAAAGAUCCAAGAGGAAAUUGCGGAAACGUUAGGCCUACAGUUGUCCGAGGAAGCUGAGUCUAGAAGAGCUGGUAGACUAUAUGAAAGAUUGAAGAAUGAGAAGAAGAUCCUUGUGAUUCUGGAUAACAUCUGGAACCCUCUUGAUUUGGGGACUAUUGGAAUUCCUUUUGGAGUUGAGCACAGAGGAUGCAAAUUAUUAUUCACAACAAGAGAUCUUGAUGUGCUGUUAAGGAUGGGAUCUGAAAAAAACUUCUCGAUUGGCAUUUUAAAUGAACAAGAAGCCUGGAGAUUGUUCAAGAUAAUGGCUGGUGAUUAUGUUGAAAAUCGUGAGUUAAAAUCUACAGCAACAAGUGUAGCCAAGGCAUGCGGAGGUUUGCCUAUUGCCCUAACCACAGUAGCAAAGGCACUGAGAAAAAAAGAGCUGCCUGUGUGGAAGAAUGCCUUGCAAGAACUCCAAACGCCUUCAGAGGCGAGCUUCGACGAAGGAGUACCAGCAGAGGCAUACUCAACAAUUGAGCUGAGUUACAAGUACUUAAGAGGUGAGCAACUCAAGAAAACUUUUUUACUGUGUAGUCUUAUUACGCCAGCACCAAUUAUGGACUUGUUCAAAUAUAGCAUGGGCUGGGGUGUAUUUAAAAGUGUCCACAAGCUAGAAGAUGCACAUAACAAAUUACAUGCAUGGGUCCAUCAACUAAGAGACUCUUGUUUGUUGCUUGAGGAUGGUGGCAGUAAAUACUUUUCUAUGCACGACGUUGUUCGCGAUGUUGCCAUUUCAAUUGCAUGUCGUGACAAAAUUGGAUUUGUGGUGACAAAUGAGGAUGAUUGGAAAUGGCCAAAUGCAGAUGAAUUAAAAAAAUAUCUUGCAAUUUCUUUAAAAGAUAGUAUUAUUAAUGACAUUCCUGAAGGGUCCGAAUCUCUACAACUUGAACUUCUAGUCAUGUCUCCCAAGAACUCUUUUGCUGUGCCUAAUAUUCCUGAGAACUUCUUCAAAAGGACGAAAAAGCUUCGGGUUUUGGAUUUUACUGGAAUGCGGUUAUUGUCAUUGCCAUCUUCAAUUGGUCUUCUAGUAAAUCUUCAGGCACUCUGUCUUAAUCAAAGCAUUUUGGGAGGCAUAGACAUAGCCAUUAUUGGAAAGUUGGAAAAUCUAGAAAUCCUCAGCUUUUUGCAAUCUGAUAUUGUAGAGUUGCCUAAAGCACUGGGUCAACUGACUAAGCUAAGGCUGUUAGAUUUAACAGACUGUUUCCGUCUGAAAGUUAUUGCCCCAAAUGUCAUAUCAAGCUUAAUCCGAUUAGAAGAAUUGUAUAUGGGUAAUUGCUCCAUUGAAUGGGAGGUUGAAAGAGCCAACAGCAAAAGAAGUAAUGCUAGCCUUGAUGAAUUGAUGCAUUUACCUCGGCUAACCACUCUAGAAAUUGAUGUUAAAAAUGAUAGUAUUUUACCAGGAGGCUUUUUGGCCAGAAAGCUCGAAAGGUUCCAAAUACAUAUUGGAAAUGGGUUAUUCACACAUCCCAUGCUUUUUAGACACAGAUGGUUUAAAAGUUGGCAGCACUUUGUGAUCGACAGAGAUCGCAAGAGUUUAAGAGCAUUGAAGCUCAAGCUUGAUUUUAUGGACAUUUGCUCCAUGAAAUUGCAGGGCAUCAAUAACGUUGAAUGCUUAUGGUUGGACAAGCUGCAAGGCAUCGAGAGUGUUCUUUUCAAUUUGGACACGGAGGGCUUUUCACAAUUGAAGCUUCUCUGGGUUCAAAAUAAUCCUGACAUCUUUUGUAUCGUCGAUUCCAGGGAGAUGGUCGCUUGUGAUGCCUUUCCUCUUUUGGAGUCACUUAUCCUUCACAACUUGAUCAACAUGGAGAGGAUAUGUAUUGAUCGGCUCAAAGUAGAGUCUUUCAACAAACUCAAAACCAUAGAAGCAUAUAGUUGUGAUAAAUUGAGUAAUAUCUUUUGGCUCUCUACUACAAAAUGCCUUCCAAGACUUGAGAGAAUUGCAGUUAUUAAUUGCAGCAAGAUGAAAGAGAUUUUUGCAAUUGGGGAAGAAGUUGAUAAUGCAAUUGAGAAGAUAGAGUUUGCUCAAUUAAGAUAUUUGAGUCUGGGGAAUCUUCCAGAGGUUACAAAUUUCUGCCGUGAAGUAAAGACUCCUUCAGCAUCACCAAACAGACCAGCGUCGCAGGAGGAAUCGACGACUACGUAUAGCUCCAGCGAAAUCACUUUGGAUACUUCAACUCUGCUUUUCAACGAGAAGGUGCGUAGGCUAACAUUUUCUUCAUAUAUAACAGAUUUUAUUCAUAUAAUUAAGAAAAUUGGUCAACUCAAAUGGACUUAAUCAUUUAAUUUUUCGUAAUUAAAUCAUUUAAAGAAUGGAAAGAAAAUGGAAAAAAAAGGAUAAAAAGAAUCUCACGCGCUCACUAAUUGAGCUCUUAACAAGUAGUAUGAAUUAGAAUGCAUACUCAGCUGUCAGUUGGAAAUUGAUUCAGACUUGCAUUAAUUUGUAAUCAAAGAAGAAAAUUUCAACAAGUGCUUCCCAUAUGGAUAUUGGAUCUAACGAGAAAUUCUUAUUUUUUUAGGUUGUGUUGCCUAACUUGGAGGCUUUGGAGAUAUAUGAAAUUAAUGUCGACAAGAUUUGGCACUACAAUAAUCUUCCGGUCAUGUUUCCUCGCUUUCAAAAUUUAACACGAUUGACUGUGCAUCGUUGUCAUAAAUUAAAAUACAUAUUUUCAGCGUCUAUGAUCGGAAGCCUUAAGCAGCUCCAACACCUAGAUAUACGACUCUGUAAGGAAUUACAGGAGAUCAUUUCUGAAAACAGAGCAGAUCAAGUGACCCCUCAUUUUGUCUUUCCACCGCUCACCACUCUGAGACUCGAUGGUCUACCAAAACUUAGAUGUUUGUACCCUGGAAUGCAUACUUCGGAAUGGCCCGCGCUAGAAAUUCUUUAUGUGUAUGGUUGUGACAAAUUAAAGAUAUUCGCUGCAGAUUUAUCGCAGAAUAAUGAGAAUGAUCAACUUGGUAUUCCUGCACAACUGCCCCCCUUGCCGUUGGAAAAGGUAUGAAGCCAUUUUCUAGAUUUUUUAUCAAUAGCUUAUUUUUAACUUUGAAAAAUAUGACAAAGUAUCGAUAAAUUAAUACUCAAUAAAUUAAAAACUUUUAUUAUACAAUAAUCUUUGUUAGUCUAGACUAAGGGAUCAAUGUGGUAGAUUAAUAAUUAUAUGAAUUGUUUUAGGUAUAGCAUUUGUAAAAGAAUCCUCAGUCUUUCCAUAUAGAAGAACUUACAAAAUAAAUUAGUAAUUUAUUAUUGUGCAAUAAAAUAAUUUCGAGCCUGUAUAAAUCAACAUUUUUUCCCUAAUUUCUUUUUUACCUCUAAAAUUAACAUAUAAAAAAUCAUUUAAUAAAUUUUAUCAAUAAUUCAAUCUUUUUUUUUUUUUUUGAGAAUGAUGAACUUGAUACUCCUGCACAACAGGCCCUAUUGCCGUUGGAAAAUGUAUGAAGCCAUUUUCUAGAUUUCUAUCAAUAGCUUAGUUUGAACUUUAAAAAAUAUGACAAAGCAUCAAUAAAUUAAUACUCAAUAAAUUGAAAACUUUUAUUAUACAAUAAUCUUUGCUAGUCUAGACUAAGGGAUUUAUUGAUAGAUUAAUAAUUAUAUGAACUUUUUUAGGUAUAGCAUUUAUAAAAGAAUCCUUAGAGCAUCACCAAAAGACUCUUUAAAUAAGAUUUUAUUACUUAUUUGAAGAGCCACAUCAGCAUUUAAAGUUCCAAAAGAUACUCCAAUUAAGAUUCUUCAAAUAAGAAAUGAUCAUCUCUCUUCAAAUUUGGAGAGUUGCAUUCCCCCUCUUCAAUUUAUAUUUUAUUACUUUUUGUUGGAGAAAGAGAGAGAGGUGUUUUAAUUACUAUUGACUUUUUAUUUUUUAAAAAUAGUUAUUUAAUUAAAAUAAUAUUAAUUCAUUUCUAUUUGAAGAGUCUUUUGGAGAAUAACAUAUUUUUUCACUUUUCUAUUUGCCACAUAGGUAAGCAAAUAGAAAUUUGAAAGAGUAAAAUUUAUAGAGCCUUUUGGAGAUACUUAGUCUUUCCAUAUAUAAGAACUUACAAAAUAAAUUAGUAAUUUAUUAUUGUGCAAUAAAAUAAUUUCCAGCCAGUAUAAAUCAAAAUUUUUUCCUUAAUUUCUUUUUUACCUCUAAAAUUAACAUAUAAAAAAUCUAAAAUAUAAUAUAAAACAAAUACUAUAAAGUCACUGCGUGUGAUUGGAUUACUUAAAAUCAUUUGAGAGAACAUCAAUUGACCUUAAUAAUUAUUAUGAUUGAUGAUGAUCAGAUCUUACCCAACUUGAAGGACCUAACAUUAAAUGGAAAAGACGUGAAGAUGAUUUUGCAGGCCGAUUUCCCCCAACCCCUUUUUGGCAGUCUUAAACAACUAAAUAUUGUUGGCGAUGACUCAGCUUGUUUUCCAAUCUGGAAUGUACUUGAGAGAUUUCACAGUCUCGAAAUACUCAUACUGUGUUAUUUUUCAUUCCACGAAGAGGUAUUUUCGAUGGAAGGAUGCUUAGAGAAACAUGUGGGGAAGUUGGCAAUGAUAAAAGAAUUACAGCUGCACCAGCACUAUCAUCUUGAGCAGCUGUGCAAACAAGACUCCAAACUUGGCCCCAUUUUUCAGUAUCUUGAAAUUCUAAAAGUAUAUGAUUGUCAAAGUCUGUUAAUUCUAUUGCCAUCAUCAUCGGUAUCUUUUCGGAACCUAACGGAAAUUGUAGCUUUCGGUUGCAAGGAAUUGAUACACUUGGUAACAUCCUCCACAGCAAAAACUCUAGUGCAACUCGUCACAGUGCGUAUGCGUGAAUGCAGAGCGAUGACAGAGGUGGUAAUAAAUGACAAAGAAGGAGUUGAAAAAGAAGAGAUUGUUUUCCGCAAAUUGAAGACGUUGGAACUGCGUGAUUUAGAUAGCCUCACAAGUUUCUGCUCUGCCAAUUACACCUUCAAAUUCCCAUCUUUGCAAGAUUUGUGGGUGAUUGGUUGUCCCAAGAUGAAGAUUUUCACUACAGGAGAAUCAAUCAUGCCUCUAAGAGUAAACGUCUGCUAUGGAGAGACAGCGGAUCAACGGCGCUGGGCUAAUAAUGAUCUAAACACAACCAUACAACAAUUACAUGCUGAGAAGGUACGUAUAUACAUAUUACUCUCUAUCUCCCAUGAUAAAUUUUUACAAAAUUUGCUUUCUUAAAUACAAUAUAGAUAAGAUAUUUUUUAUAAAGUAAAAGUUUAAAUUGAUGAAUAAGAAUUUUACUUUCAGCUGUUGGCGGUGUCGUCGUCAUACUCUACGCAGUACGACUAAUUUCAUAGGCUUCUUAUGACUUGGAGUUGCGAAUUUUUAGAAGAAAGUCUCAACUGGUAAUUAAUUUUUAUUUCAUUUAUUUAAUCCCAUGGCUUGUUUCGCAAUUUCAUCUGAAUUAUUUAGAAUGGAUCCCUCGGUUUACUGUUAAAUUUGCAAUGCAAUUUUAAUGAUCCUUUCAGACUUUUAUGGACAGAUUUUGCAUAAUUGAAUGUCUUUUUAGUCUAGUUUAAUUUGAGUCUUUUUUUUUUUUUUGGCGAGCUCCCCUCGUCUUCUAAAAUUUUGUAACUCCUUGCAUACGUUUUGAUGAUAAAAUUUCAUUAAAAGCCUUCGUAUUUUUUAAAUCCUUGAAAACGUGCAUACUUUUUCCUUUCUUUCUUUGCCAAUUAUUUAUCGUCAUCAUUGCUGUUCUUUUAUUUUACUUUGUGCUCUGUUUGUUCAUUGGGUUUGCUUUUCUUCACACCUAUAUUUCCUUGGAAAGUUAGAAGGCAAGGAAAGUACUUAGAAAAUGUUCUUCCCUAUGAACACAUAAUUAAAGAACAGCUGAAUAUCAUUAAUCGGAUUAAAAAAAUUAAAAAAAAAAAGUAAUCAGUGCAUAUUCAUAAUAUUUUCUCUGUUGUUCCUGUUAAAAUUUCUCUACUCUAUGAUUGCAGAAUGUUUGGAUACUGAUGAAGAUUUAAGUCACUCGUCCUCUGUGAAUAAGGUCGUUUUCCUUUUUUCCUCUAUUCAAAGUUUACAUUCUGAGGGGUUCCCGUUUCCAUCUUCGUGAUCUUCUUGUGAUUCACUGCAUUGUGUCGCUACAUCUGUGAUAGUGUGAGUUGCAACAUGUCUGUUUCCUUUGUUUGAUCAUCGCAAGUCCAAAGACAUUUCAUUCUAGCUAAGCUCUUUGUAUGUAUUAAAAAAAAUUUAUUCUCAAUAUAUAUGACUCAAUGAGUGGUCUUUUAUUAUAUAUAUGUCAUGAAUUUCUAUUGUAUUUUGAGAUUUGAUGGUGUAUUAUUGUCUCAUUGAAAGGUCUUGUAAUCACUCUGAUUCUCAUUUGAGGAGGUUGGUCUCGUCUAUGUGUAUGUAUUUAUAUCCACAAGAAAUUUGAUAAAUGGUCUUGUCGUUUUAUCAUUAAAACAUCUAGUGCUUCAUAGGUUGGAGGGCUACCAGGCAUCAGGGCCAGAUUUUUAAACUCAAAGUUAUUCGUGUCAUUUACCCAUUUGAUUAUCAAAUAGUCAUAAAAGCAUAUAAAUUCAAGUCAGUGUAUCAUUUGUACACAAUAUACUAAAACUAACACAAGAACUUGGCCGACAUUUUCAGUUGAAUAACUCAGACCCCCCUACUUCCUCGGGCUGACAGCCCAAAGUGAAAAUAUCUAAAAAAAAUAGUUUGCUCCACAUCUAUCUUUCCUAACUUAGGAAGGCAAGGAUUUUGAAAGCUUUGCUUGAUAAAAUCUGAAAGUUCUGAAGAAGAUUCAGGUCACUCGCGUGCAGCCUCUGGAAUAAGAGCUGUGUUACUGUUUAAAAGUUUUCAUGCUCUGGAAUAAAAUUUGCUUUACUGUGUUACUGGUCAACUUCAUUAUUCUACUAAUGCUUUACUUCAUCUUCAUUGUAUCACUACAUUGACAGCGUUGACAGUGUAACUAAAACCCUUGCGUUCACAAGCAAUUUUGAUCACAUUAAACUUUUAAGAAAUUAUCUUUUAUAGCCAUCUUCCAUAUUAUUAGGAGGAGUCGUUUUCACUAUUUUUAAGAAAUUUUGAUCACAUUAAACUUUUGAUCUGAGUUCAUAACAAAAAUCAAAACGGUGCAUGACAUCAAGAUUAUGAUGAAUCAAAUUGAACUCCCAAUAUGUUAGUUCAUAAAAAAUGCUUUUCUUCUUCCAAGUAAUCUUAUCAUUUCUUUCAUUUUAUUCAUUCUCCUCUUUUCUCCUCUUUUCAAGUCUUCAAUCUUAAGUACAUUACUGAACUGGUUUUUCACCUCGGCUCCAGACAACCGAGAAGGUGCUUGUCCCCACUCUCUAGUUUUAUCAGAUGGCACUAUAUUUUCGGAACCUAUGAUUUGUUGGUAAAAAUCGACGGUGACCCACGUGACAAUUUUCUACUAUGUAUCAACCAAUUAGAUCUAGUGUUUUGUUGGCAAACAAGAAAUGCUUAUUUACCUUUAAUACUCCACCCAAACAAGUUGGCAUAUGCUAGAAAGUCGGAGAUAGUCCAUAACAAUGCUGCGUGUGACUUGAACAUUUGAUUACGUGAUGCAUUAUGCACCAUUCCAACCAUACUAGCAUCACUACCCGAGUCAUGACUAACCUGUUUCUUAGUUAGAUUUCAAAGAUGAAGAUGGCUCACCCUCCAAUAUCCAGUUUUAAUACUUUAACCAAUAGCCAUUUAUAAUGAUAUGGUCUCUUGCCACUUUCCUUAUAAUGAAAUAUCGAUAUUACAACACCUCUUAGAAGGACAAUAAAUUCUUUUAUCACCAACAACAUUCUCAAAUGCAAAAUCUAUAAAUUUUUUGACCCCCAUCAGUAUAUGAAUUGGAUAUCUAUUUGGCAAACCAACCCAACUCUGGUCCAUGACUAUCUCCUUUUAUUGCACUAGAAAAAUUAGUUAAAUAAAUCACUUUAAUUCUUCAUUUCUACUACUAAACAAGAUAUUUUCAUGCGUGCGCAGUUUCGCAAUAUAAUAAAAAAAAUUAUUAUACAAUUUUAUGGUUUUAUAUAUAUGGAAGCAAGCAAAGCCACAAGAAUCAGAGAAAAAGAUGUGAAAAUUAAAGUAUAUAUACAAUAAUAAUUAAUCUAAAAAACAGUUUGCAAUACCUUCUGUAAAGAAAUAUCCUCACCCACAGCUGAGAACUUCACUUGGCUAUCAAUUACAGAUAUAUAAAGCCUGUUACCUAGAAACAAAAAAUUAGGUCAGCCAGCUGAAACAUAUUUAUAAACCAACAUUGGAGAUAGUACUCCAUUUAUAAAAAAAAUUACAAGACUCAAAACCAAGUCGACUCAGCAAAAUCAUAACCGAUUACAUUCAUCCCACUCAGCUCCUCCAAUAUAUCCAACAUUCCCUUCAUAUUUACAAAAGGUAAGUGGUCCUAUAUAUCCCACUCAAGAAUGCAUAAGUUUCUUCAAUCUUAAGUAUCUAAAGUUUUCCUCUACGUUUAUAGAAACUUCGGAAGCAUCUCCCUAUAGUUCUUCAAGUACACGACAUAGAUAUAUGAGUGUUUAUGUGUUAUGCCAAAACAAUACAUGACACCCAUUUGUCUAGUAUGCACCCAGAGAACAUGAGGAGCAGCUGCUGAAAAACCCAUUUUUACGUGGGAAAAAAAUUUCAGGCACUAGCUACCAUAGAAAUCUAUGCAUUACCAAACUGUCCAAGCCUAGAUAAUUCAAGAAUUAUUAAUAGACAUAAGAUCCUCACUAUCAUCCAAAAGAUGACACUAAUAAAACAUGUGUCUAUUAAUAAUUUCUUAAAGGAGUUUAAGCUUUCAAUGCAUGUAUCAAAAGUUUAAAAUUGAAUCUGAAACUUGAAUAACACAUAAAAAUCAUAAAUCUCUUCAAUUUAUUCCUAAUAAAAUGUAGCAUUUUUUCACAUUUCAUUUCUUAAGCAAAACCAUAAAAAAUUACAAACAACAAAUACAUUUUCUAGCACUGAUGCACAUUAUGUUUACUGAGCAAUAAGUUUUAAGUCAUUCAUAUUAAAAUACUUCUUCCUAUUCUAUCAACAAAUAACUAGUAUGUACACACAAUUAAUAAAUUAAAUGUAACCUGGUUGUGAAUCUUGCAAAGUCUUCCUAUUUGGUUUUUUUUUUUUUGGUGGUGGUUGGGGGGGGGGGGGGUGGUUAUGCUCAUUUGUAUGUUGUUAACAGAAAUUGAUCCAAAGCCUCCGUUUUAAUUAGCUUCAUUAUAGCCAAUGAUUAGGUGUUUAAAAACCAAUGAAUAUUUUUUAUAAGAAAUCAACAAUAUUGUUGAAAGAAAAACCAAAUAAAAAUAAUAAAGCAAUGCAUAGAUUAAGGCUCUUUAUUAUCUAAUAACUAAUCAAACUAAGUUGUGGGUAAAGGCGAAUAUGUUUGUUUGGCCAAUAAUAAACUCAAGGAAUCACCAAUAAUCACCUAGUUACUAUUCCUUAUGCCAUGCAAUGUAAUGGCGUCGGUAAUGGCGACAAGGCAGGCAAUAACUAGCUAGCUAGUUAUGAUAGUUGCUUAACUUAACCUACUGGAAAUCUGAAGACCAAAAUGAAGAAACUUUGUCUAGAACUAGAAUAGGAAAACAUUCAUACCCAAAACCAAUAUACAUGAUUAAGAAACUUGAUUAUAUGUAUAUUUUUGUUUGCCACACCAAAUCCCACUAUUUCCAUACUCAUAAGCACAAAAAACCAUCGCAAAAAUGAAUGACCAUAUAAAAUAAAAUAGGUCGUAGGACAUUGAGUAUAGGACAAUAUGAUUUAUGUACCGUAAAAUAACUAUAUCUGCAGUCAACUAUAUUUCUGUUCGAACUCUAAAGUUUUCCAUUAAAUUUUUUCCCCUGUUAGGUAAACCACUUAACUGAAACACUUAAGCAAGAUUGACAAUCAUAGACAUAAAAGUAUUAGGCUCGUUCAAGUGAAAUGAGCAUUAUUUGACAUAUCCUUUAGGCUUUUAAGUCAUUUAGAAGUCAUUCAUGUUAAACAAUUUCUUCAUAUACUUUCAAUAUAAUUAGUACAUACACAAUUAAUUAAUUAAAUAAAUCUGUUUCAGCUAGCACAGGAACUUAAGCAAUCAGAGCUAUUAGUUAUAGCUAGGACUUGAAUGAGGCACCUUUCAAAGUUCAAGAGGAGCAUCUGAACAGAAUGAAAGCAUUUUGUAGAAAUGGUAGUGAUGCUUUACAUCUACAUGCUCUUACACAAUAUGAACUUUCAUUUAUUCAAGAACAUAACACUAAUCCAAGCUCUUACUCUACAAGUCAAUUCAGUUUGUAGAUGCAAGCCAUUGUAAAAACUUUUGUGUUAUAAUUUCCGUAAAUGGAACAUGACAUUACUAAUAUAGAAUCAGCAAUGUUAUAUAACUUAUCAGACAAUAUAACAAGCACUUGGCGAGCAUAUAAGAUAAACUAAAACAAGUUAAUUAGAAAAUGAAACUAAAACCCAAGCUCCGCUAUUCAUUGUAGAAGCUUUAAACAUAAAAUAAAAGUAAAUCUAAAUACAUGAUUGUAAAACAUUAGAAUGAAUGUUGAAAUGAAAGCUAAAUUCAAUAGUAAUCCAAAUGAAUCCAUUUGAACUUUGUAAAUUCCGCAGAACAAAAUUAAUUUGAGUGAGCAAAGUCACCAAUGGAACAAGAACAGAAGGGCUUCAACUUCUAGGAACAAGAAAUAUUGCCGGCGGGACAAAAAUUGACAUUAAUGGUUACAAUACGAAUUAAAGAAAUCAAAACCUAUAAUUACAAGCUAAGAAAGAGAAGAAACUCAUAAUCACAAGCUUACCUGAAACGAUGAGAGAGAUAAUAAGAUGAAGAAGAAGAUCGCCGCCGUUUUACGCCAUUCUCCGGCUACCAGUAAGGUUUAGGAUGGCCAGGCACGCACGAGAGAGAAUUUGGGACUUUGGUUUUGAAAAUAUUGACUUCAGCAAAUAGUUUUCUAUUUAGAAACAAAUUUAUAACUCUACCGUCAAAAUAAUAGUAUGCCAAUUGGCUCUCUACCGUCACGUGGUUAGUAACAUAAGUGAGAGCAGUCUAGCAGAUAUUCCCGCGGGGACAUGACCCUCGAGAUUUUCCCAAUUCAGGAGGGUAUAUGAAUUGCUAGAGAUAUUUUGGCAAUUCUAAUUACAAAUGUUGCUUCUGAAUUAGUUUUUAGCACCAGUGUUAGAGUACUGUAACACGUUUUAUUCAAGCACAUUGGAGGCUUUAAUAUGUUGUCAAAGUUGACUACAAGCUUACAAUGGCAAUAUGAGUUUAUUUUACAUUGUAAUUAUAUUAUAUAAUUAUUAAUAUUUUCACUUAGAAUUUACAUUACUUAUAUUAUUUUUGUUGUUUUAAAUUUGAAAUCUGAGGCUAUCUCUCAAUUUGUCACAUUUCUCGAGGAAGAACAAGAAGAGUAGGAGACACAAGAGGUAAAUACUUUUAUUAGAAAUAUUGAUUAAGUAUCUAUAUUCAUUUCAUUUAUCUCAUUGUUGAUAUAAAAGUAAUUUCUUUUUUUUUUAUUAUAUGAUUUUGAAGAUUGCCGAAGAUAAUUAUUAUGGUGAUUUAUACUUUGUAAUGUGACUUUUGUAAUAGAUUAAUGUUAAUGUAAGAUAUAUCGUCAAACUUUAUUUUUAUUUUUUAUUUUAAUAUGAUUAAAUUAAAAUUUAAAACUAAAAACGUAUCAGUUAUUCGACAAUCGAGGACCUUUAAGGAUCCCCUAUUAUUAUUUGGGGAGGGGAGGGGGAUUCCCUAAAGUAAUUUUGUCGGGAAUGGGAAGAGGACAUGGAUAUAUGCAGAAUAUCGGGAAUGGGUACGGGGAGAUCAGUCUCUUCCCCUCCCCUUUCCAUUGCCAUUCCUAACAAAGUUGGCAAUACAUGUACGGGCCGCUUUUGUAAAAUUGCUUUAAGGGUCGUUUGGGAUUGCUUUUGGGAAUAGCAUGCAAGAUAUAUAUAAAAAAUAAAAUCGUAGAAUAACUUUUACCUCUAAUUCGAUUUUUUCUUCUUUUUUGUAAAUUAUUAUGCAUUUAUAUUAAAGUCACUGUGUAUGAUUGGAUUAUUAAAAGUUAUUUGAGAGAAUAUGAAUUGACUUAAUAAGUUAUUACGUGAUUGAUGAUGAUCAGAGCUUACCCAACUUAGGAGGAACGGGCAUUAAGUGGAAAAGACUCGAGGAUGACUUUGCAGAGCGAUUUCCCACAACACCUUUUUGGCAGUCUUAAACUACUACAAACAGUGAAUAUGAGAUUGUUUUCACCAAAUUGAAGAUUUUGUAUCUGUAUGAUUUGGGUAGUCUCACAAGUUUCUGCUGAUAGUCUCAGAAGUUUCUGCUCUGCCAAUUACACCUUCAAGGAAUCUUUGGAAGAUUUAUCUAUAAUUGGUUGUCCCAAGAUGAAGAUUUUCACUAAAGGAGAAUUAAACGCGCCUCUGAGAGUAAACUUCUACUAUGGAGAGAGAGAUGAUCAACAGCUUUGGGACCAAACUAAAUUCGUUAAUCAUUAGUUUUUAACUUCAUUACUGUAUGGAAGUCCUGUCAAAUUAAAUUGCUGCUGUUAAAUUUAUUAAAUCUCUUGCUUCCCUGCAAAUCUCUGUGUGCUUUAAUUUUAAUUGAAACUAAUGAAUGAAAAUUUUACUUUCAGCUGUUGGAGGGGUCCUCAUCUUAUUCAACGAUGUAUGUGUCCUAAUGGCAUUGGCAUUUUACUUUAAUUACAAGCGAGUUGUGAAUUUGAAAAACAAAGUCCCGGUUAAUUCAAUUUCAUUUCAUUUUAUUUGAUUUCUUGGCUUGUUUUAUUGCUUCAUCUAAAUUGUUUGGAAUACACCACUAGUUUAUUUUUACUUUUAGAAUGAGUUUUAAUGUUUUGUUAUGAGAUUUAUAUGCUUAUUUUAUAUCAUUAAAGGUCUUAGUGACUUAUCUAUUUAUUUAUUUUUAUAUCAUUAAAGGUCUUCACUUAUUUAUUUAUUUAUUUUUUUGACGGUGUGGCUUUAUAAUGUGCUAUUUUUUUUUUAAUUUUGAAUUUUAUAAUUCCUUGAAAAUGUCAUUGAAAGGCCCAGCACUUUUAUGUGGAAACCAUCUCAUCCUCUUUAUUUCGAACUAUUAAACAACCAAAUGUAUCCUAACAUAUAUGUUGAGAAUCAAUCUACUGAUUAAGAUAUAUGGCAAUGGUAUUGUCUGUUUGCUAUAGUUUGAUUACAAGAGAACUUUUCCAUUUGUUAGUUGCCAUCUUUGUUGAUCUGUUAAUUCAGUCUUCUUCUGUUUGUCCUGUUUCUCUGUUUAUUUCAACCUUUCUUUCAAAACUUAGAAGGUAUGGAAAGAGCAAGUACUUAGAAAUUGCAAGAAUUAUAUCAAAUCAUGCAUAUAUGCCCCUGCCUAUGAACUCUUAGGAACAAUCGAAUAUCUUUCCUUGAAUAACAUAAAACAAAAUCUACAGAUCAUUAAACCAUCAAAAGUUAGCUAUGAACAACAAUAUUGACCCCACAAAAGAGUUUUCUAUUUAGAAACAAAUUUAUAACUUUAAAAUAAUGGCAUGCCAAUUGGCUCUCUACCGUCACGUGGUUAGUAACAUAAGUGAGAGCAGUCUAGCCGUCACAUAAACAGUCACAAAAGCAACUGGCUGUUGCAAAGUAAGGGGUGGCAGAAAUUCCUGCAGUGAUAGGGAUUCUCGGAAAUUUUCUCCAUUUGGAUAGGAUAAAGAGAUAAUUUUUUAUUUAAUUUCUUAUGCAGAGAAGGGAUGAAAAUAAUUUUUUUAUCUAAUUUUUUAUUCGAAAAAAGGAUGAGGAUACAGCGGAAUCCUCAUCCCCUCCUAAUUUCUUGAUUUUAAUUUUAUUUUUAUUUUUAUUUUUUAAAUUAUUUAUAAAUAAAUAAUAAAAUGUAAAUUAUAAAAUAUUAAAUAUUAGUAUAAAUAAAAAAUAUCAAAAUAAUUAUAUUAUUAAACUUUAAGGCCUAACUUACUGCAUUAAUAUUUGGAUGAGAAAGUUAUCCUACGGAUGAAAGAUUUUAAUAUUUUAAGUUGGUGAAAAACAAAUGCUCAUAGGUAUCCUAUAUUGGCACGAAUUGCUGGAGAUAUUUUAACAAUUCUAAUUACAAUUGUUGCUCCUGAAUAAGCUUUUAACACAGUGGUAGAGUAUUGUAACACGCUUCAUUCAAGCACAUUGGAGGCUUUAAUGUGUUGUCAAAAUUAGUUACAAGCUUAAAAUGGCAGUAUGAAUUUAUUUUACAUUGUAAUUAUAUUAUAUAAUAAUUAAUAUUUUCACUUAUAAGUUACAUUACUUAUAUUAUUUUUAUUGUUUUAAAUUUAAAAUCUGAGGCUAUCUUUCAAUUUGCCACAUUCAUCGAGGAAGAACAAGAGGAGCAAGAGACGCAAGAGGUAAAUACUUUUAUUAGAAAUAUUGAUUAAGUAUCUAUAUUCAUUUCAUUUAUCUCAUUGUUGAUAUAAAAGUAAUUUCUUUUUUUUUAUUGUAGGAUUUUGAAAAUUGACGAAGAUAAUUAUUGUGGUGAUUUGUACUUUGUAGUGAGAUUUUUGUAAUGGAUUAAUAUUAAUGUGAGAUAUAUCGUCAAACUUUAUUUUAUUUAAAAUUUUAUUUUAAUACGAUUAAAUUAAAAUUAAAAACUAAAAACAUAUCAUUUAUUCAGGGAUCGAGGACCCACAGAGAUCCCCUAUUAUUAUUCAGGGAGAGGAGGGGAUUCUCUAAAGCAAUUUUGUCGAAGAUGGGAAGAGAGUAAGGAUAUAUGCAAAAUAUCGAGGAUAGGUACGGUGAGAUUGGUCUCCUCCCCAUUAUUAUCCCUAACAAAGUUGGUGAUACAAGUAACGGCCGCUUUUUGUAAAAUUGUUUUAAGGGCCGUUUAUGAUUGCUUUUGGUAAUAGCAUGCAAGAUAUAUAUAAAAAAUAAAAUGGUAGAAUAACUUUUACCUCUAAUUCGAUUUUUUCCCCUUUUUUUUUGUAAAAUAUUAUGCAUUUAUAUUAAAGUUACUGUAUAUGAUUGGAUUAUUAAAAGUUAUUUGAGAGAAUAUGAAUUGACUUAAUAAGUUAUUGCGUGAUUGAUAAUGAUCAGAGCUUACCCAACUUGGAGGAACGGGCAUUAAGUGGAAAAGACUCGAGGAUGACUUUGCAAAGCGAUUUCCCACGACACCUUUUUGGCAGUCUUAAACUGCCACAAACAAUGGAUGAUGCCUCAACUUGUUUUCCACAUGGUUUACUUGAGAGAUUUCAUAAUCUGGAAACUCUCAUACCGGGUCGUUGUUCAUGCGAAGAGGUAUUUUCAAACGGAGGAUACUUGAGAAAACAUGUGAGGAAGUUUGCAAUGAUAAAACAUUUAGAUCUGCACAAAUUUAAUCAUCUGAAGCAAUUGUGGAAACAAGACUCCAAAUUGCACUUCUUUUUUCAAUGUCUUGAAAUUCUAAAUGUACAUUUUUGUCAAAAUCUGUUAGGUCUAUGGCCAUCAUAUCAUCGGUAUCUUUUGGGAAUGUAAAAGAACUUCUAGUUCUUUUUGCAAGGAAUUGAUGAGCUUAGCAACAUCCCCCACAGCAAAAAGUCUAGAGCGACUCUUAUCAAUGGUGGUAUGUGGAUGCAGAGAAAUGAGAGAGGUGGUGAUAAAUGACGAAGAUGGAGCAGCAAAUUUAAAAGAAGAGUUGUUUUCACCAAAUUGAAGAUUUUGUAUCUGUAUGAUUUGGAUAGUCUCAGAAGUUUCUGCUGAUAGUCUCAGAAGUUUCUGCUCUGCCAAUAACACCUUCAAAUUCCCAUCUUUGGAAGAUUUAUUUUUACUUUUGGAAUGAGUUUUAAUGUUUUGUUCUGAGAUUUAUAUGCUUAUUUUAUAUCAUUAAAGGUCUUAGUGACUUAUCUAUUUAUUUAUUUUUAUAUCAUUAAAGGUCUUAAUUUAUCUAUUUGUUUAUUUUUUUUGACGGUGUGGCUUUAUAAUUUGCUAAUUUUUUUUAAUUUUGAAUUUUAUAAUUCUUUGAAAAUGUCAUUGAAAGGCCCAGCACUUUUAUGUGAAACCAUCUCAUCCUCUUUAUUUCGAACUAUUAAACAACCAAAUGUAUCCUAACAUAUAUGUUGAGAAUCAAUCUGCUGAUUAAGAUAUAUGGCAAUGGUAUUGUCUGUUUGCUAUAGUUUGAUUACAAGAGAACUUUUCCAUUUGUUAGUUGCCAUCUUUGUUGAUCUGUUAAUUCAGUCUUCUUCUGUUUGUCCUGUUUCUCUGUUUAUUUCAACCUUUCUUUCAAAACUUAGAAGGUAUGGAAAGAGCAAGUACUUAGAAAUUGCAAGAAUUAUAUCAAAUCAUGCAUAUAUGCCCCUGCCUAUGAACUCUUAGGAACAAUCGAAUAUCUUUCCUUGAAUAACAUAAAACAAAAUGUACAAAUCAUUAAACCACCAAAAGUUAGCUAUGAACAACUAUAUAAAAAUCAUUUGUUUCUCACCUUUUCGUGAGUCUGAGAAGUUGUAAAUUCUACUGAGUUUCUCACCUUUUUUUUGACAAUUGGAGUUUUUAGUUUAUGAAAUUUAAUGCCUAUAUUUCUCACAUUGUAGAAGUGUUUUGAAAAGAUGGUUUAUAUUGCACCAUAAAAAUGUGGUCUGAUAAACCAACAGGGGAGUAGUUUGAUCCAGUUACGUGAAAUGCAUGCAAAAUAAUAUUUUCUCUAUAGUUACUGAAGAGAAUUUUGGUCACUCUGGUGUGCAUUAUCUGGAAUAAAGUCGUUUUCCAGUUUCUUCAAAGUUUAUGUGCGGAGGACUUCCGGUUUCCAUCUUUAUGAUAUUCUUGACAUGCACUUCAUCCUGUCUCUCAAGUUCAAAUACUAAUAAAGAUGAGUAAAUUCAUCAUCCGUGUGUCUGCUCUUUCUAUGCAUUUUGACAUUUUUUAUUAAUGCGUCUCAAUGAGAUAUCUUGAUUAUAUGUAGCGAAUUAAUAUUCUGGCGUUUUUUGAGAUUUGAAGACGUAAUAAUUUCUCAUUGGAAAGCCUUUAAUUAUUGAUUUUCAUCAAAGGGGAUUGGUCUUGAAUGCAAAUGAAAUUUGAUAAAGGACCUUGACAUUUUUUAAAAUCAUCUAGCCUAGUAGUACUUUAUGUGUUGGAAGUGUCCCAGACCGAGAAAGAUUUCAACUUGGAGGAAUUGACAUAAAGCAAAAUGGUCUUCAUCAUCAUUUGUAUGGCAGCAGGGCCAGCUUCGUAAACUGUCAUUUUCCACGAACCAGCUGUUUUUCAAGUUGGAUUGCUCCGGAAUACUCACAAUCUGGAAAAGCUUGUAACCGUACAUAGAAAUAUUUUCACGUGCGGAGGUUGGGGAACGUGCUGAGAGGCUCACACAUAAAAACCUUAAAAGCUAAAAAUGGACUUUGGUGCAUUAAAAUUUUUAAAAUAUAUCAGAAGUAUCAUAUCAAUCAUACGAUAAGUAGAUAAUGUUAUAACAUGUGUUUAUUUAUUCUGAAAAAUUACUAAUCUGUAAUGUAUUUUAGAAUUCCUCCUGGUGGAUAGUGGAGCACUUAUGGAAAACAGAUUCCAUUUAUUUCUUCAAAAUCUUGAAAUUCUAAAGGUAUAAAAAUGUCGCCACAAUUUGAUAAAUCUUGUACCAUCCUCAGCAUCUCUCCGAAAUCUAACAGCAUUUACGCGGCUGUGCGGGACGAAUAAGCUAAUUAGUAUUUACUAACCCCAAACAAUUGAGAAGGAUACUAAAAUUUGGACCCUAUCACUUCAUUCGGUGUAAAUAACUAACUAAAAGUAGAUAAAUAAAUAGCUGAAAAUAUCACAAACUAUUUUAAAUUGAUUAUUAAAGUAAUGGAAUAUAUUAAAAUGAUAUAUAUAUAUGCGAGCGCGCGCACGUAUGUAUAUAUAAAAUAAAUAAUAUAUAUAGUCCUUUUUUGGUACAGACGCGUUCAUUUUUUCAUGCUAACAUGCUUUUAAGCCGUACAAUUUAAGAGAGCUAGUUGAAAGUUAGUUUUUAAUGUUAUUAAACCCUACGGCUUAAAAGGGUGUUUGCAUUAAAAAAAAAAAGAGAACACUAGCACCUAAUAAUGAUUAUAUAUAUAUAUAUCAAUUCAAGAUUUUAAAGUGCAAGAAAGUCCAAAAAAACUUUAAACAGUGGGGUUUUAAAAAUUUUCCGGACCUUUCUUGCACUUUAAGAUCCCGGAGGCUCUUGAUUAAAUCUUCAUCAUACUUGGAGAAAAUUAAAAAUGUAUGGAAGGAUAUUUUCAAGCUUGGUAAGGUCAAAUAAUUGUGGAGUUAAAAAAUUGAAUGAUGGGCAAGUUCAAACUACAAUACAAUUUAGAAACUUUUAGCGAAAAAUAAUAAGUGGAAAAACUUUAAAUUUCAUACAAAUAUGAAAUAUGUAUUAUGGGCUUGGCUAAGUUACGGUUUGUGUUAAUUUAAGGUUCAUGUAACUAACAACUUUAAUGAUAAAAUUGAAUAUAACAGUAGUUUUUUUCACAGAAAAAAUUAAAAAAAUAUAUGUAUUUUGGGCGAAACUUUUUGCGAAAAAUAAUGAGUGCCACGCUUUAUAACUUAAUAUGUAUUUUGGGCUUGGCGAAGUUACGGUUCAUGUAAUAAUCAAUUUAAUCAUUACCGGAUAAAAUUGAAUACACCAGUAGUGUUUUUCCGCGGAGAUAUCGCCAAAUUUUGUGUCAAAUAAAGAAUAAAAACCAUAAAUACCAGUAGUGUCCGAUUUUGAAAGCAAAGCAGCAUACAUAUUAACUACUAGGCUUUGAUGGUGGUUGCAGUAAAAAGGAUUAAAAGAGAGAGAGAGAGAGAACUUGAAAACUAUGGAAUGGAAGAUAAAUCAAAGUUAUAAAUUUGGACUCAAUAGUUUUGAUGUUCAAUCAAAUAUGGAGGGGCGAUUAGAAAUUAUCAAAAAUUUAGAGGGAUUUCAACCGUUCAAUUCAUUAUUAGGCGUUGUAGACUGCGGGGAUGCAGAAAUUUCCACAGGGACGAUGGCCCCGAGGGAUCUUCCUCAUUCGGGAGUUUGAUAAUUUUAGAUCUAAUUUUUCUAUGUGGAGACAAGAAUCUGAUAAAUUAAUAUGUGUGGGUGUAUAAUUUAGUGUUUGCCCUAAUAUUUUAUUUGGCUCCACAUUUUUCUAUUUCCAUCUUUAGUUUCUAUUUUUAAUUCUUUUUUUUUUCAAAUUUAUAGUAAAUACAUUUAAAAUUUCAAUUGUAAUAGUGUGAUGUAAAUAAAAAAUAUCAUAAUACAUUUAUAAAAAUAAUAUAAAUAACAGCCAAUAUAAAGUAAAUAUAAACACUUUAAAAUUGACAAAGAUAAUUUAAUUGAUGGUUUAUACUAUAUGACAUUUAUGGAUGAGUUCAACUUUGAAGAUUUACUUUUGCUUAAUUAGUUCAAAGAUUAUCUUCUCAUUUGAUGACAUUGACUUAAUUUGAUGGAAAUGAUUUUAAUCACUUUAGUUAAUUUGAUAUUUUUUGUGUUAAUAUGAUUUUAUAUUUUUACUUUAAGAUGAUUAAAUUAAGAAAAAAAAGAAAUUAAAUAAUCAGAGAUCGGAUGCCAUAAGAGAUCCCUUUGUAUUAUUUAGAAACAUCCAUCCCCUCGUUUCAAGUAAUUUUGAAGGAAAUGUCUAGAGUACAAAGAGAUAGACAGAGUAUUAAAGAUGAGUAUGGGGAAAUCAAUCCCCUCUCCUUCGCAUCUUAUUGACAUCCUUACAUAUGAGCCCAAGGGGAAAUGCACCGUGCCUGAUAAAAGUAAAAUUAAAAAUAAAAAAUUUCUUUUAUCAAAUCAUUCUAUGUGGUGGAGAUUAUUGUAUAAUCAAGUACACAUGGCAUUUUUAAAAGCUUUUUCUUUAUUUAAAGCUCUAAAGGUCUGCCUAAGAGUCAAGGUUGGUGCCGUUCUUCUAGAAGAACAACCCGUAUCUUUUGAUAUUCAAAGUUUGAAUAUCAAGUUCAAACUUUAAAUUUUGAAAUAAUAAUAAUAAUAAAUAUAAAAAGUGCCCAAAUUUUUAGCUAUAAAUAGAGGGGUUCACCCCCUCAUUUCAUUCAUUCUAUUCUUUUCUUCUUUAGUUCUAUAAUGAGAGAUUAAGAGUUUUAUACUCUUGAGUGACUAGUGUUUGGAGAGAUUGGGUGUAUUAAGGUUUUGAGAAGUGAAACAAAAUACUAAAAUACUUAUAAUCCUCAUUUCACUAGUAAAGUUUUAUCCUUUUGUCCUUACCUAUGGGCAUAAGUUAAAAGUCGAACCAAAUAAUUUAUGGUGUCCUCAGUGUGCUUGCUCUUCAUUUUCUUCCAAUUUCAUUUUACUCGCGGCCCUACUUCACAAAUUAAUUUUCUAAUAGUGGUAUCAGAGUCGGGUUGUAUUUUUUGGGGUCAAGAUACUGUUUACAUAUAUUGUACUGUUCAUGUAUAUGAUAUUGUUUCUGUAUACAACACUUUAUUCAUAUAUACAGUUACUGCUCAUAUGAAAUGGUAGGAAUCGAUCUUAGCAAAGGUAGCUCGUGGUGAACAAUGAUGGCGGAAAAAUACAAAAUUGAGAAGUUCAACAAAAAUAAUUUUUCGUCAUGAAAAAUGAAGAUGAAAGUUGUAUUGAGGAAGAGUAAUUGCUUGGCAACAAUUGAAGAGAGGCUCACAAAGAUAACUGAUGAUGACAAGUGGAAUGAGAUAGACAAUAAUGCCAUUGCAAAUCUGCACAUACCACUUUCAAAUAAGGUAUUAUUCAAUGUGGUAGAGUAAAAGAGAGCAAAGGAAAUAUGGUUUACUCUCACAAGACUAUACGAGGUCAAAUCACUACAAAAUAAAAUCUUUUUAAAGAGGAGGCUUUAUACUCUUCGAAUGACGGAAUCUACAUCAGUGAUCGACCAUAUCAACACUUUAAAGACUUUAUUUUCAUAACUUACAACGUUGGGUCAUAAAAUAGAGGAAAAUGAUCAUGUAGAGCUUUUACUUCAAGGUUUACCAGAUUCGUAUGAUUAAUUCGUCAUUAAUCUAACUAAUAACAAUCGAGCAAACAAGUUAGUCUUUGACAAUAUGGCAGCCUCCGUAUUAAAUGAGGAGAGUAGCAAAAAAUAAAAAAGAUAGACAGACAAGUUCGCAGCAAGUAGAAGCGCUAUUGAUGAUGAAAGGAAGAUCCAUGGAACGUGGCCCUAGUGAGAGCCACAAUCACAGUAGAUCGAAAUCAAGAAGUAAGAAGAAUGUUAAAUGCAACAACUGUGGCAAGAAAGAGCAUGUCAAGGAAGAGUAUUGGAACAACUAGAAGAGAAGAGAGGGUAAAGAUCCUGAGUCAUCAAAUGCUCAAGGGUAUGUAGUAAGUACCUCGUAUAAUGGAAAAAUUCUCUACAGUAAGGCAACAACUGCUUCAAAAGGCAGAAAACCACUAUAUGACGUCUGGCUUAUAGACUUAAUAGUUGUUUGGCACAUGAUCUCUCCAAGAGAAUGAUUUCACAAAUAUGAACCUAUUUCAAGAGAAUCUGUAUACAUAGGUGAUAAUCAUGCCUUUGAGAUCAUUGAUAUUGGUACUGUCAAAAUAAAUAUGUUUAAUGGUAUGGUUCGCACAAUUGAGAAGGUAAGACAUGUCAAAGACUUGAAAAAUAUCUCUUGUCUUUAGGACAAAUAGAUAGCCUUGUGCACAAAACUCAUGUAGAAAAUGGGAUCAUAAAGAUAGUCAAAGGCACACUUGCAUUAAUGAAGGUGGAAAAGAUCGGUGCUAAUCUAUUCAUGCUUAAAUGGAAACACUACAGAAAGCUUUUGUGUGUGUCACAUCAAAUAGAGAAAAUUCAGCGAUGAUGUGGCAUCUUAAACUUGGCCACAUGUCGAAACAAGGAAGCAACAUAGAUGAAAGUUUAGCAGAUCCACUUUCAAAAGUAAAUGUAUUUUAGACUUGAUUCAUUCUAAUGUUUGGGAAUCAAUUGAUAUAUCUAUGGGAGGUGCAAAGUAUUUGGUGACUUUUAUUGAUGAUUAUUCUAGGAGAUAUUUAGUGUAUCCAAUCAAGAAAAGGUCAAAUGUAUUUCCAUUGUUCAAAGAAUUCAAAGAAUAGAUUGAACUUAAAUCAGGGCAAGGGAUCAAGUGCCUGAGGACAGACAAUGGUGGAGAGUAUACAGAUAGCAUGUUUCUUGCAUAUGUAAGUAAGAAAGUAUCUAGAGAUAAUUUACAGUGGCAUACACUCCUCAAUAAAAUAGAGUAGUAGAGUGAAAGAACAUGACUCUUAUAGAAAAAAUAAGAGUUAUGUUGAGAACUGCUGGUCUACCAACUCAUUCUAGGCGGAAGUAGCAAAAACUACUUAUUAUGUGGUAAGUGGGUCAUCAUUCAAGGCAAUCGGGUUGAAGAUUCCAAUGGAAAAAUGGACAGGAAAGCCAACUGAUUACUCUCAUCUCAGGCAUUUUGAUGUCCUUUUACGUGAUAUACGAUACCCAAGUGAGAUUAAAAAUGGAUCCAAAAUCCAAGAGAUGUAUCUUCUUAGAAUCUAUUGAUGGAGUGAAAGGGUAUUAUCUGUGGGACCUCAAUGCCCACAAGAUCGUUAUUAGCAGAGAUAUUGUCUUUGUAGAAGAUCAAAUGCAAAAGAGAGAUAUGGAUGAUAGCACUAUUAAAAUUUAGAGAUUGUGCUAAUAUAUGUUGAAAAUAAUCUGGAAAAUGAAGAUUCAGAUUUUUUUGAAGCAGCACCAAAGUAUGAGAACAAGAACCAAUCAAGUCUGAGGCCCCAAAAGUUUGUUGGUCAACUCGUGAUAGAUAAAUGUAUGUGUGGCAUUUGGAUUAUGUCACAGAUAUCAAUUUUGCAUACUGUCUUUUAAUAGAGAAUGGAAAGCCAUCAACUUUCUAUGAAAUUUUAAACAGCUCAGAUGUUACUUUGUGAAUGAUAGCAAUGCAGGAAGAAAUUAAGGCUCUACACAAGAUUAUGACAUAGGAACUCGUACUACUACCAUAUAAAAAAAAACCAUUGGUUGCAAAUGGGUUCACAAGAUCAAACGUGAUGGUAAUAACCUAGUGGAGCGAUAUCGUGAAAGAUUGGUGGUGAAAGAAUGUAUUAACGUCAAUGAGAUAUUUUCUCCAGUGAUUUGACCCAGGACAGUCAGAGUGGUCUUGUCGAUGUGUGCUACAUUUGACCUAUAUUUGGAGCAGUUAGAUGUGAAAUUUUCAUUUCUUCAUGGAGAACUUGAAGGAAAGAUUUAUAUGCUCUAACUAGAAGGUUUUACUAAAAAGGGACACUUGGUUUGCAAGUUGAACAAAUCUCUAUACGAUCUCAAACAUGCACCGAGAUGUUGAUAUAAGAGAAUUGGUCAUUUCAUCAUAAACCUUGGAUACAAUAGAAUCAUUUCAUACUGUUGUACAUAUUACAACAAGUUUUAUAAUAAUGAUUUCAUCAUUCUACUGUGGUAUGUGGAUGACAUAUUGGUAGCAAGCCCCAACAAAGAUCGAGUCCAAGAACUGAAGGCACAGUUAACUAGGGAGUUUGAAAUAAAAGACUUAGAACCAGCAAACAAGAUUUUAGGGAUGCAAAUUCACCGAGAUAGUAAUAGCAAGAAGAUUUGGCUUUCUACCCCGCUUCUUAUUAAUUUCAAGUUAUUCUUAAGUAUUCAUCUAGUAAUGAAGUAGAGAAGAAGAGAUGUCUUGAGUACUGUAUGCAUCAGCAGUGGAAAAUUUAAGGUUUGCUAUGAUUUGUACAAGUAGUGGGAGCAGUUAGUCGAUACAUAGCGAAUCCUUGCAAAGAACAUUGGAAGACUAUUAAGAGGAUUCUGAGAAAUAUCAGAGGAACAUCAGAUGUUGCAUUAUGCUGCGAAGGAUUAGAAUUUACUGUCAAGGGCUUUGUGCAUUCAGAUUUUGCAGAAAAUCUUAAUAAAAGGAAACCCACUACUGGCUAAGUAUUUACACCAGAAGGCGAAAUUGUUAGUUGGAUUUCAAAAUUGCAGACCAUUGUGGCUUUAUCAACAACAGAAGCAGAUUACAUAGCAGCUACACAAGCUUGGAAGGGCUAUUUGGAUACAAAGGUUACUGAAAGAGCUUGGGCAUAAAAAUUUUUAUGGUUUGUGAUAGUUAGAAUGCAAGGAAUCCAACCUUUUAUUUCAGGACAAAGAAUAUAGGAGUACAAUAUCACUUCUUCGUGAAGUAGUGAAAGAUACAAGAGUGGAUACCAAGGAGAACUUAACAAAUGUUUUGCCCAAGCCUAUCAAUGCUGAUAAAUUUGUUUGGAGUAGAUCAUUUUAUGGCCUAGUAGAGACAUAAGCAACAUGAUAGCGACGAAGCAGAAAGGAUGGUGUGGAGAUUGAUUGAUUCUCAAUCAAAUUUCUAAGUGGGAGAAUGUCAAAGUCAAUGUCACUUUUCUAGAAGAGUGACCAAUACCUUUUGAUAUUCAAAGUUUGAAUGUCAAGUUCAAACUUUUAAUUUAAAAAAAAUAUAUAAAAAUAUAAAUAGUGCCCAAAUUUUUAACUAUAAAUGAGGGGUUCACCCCUGCAUUUCAUUCUUUUCUUCUUCAAUUCUAGAGUGAGAGACUAAGAGUUUUAAUGCUCUUGAGUGAUUAGUGUUUUAAGAGAUUGAGUGGAUUGGGGUUCUAGGAAGUGAAACAAAAUAUUAUAAUACUAGUAAUCCUCAUUUCACCAGUAAAGUUUUAUCCUUUUGUCUUUACCCGUAGACGUAGGCUAAAAGUCGAACCAUGUAAUUUUUGGUGUCCUCUAUGUGCUUGUUCUUCAUUUUCUUCCAAUUUCAUUUUAGCUGUGAACCUACUUCACCAGUCAAUUUCCUAACACUGAUAGGGGCGGAUCUGCAUUGGGAGUUAAAUAUAUGAAAUUUUAUUAAUUUAUGACUUUUUCUAAAAUUUAUUUUUUUUGUGACUUAUAUAUGAUUUUUAAGCAUUUACAUUUGAAUAGAAAAAGUAACUUUUGUGACUUUUAUUGAAUAGGAAAAAGUCUAAAUAAGAAUUAAAUAUAUAUUCUAAAAAUAUUUUUAUAAAAUAUAUUUAUUUCUUAAACUAUAAAAUCUAACUACUUUUUUUUGUUUUUAUUUGUAAAAAUAUAAAUAUCAAAUAACCAUAUUUAAGAUAAAUAAGAUGUCACUUAUAUUUGGGUAUUAAGAAAAAGAAAAAUAAAUAUAUCAUUCAUAUAUUUGUACUCAGCUCAUUCAUGCUUACGAAAAAUUUAUACCUAUUCAGAUUAUAAAAACAAACAAACAAAUAAACAAACGCCUUAGCCUAGCGUGGGCAAUUGACUUUACUGAAAAAUAGUUUUCAUUUAAUUUUAUUUUAAUUUAUGGAAAAUUUUUCUUUUAAUGUGGCAAUUUCGUAGACGACUUUCUUAGUGGGAUUAAUUUUAUAACGCAAGUUUAUUUUUCUCACAUUUGAAAUCUGUAAUUGUUUUUAUUUUUAUUCAAAAGAUUAUCUUAUAAAUCAAUCUCCAGGCUCCGCCCUUAUUUCUAAGUAUGAGACGUUCGCAUCAUUAAAAAUGGGGAAGCAGCAACAACCUACUGGCCAAUAGUAUAGGAUAGGAGUUAUUAAUGCAUAUCAGCUAUUUGGUGAAAUGCUCACAAGAAAUGGAAAUUUGACAUGUAUGCAUUUCUCGAACUUUACCAACAAAACUUUUAUAAAAGCAUAUUUGUGAAUGAUUUUCCUGAAAUUUAAUGUUUAUCAUCUCCAAUCUUUUUACUCCUCCAGUCUUGAGUAAUUAUGGUGUUGCCACCCAUGCAUGCUUAUAGAUGCUUUGGUUCCUGAGAUAAUUAGUUCAUCAAAUUAGCAGCCUUAGCCUUAUAUUUGCAUUUUAUUUUUGUCAACGUUAACUGGUUAAAUUGAAUCAGUAGUGAAACUGAAAUGAAAGUAACUGAAUGACCCGAAUUUAAAAAUAAUAAUAAUUUUGUCAACUAAAUGAUCCUUCUGUUUGCUUUAGUAUUAUUUUUUUCCCCCUUAUCAAUUCAAGUUUGAAAGACAAGCAAUGUAUAUACCUAAACUGAAGUUUAUGGUUUCUCCGUGCUCCUUGUAUUACAAGUAUCAAAGCUGUGACUUCACAUGAACCUUAGCAGAAGCUUCUGUGAUAUUAUUUAUGUAGCUUUUAACUUUAACAAAAGCAUAUGGAUUUUUAUUUUUUGACUUGAUUUGCCAAGAUGACGAUGAGUGGAAUUCAAUUCAUUUUCUAUUUUUGUAUUUUUUUUUUUUCAUUCUUUAAAACCAAUAAUUGUGUUUUGUUGUUGCAAUUUAAUACAUCAAUAACAUUUAUUGAAAAAUUGGCUAAAUUAAAAUGUGUUAACAUAAUGUACAAAGUAAAAUGCAACUUAUAAUUCAUAAAAUUUUAGAUGCUGAUCAGUCUAAAUAGAAAGGAUGUGUUUCACCUACUCUGUUUUGUACUAAUAAUCAACUACGCUUACCAAAUAAUAAUCUUUCUGCAACUGUCUGGGGGUGACUUUAUUCCCAUCCCUUGAUCUUUAUUUAUUUAUUCUUUGCUUCACUUCUGAACUUAGCCAAGGAACUUGAACUUUGGCUUUUCAAAUGGACUAGUUUUAGCUUUUAAUCUCGGCCAUGAUCUUCAUUGUGAAGAUGACGAACUAUUAUUCUUUUAUUCUUCACUUGUUGAAGUUACGAAAUAUAUAACUUUCUCAAAAUUUUAGCAAAUCGUUAUCCGUCAGCUUCAGAACCUCAUUAAAAAGUCAUCCUUUGCACUCGUUCUCAAUCAAGAAACACAUAUGCUCCCUUUUGCUGUCAACUCACUUGAAUUUCACUGGAUGAAGAAACCCUUUUCUCUUGGCAUCUGUUCUGUUGUAAUCUCCAGUCUUUGUUAAUUUGUUUCUCUCCAUUCCCAAUCUAGUUGUGGCAUGUUGUUGUCUCUGUUUGGUUCCAUAUCUACCCUUUGUACUUCCGCCGUGUGAAGAUAUAUCUUUUUCUCCAUCUCUUUUACCAGUCAAUAGCGCGUGUUUGGUAACGGAAAAAGGAGGAAAAAAAGGAGAGUGGGGGCAUUACUUUUAUCUCAUCCUUAACUUCCGAAAGUGGGAGAGAACAAGGGGGGAAAGAGGGGAGUGGGGAGUUAGCUAGGGGGGCUUUUUGGGCUCUCUUCCUCUCAUGGAAAAUUCUUUCUUUGACACUCUGCUUUACUUUCUGUAAAUUACUCGAAAAGCCUUGGGUUUUAAGGCAAUGUUUAUUAAGCCACAUGAGUGGUGGCACAAGUUUUUCCGAAAGGCCUAGAAACUAACUUGAGUGUCGGAGGGUUCACGCCGGAAAAACUUCCGGCGCCUCUAACCUUCUUCUAUGAUUUCAGGUAUUCCUAGGUUAAUCGCUAGUGGUUGCAGGACAUCUUGACGAUUGACCAAUCGAUUCUCUACCAAAUAAAUCUAAUACUGGUGUAGAAAUCUGACAUUAAGUCGCUGAUAGACUAGAUCAGAUUUGGGCAUCAACAGCGCGGUUGUUGUCUCUAAUAUUGUUUGCAUCUUUCUUCUGGUCAAUACAUAAGUUAUUUUGACUGAUUCACUUUUCCUCUAUUAUCUAAAUCAUUCCUUAUAUCAAUUCAAUCACUUUUGAACUAGAAACCUUUUCCUUGUUUCCAUCUUCUCACCAGAUUCACAACAGUUUUUAAGCUUUCUUUGAUUUCUCCGCUUCCACAACCAGAUACACUUGUCAUCUUUGUUGUUUCAUUUUCUUUUUUUCGUUUUUCUUUUUUUUUUUUUUUGCCUCUCUUUCUCUUUGUGUUUCGCUCGUCGUUUAUUUUCAUUUCGGAACUUUGAAAAAAAGAGGAUCGAAGAUGGUGGAAAGCAUUGUUACUGUUCUGUUAGAAGUUGUGAAAUGCUUCGCUCCUCCAACAGAACGCCAACUUUGUUAUUUGCGUAACUAUAAAGCCAACUUUGAGAAUCUCAAGGCAGAAAUAGACAAGCUCAAGGAUGAAAGUAAGAGCAUUCAGCACAGAGUUUCUGAGGCUGAAAGAAAAGGAGAAAAGAUUGAAGAGAAGGUUGAGAACUGGCUGGUUAGUGCGAACAACACCAUUGAGCAGGCAGCCAAAUUCAUUGAAGAUGGGGAGACAACAAGUAAGCGAUGUUUCAAGGGCUUGUGUCCUAAUUUCAAGACCCGCUAUCAGCUUAGCAAGAAAGCAGAAACAGAGGUGAAGGCCCUUGUUGAACUCAAAGAAGAAGCUAGGAGAUUUGAUGAUAGAAUUUUCUACCGUACCAUUGCGGAGGAGGUAUGGCUAAAGUCUAACAAAGGUUACGAGGCCUUUAAAUCAAGACUUUCUACUCUGAAGUCUAGACAAGAUGCAUUGACUGAUGUCAAUGUCAGCAUCGUUGGGGUAUACGGCAUGGGCGGCAUUGGAAAGACAACACUGGUGAAGGAGUUUGCAACGCAAGCCAGUGAAGAGAAACUCUUUGAUCAGGUGGUUUUUUCAGAGGUUUCCCAAACUCCAGACAUAAAAAAGAUUCAAGGGGAAAUUGCAGAGAAACUAGGUCUGGAGUUGUCCGAGGAGGCUGAAUCUAGAAGAGCUAGUAGACUUUAUGAACGAUUGAAGAAAGAGAAGAUGAUCCUUGUGAUUCUGGAUAACAUCUGGAAAUAUCUUGAUUUAGAGACUGUUGGAAUUCCUUUUGACGAUGAUCAUAGAGGAUGCAAAUUAUUAUUAACAGCAAGGGAUCGUAAUGUCUUGUUAAGUAUGGGAUCUGAAAAUAACUUCUUGAUUGGCAUUCUAAAUGAGCAUGAAGCUUGGAGGUUGUUCAAGAUAAUGGCUGGUAAUUUUGUUGAAAAUCGUGAGUUAAAAUCUACAGCAACAAAUGUAGCCAAGGCAUGUGGAGGUUUGCCUAUUGCUCUAACCACAGUAGCAAAGGCACUGAGAAACAAAGAGCUGCCUGUGUGGAAGAACGCCUUGCAAGAACUCCAAACGCCUUCAGAGGCAAGCUUCGAUGAAGGAGUACCAGUAGAGGCAUACUCAACAAUUGAGCUAAGUUACAAGUAUUUAAGAGGUGAGCAACUAAAGAAAACUUUUUUACUGUGUAGUCUAAUUACACCAACUUCAAUUAUGGACUUGUUCAAAUAUAGCAUAGGCUUGGGUGCAUUUGAAAGUGUCCAUAAGAUAGAAGAUGCACAUAACAAAUUACAUGCAUGGGUCCAUCAACUAAGAGACUCUUGUUUGUUGCUUGAGGAUGGUGGCAGUAAAUUCUUUUCCAUGCAUGAUGUUGUUCGCGAUGUUGCCAUUUCAAUAGCACGUCGUGACAAAAUUGCAUUUGCGGUGAGAAAUGAGGAUGUGUGGAACUGGCCAGAUGCAGAUGCACUAAAAAAAUAUUUUGCAAUUUGUUUAAAAGAUAGUAUUAUUAAUGACAUUCCUGAAGUGUUGGAAUCUACACAACUUGAAUUUUUAUUCAUGUCACCCAAGAACUCUUUUGUUGGGCCCAAUGUUCCUGAGAACUUCUUCAAAAGGACGAAAAAGCUUCGGGUUUUGGAUUUGACUAGAAUGCGGUUAUUGUCAUUGCCAUCUUCAAUUGAUCUUCUAGUAAAUCUUCGGACACUUUGUCUUAAUCAAAGCAUUUGGGAGACAUGGACACAGCCAUUAUUGGAAAGUUGGAAAAUCUAGAAAUCCUUGGCUUUGUGCGGUCUGAUAUUGUACAGUUACCUAAAGCACUAGGGCAACUGACUAAGCUAAGGCUGUUAGAUUUAAGAGACUGUUUCCAUCUAAAAGUUAUUGCCCCAAAUGUCUUAUCGAGCUUAAUCCGAUUAGAAGAAUUGUAUAUGGGUAAUUGCUCCGUUGAAUGGGAGGUUGAAAGAGCCAACAGUGAAAGAAGUAAUGCUAGCCUUGAUGAAUUGAUGCUUUUACCUUGGCCAACCAAUCUAGAAAUUGAUGUUAAAAAUGACAGUAUUUUACCGGAAGGCUUUUUGGCCAGAAAGCUCGAAAGGUUCAAAAUAUCCAUUGGAAAUGAGUCAUUCAUGCCUCCCAAGAGUAUUACAAGAGAAUGGUUUCAAAGCCGGCCGCACUUUUUGAUCAACAGUAAUCGUGAGAGUUUAAGAGAAUUGAAGCUCAAGCUUGAUUUUAUGGACAUUUUCUCCAUGAAAUUGCAGGGCAUCAAUAACGUUGAAUACCUAUGGUUGGACAAGCUGCAAGGUGUCAAGAAUGUUCUUUUUGAUUUGGACACAGAAGGUUUUUCACAAUUGAAGCAUCUCCAUGUUCAAAAUAAUCCUAA
RNAcentral lists this long non-coding RNA (125047 nucleotides) under Citrus maxima (pomelo). Its description in RNAcentral is "long non-coding RNA (CMAX_LNC001252)". The record is from RNAcentral. Lineage: Eukaryota; Viridiplantae; Streptophyta; Magnoliopsida; Sapindales; Rutaceae.